UUUACAAAUGCUCCUGAAACGUUUCAAGAACUCAUGAAUGAUGUGUUCAAGCCCAAACGAUUUGUGUUGGAUUAUUAAGAACUUGCACUUACAUUUCAAACACAUACACCUGACAAAACAUAGACAUAACACCACACGUAGGGCCACACAAAUAUAUAUAGUAAUAUAUCGUAUCAUCUACAGGUACGGUGCCAAAGUAAUUUAGCGUAGAUCCAGCCAUAGGUAUCCGUGGCAUCAUCGUUCACAGUCAGCAUGUGCGUGCACAUGCAUUGAUGCAGCUUAUUUUAAUUCCACAUUACGCUGCGCGUCAUAGUAUACCCAGCGCGCAGACUAUUAUAUAGCACUAACUACAUGACGGGGUAGGCACCGUACAUGCCACACAGCCCGCGGGGCCCGUCGGCUCCUCUGCGCACGAAGAAGAAGCCCUUCUGACCCCAUGUCUGCCCCCACGAGUUCUUGGCGAUCCAGUACUCUUCUCCGGCGCCGGUGACCCCGUAGCCGACCACCGUCACCACGUGGUUCUGGCUGGUGGUGCACGGCCCCUUGUACACGCCGGACUUGUAGUUCUGCAGCACGGGGCCGCUCCCGUCGAUUUGGACAGUCACCGGCGUCCCGAGCACGGCCAGCGCCAGCGCGCUCUCGCUGCUGCCCGGCCGUACAUCCUGGACGCCGGUGAUUUUGCCGACGCGGCGGGCUGCGUCAUGCACCGCGCAUCUGCCUCGCUUGGCCAAGUAGGGGUACUCGGCCUCCGUGAGGAGGCCGCCUUUUGAUUUGAUCCAUUCGAGUGCGCUCUUGGGCCACCCAUAGCCGCAUGGCGAGCUGAACACACCCGUGCUGCAGUCAACCAGCUCCUGCACGGACAGGUCAACCAGCUCCCCGCCCUUUAUCUUGUUCAAGCUCUCCACCGUCGCCGCUGCAGCAAAUGCCCAGCAGCAUCCUACAGCAAUAUUGUGCAACAAGGUUGUUUCAGGUGUGUAACCAGUAACCACACGCAUGCAUGCCAUAUAAAUUGCUUACCACAUGCCCCUUGUUGCUUGGCAGGCGUGACAACACCAUGUUCCCUCCAGUCGAACUGCCGGGGAGGGUCAGCGGCGGUCAUCGUUAAAUUACGAUCCUCCUCGACGGCGUUCUUGGAUGAUACUGCCUGCUCUUCAACAUCUCCGACUAAAGUAGUGAUGAGACCACCACCAUCACCGGCUCCACCAUAAGCGCCACCGACAUACCGCGCCAUGAACUCCUCAUUAGUGAGGUCGGUGAACUCGUUCUCACCGAGCUCAUAGCCGAGCCUCUCGGCCUCCCUGUUGGAGGCAUCGAUGAGGUCCACGUUGCGACGGUACACCUCAAACCGCCGCAGCUUCUCGGCGGCACUAUGGUACGUCCGUCCAUGCGCUGACAUCCACCGGUGGAACCUACCCAGCAUCAGCAGGUCAUGGUCGUCUCCAUCGCCGGACAUGGCACGGGAGGAAGGUAAUGUGGUGCUGGAGAGGGUGACUAGGAGGACGAGGAGAGGCAACGAGCGUAAGAGGGGAGCCAUGCCCAUGUGUUGAUGCAAGAACACUUGAUUUUGGUGAUGGUGGCGAGGGUUCUCAGUUUCGUGGGUCGUUUAUAUAGUGGGGGGAUAUUAAGCUGAGGAGGCUGUGGCCGUCGAGAUGCCAAUUAUUUGCUCGGCAUGCAUGAUGUGGAGUUGUGGCAUGCCUACACCUCACAUCAUGCUAUUGUUAGGCAUUGGUGUCAUUAAUUAUGUGAUGCUAGCUCACAUGCUAUGCUCGUCCGUGGCAUGGCUAUGUAAUUUUUAUCCGGGUAUAUCUACGGCUACCGAUAACAUUAUUAAUUUGUUUAUACACAUCAAGGAAAAUUAGAAGGCAAUGGUGUUAGUAUAUGAUGAUUGCUCUCCAUGGCCCAUGUCAUGCUUGUACUCCCUCCGUCCGGUAAUACUUGUCAUCAAAAUAAAUAAAAAGAGAUGUAUCUAGACGUAUUCGGACGGAGGGAGUACAUGGCAUGGCUAUGUGAUUUUUAUUUGCCCGCAUAUCACAAUUGUGAAGGAGAUAGAUACAAGGAGGGCAAGUUUUGUUAGCUGAAAUUUUAUGUUCGAGGGCCGAGUUUCAAACAAGGAGGCACACAAUCUUUUAAAAUUUUCUGUUUUGCUUCCUCAGGGUCGUCACUUGUGGCUUCUAUGUCUCUUUUGCAUCCCUAUGAAUUUUGCUUUAAAUUAAUAUAAAAUGUGGGGAUCCCUAAAACAAAUCUACGGCCACCCUUAACUUUACAAGUUUGUUCAUGCAUAUAGAAAUCUCAAAAAUAUUUAGCGGAUCCUAGCAAUUUGACUUUGUUUUUGCUUCUGAAAGUUAGAAAACUGAUGAAUUCUUGCAUGAAACUCUAACUCCAGAUUGUCGAUUCUCCGUAUGGCUUGCACUCUAAAGAAUUCUAAAUUGUAUGAGAGUUAGCAAACAUGGCACGGCUGUAUAAUUUCUAUUUGGGUCUAUCUACAGCUGCCGAUAACAUUAUUAAUUUGUUUACACAUAUACAGAUCGAGAAAAAUUAGGAGACAAUGAUGUUAGUAUAUGAUGAUUGCUCUCCAUUGCCCAUGCCAUGCUUGUACAUGGCAUGGCUAUGUGAUUUUAUUUGUGUCUAUCUACGGCCACCCAUAAGGCCAUAACUUUAUAAAAUUGUCUAUACAUGUACAAAAUUUAGAAAAUGUCCAGCGGGUUGUAGCAAUUUGAUUUUUUCCCCCAAAGUUAAAAAACCGAUGAAUUCUUGCACGAAACUCAACACCGGAUUGAUGAUUCUCUGAAUUGUUUGCACUCCACAGAAUUCUCAAUCGUACUACCUCUGUCUGGUUUUCUUGGUCCUCAUUGUAUUUUCGGCCAAACUUGGAGCACAUAUUAAGCUAGCAAAAUGUUAAUACAUGUCACUAAAAAUUAUAUUGUCGAAUUCAUAUUUAAUAUGAUUUUCAUUGAUGUUAUAUUUGCUUCACAUAACUUAUAUUUUAUUUGUUAAAUUUAUGGUCAAAAUAUAAUAAUAAAAACGAGGAGACUAGUAAACCCGGAUGGAGUGAGAAUUUUUUAGAGAAAAGAUGGAGUGAGAAUUACUAGCAAACAUGUUUUUAUUUUUUAUUUUAUUCCCUCGUGGAUCAUGCCAAGGGACAAGCGGACCCAUGCAUUUGAAAGAAACUGUAUCGCACUGAUUAAGCUAAGAUAUACGAGAAUUUGCUAGUAAUUCUCCAUCAUUUUUCAUUUUACGUGUCUCCAUCAUUGGUGCCCCUUCGAGGUUCCAAGCGGCGCCAAAUAUAUAAUCGCGUGACCAGCUAAAUUACAGGCCUGCACCUAGAGUUUUUUUUUUAGGAACUGGUAGGAGCACUGCCUUUUCUUAUAGAAGAGCGAAAAACACAAUGUAUAGAGUGGCGCACGUUUUAUAUUGACAUGCCCCGCCAACUCUCGUUGCUUAAUUGCCUCAAAGGCCAACAUUGCGACCUCACGGUGCGCCAUCCGUAGUCCAGUGAAAACACACCUAUUUCUUUCCUUCCAGAUUGACAAUAAGGUGUAGAUUAUCAUCCCGCUGCGCCGCCGACGCACUUAAUUUGAUUGGUUUGCAAGCAUCAUGUCCCACCAAUCCGACACAUGGUGGUAACCAGUGGUCGGAAGACCCUCGCUCGUCCAUGAGUUCACCUAGUUCCAGACAACGACCAAGAAGGGGCAAUUCUUACAAAGGUGAUUUUCCGUUUCUGGCUCUUGAAGGCAUAGCAGACACAUGGGAUUAUGUGGCCAACGACGCAGAGCGGGCAUAUCCGCCGUGACGAUUCUUCCAUGGAGGGUGAGGCAGGCGAAGAAUUUGAACUUGGGCUCGACGUGGGCAGACCAGACCUUGGUGGUGUCGAACCUCGGGUGAGAGCCGAAGAAUUGCGCCUCGUAGGCGAAAACAGAGGAGAAGACACCAUUGGUAGUUAGGUUCCAAGAGAUGCGGUCUUCAUAAGCAGGCAACAUGGUUGUCUGGCUGACCCUCACCCAUAGAGACACGAAUUCUCGCAGUUGUUGCAAGGUCUGAAGAAGGGCCACCGUCCUGAUCCAGUUCUCGUUCGUCAACUUGCUGUGCACGGAUCUAUUCUUUCUAGAAGCAGUCUUGUAGAGCUUGGGAGGACCUCUUCCACUCCAGUUGUCAUGCCAGAAAAGGGCCUUUUGCCCAUUGCCUAGAGAGAUGGUGGUGCAGGCACGAAAAAGGCUUUGAUCAGCUUGGUCGCACAACAGUUGAGAACCCACCCAUGGCCUCUCAGGGUCCGUCCAUUGAAGCCAGGGAUCGGCCAAAUCUUUCCAAGUCCAUAAUCCCAAGUGUUGGGAACGUAGCAUGCAAUUUAAAAAAAUUCCUACGCUCACAAGAUCUAUCUAGGAGAUGCAUUGCAAUGAGAGGGGGAGAGUGUGUCUACGUACCCUUGUAGACUGAAAGCGGAAGCGUUUGACAACGUGGUUUGUGUAGUCGAACUUCUUCUAGCUCCGACCGAUCAAGUACCGAACGUACGACACCUUCGAGUUCUGCACACGUUCAGCGCGAUGACGUCCCUCGCCCUCUUGAUCUAGUAAGGUUUCGAGGAAGUAGAUGAGUUCCGUCAGCACGAUGGCGUGGUGACGGUGAUGGUGAAGUAAUCCGCGCAGGGCUUCGCCUAAGCACUACGAAGAUAUGACCGGGGGUGUAAACUGUGGAGGGGGGCUCCGCACACGGCUAACAAUUGUUGUUCAGGCGCUAAGGAAUAGGAAGGGGGGGAGGAGAGGCAGCCAAGGGGGCACCCCAAGUAGGAGGAAUCCUACUUGGGGUCCUCUCCCAAUUCGACCAACCUACUCUCCUAUUCCUAUUCGGAGUAGGAAGGGAAGAGGGGGAAGGGGGAAUCCUAUUCCCUUUUUCCUUUCCUCCUUACCCUUCCCUUCUCCAAUUUGGCAGCCCAUAUGGUGGGGGGGGGGGCACCUGCCCAAUUGUGGCUGGUGCGUUUCCCCUCUUGGCCCAUAAGGCCCAUAUCUUUUGUCGGGGGUGCCCGAAACCCCUUCCGGUGACCCGAUAAGUACCCGGUACUUCCUGAAACACUUUCGGUGUUCGAAUAGCAUCGUCCUAUAUAUCAAUCUUUACCUUUCGACCAUUAUGAAACUACUCAUCAUGUUCGUGAUCUCACCCGGGACUCCGAACAACCUUCGGUCACCAAAUCACAUAACUCAUAUAAUACAAUAUCGUCAUCGAAUGUUAAGCGUGCAGACCCUACGGGUUCGGGGACUAUGUAGACAUGACCGAGACACCUCCCCGGUCAAUAACCAAUAGUGGAACCUGGAUUCUCAUAUUGGCUCCCACAUAUUGUACGAAGAUCUUUAUCGGUCGAACUGUUAUGACAACAUACAUUAUUCCCUUUUUCCAUCUGUAUGUUACUUGCCCAAGAUUCGAUCAACAGUAUCAUCAUUCCUAGUUCAAUCUCGUUACCAACAAGUCUCUUUACUCGUUUCGUAAUGAAUCAACCUGCAACUAACUCAUUAGUCACUUAGCUUGAAAGGCUUCUUAUGAUGUGCAUUACCGAGAGGCCCAGAGACACCUCUCUGAUACUCGGAGUGACGAAUCCUAAUCUCGAUCUAUGCCAACCCAACAAACAUCUUUGGAGAUACCUGUAGAGCAUCAUUAUAAUCACCCAGUUACGUUGUGACGUUUGAUAGCACAUAAGGCAUUCCUCUGGUAUCCGGGAGUUGCAUAAUCUCAUUGUCGAAGGAAUAUGUAUUUGACAUGAAGAAAGCAAUAGCAAUAAAACUGAAAAAUCAUAAUGCUAAGCUAACGAAUGGUUCUUGUCCAUCACAUCAUUCUCCUAAUGAUGUGAUCUUGUUUAUUAAAUGACAACACAUGUCUAUGGUUAGGAAACUUAACCAUCUUUGAUUAACAAGGUAGUCUAAUUGAGGCUUACUGGGACACGGUAUUUUGUCUAUGUAUCCACACAUGUAUCAAGUUUCCGGUUAAUACAAUUGUAGCAUGAAUAAUAAAUAUUUAUCACGAAAUAAGGAAAUAUAAAAUACAACUUUAUUAUUGCCUCUAGGGCAUAUUUCCUUCAGUCUCCCACUUGCAGUAGAGUCAAUAAUCUAGUUCACACCGCCAUGUGAUUUAACACCAAUAGAUCACAUCUUUAUGUGAUUAACACUCAUAGUUCACAUCUCCAUGUGACGAACACCCAAAGGGUUUACUAGAGUCAAUAAUCUAGUUCACAUCGCUAUGUGAUUAAUAUCCAAAGAGUACUAAGGUGUGAUCAUGUUUUGCUUGUGAGAGAAGUUUAGUCAACGGGUCUGCCACAUUCAGAUCCAUAUGUAUUUUACAAACUUCUAUGUCUACAAUGCUAUUUAUGGAGCUACUCUAGCUAAUUGCUCCCACGUUGAAUACGUAUCUAGAUUGACAGUUAGAGUCAUCUAGAUCAGUGUCAAAACUUGCAUCGACGUACUCUUUAUCACCUCCAUACCGAGAAACAUUUCCUUAGUCCUCUAACUAAGGAUAAUUUUGACCAUUGUCCAGUGAUCUACUCCUCGAUCACUAUUGUACCCCCUUGCCAUACUCAUGGCAAAGCACAUAACAGAUCUGGUACAUAGCGUGACAUACUUUAUAGAACCUAUGUCUGAGGCAUAGGGAAUGACUUUCAUUCUCUCUCUAUCUUCUGAUGUGGUCGGGCUUUGGGUCUUACUCAACUUCACACUUUACAAUAGAGGUUAUAACUCCUUUGACAAGACGAUUGGUGCACUGAAUGGUUGUUUCUCUCAUGUUUUUUCAACAGGCACAACUUGAGCACGUAAGGAAGAAAAUUGCAUACGAGAUUGUGACCAUGAAGGGGAACAAGGGAGAUAUUCCGGAUUUCCUGUACAAGGAGAUCCUUGACUGAUGCGAAGGAGCAGUGGUUAGGACUUCGUACGGCCCAUCAAGAUCCUUUAGUUGCAUUGAUGCAAAGGAAUUAGUCUUCGUUCCUGUGUUUAAGGGACAAAAAUCCCUGACUGAAUUUGAAAGUGCCAUCGCUCUGGGUGACAGAAAUUGGGCUAUUUCUUUGCAGCAAUUGCGCGCAUGUUUGGCGCAAACUUUGAUGAGUUGUCUGAAACUCUGAAUCCCUACUGUUAUAACUAGUGGUGCUGAUUUAGUGUCCUGCUUUAAAUAAGCCAUCUGAAUUCCCAAUGUUAUAACUAGUGGUGCUGAUUUGGUGUCUUGCUUUAAAUAAGCCAUCUGCAUUCCGAAUGUUAUAACUAGUGGUGCUGAUGUGGUCUCUAACUUUACGUAACAGUGUACUCCCUCCGUCCAGAUGUAUAGGGCAUCUAAGAAGAAGCACAGUAAUUUAGGCACAAAGAGAUUGGUCGAGAAGAAGUAAAUCGGACUAGGACUCCAACCAAUCACCGCUCCCUUUUCUUCCUCUUAAAUGGAUUUGUAUACAGCAAUCAAUUGCUAAUUAAUAUAGUGGGGUCGUUUUGACUUUUGCAUGAAGCCCGAUUGCUAGGGGGCGUGCAUGCAUAACAAUUGUGAUUUUCCAGGGAAAUUAAUCACAGCGGGCUGCGUAUGGAUAUGAGGCAUACGAGGCGUUGGAGGAUAACGAGGUUGAAUUAAUAGCUACACGACUUAUACAUUUGGAAUAGCUGAUUUUCGUUAGAUGCCCUAUGCACCUGGACGGAGGGAGUACAAGGGAUAGAAAUCCGUGACUGAAAUUUGAAGAGUCGUCCCUGCAGGUGUUCUUUUGCAGCAAAUGUCAACUGUUUUUUGCUUGCAAACGGCUGCACUUGUACUACCUUCGUCCUAGUUUAUUGGUCCCCAUAGUAUUUUAUGCUAAACUUUGAUCUUAGAUUUAGCUAAGAAAAAAAUAAUGCAUGUCAACAAAAAAUAUAUCCUUAGAUUCGUAUUUAAACAUAGUUUUCAAUGAUAUUAGUUUUGGUUAUAUGCAUUAAUAUUUUGUUAGCUAAAUCUAAGGUCAAAAGUUAGCACAAAAUUCGAAGAGAACCAAUAAAUCAGGACAGAGGUUUUACAAGAUUAUCCAACGAUGUGCUAGAUAUAAUAAGUGCAGGUCGGCAAGGAGGCGGCUCAGGUAAAUGACUGGGCGGUUCCGCUUCACCUGACCAGCGGUCAUCUCAUUCAAUGCACCCAUGAGCUGGCUUUAUUUGCCUGCAUCAAUUACAUCUGCUAUACCUGCAGAAAUACAUCAACCAGCACAGAUCCACAUGCUAGUGGACGGGGAUGAUUUCAGGAGAAUCGAAUAUCUGAUCUCACCCCAUAUAUUUUACAACUCCGAUGAAAUCUGAGUCAAUCGUGGCUUUAAUUGCCACAACGUCUCCAUUUUGUUUUCUUUUUUCCUUGAUUUCUGACAGGAAUCUCGGCAUCGAUGAGCUUUAUAACAGACACAGGGCCUCGCGUACGUACACAGUAGUGCACUCUGGACUGCACCCUCGGAAGUUUCGGACUAUCCUAGGAUCACUGGCCAUGAAUUCGGUGACGAAUUUGCUGUGCUUCGUUCUAGGGGCAGCGGCCACGGCAGCCUUUGUCGCGCUGCUGCUACCUUCUGUUCCGUGCCCGUACCCCAUCGCAGAUGUCGGCAUCAGGAAGCUCAACACGGUUCGUACCUACUCCCUCCGGAAAGAAAUAUAAGAUCGUUUAGAUCACUAUUUGAACUGAAACCGUUCGUUCUCUUUUGUUUCGAUUCUUGUCUUGUCACAUGUCUGAACUUAAACCAUCGUUCGCGUGUGUAGGUCGUGGUCGCAAGCGACGACGACGGGCUCGCGGAGGUGCUCCGCAGCGCGUCCAUGGAGGACAAGACCGUCAUCCUGGCCUUCGUCAAUGAGGCGCAUGCGAUGCCUGGCUCGCUCCUCCAGAUGUUGCUGGACAGCCUCCGCACCGGCGUGAGGACGGAGCCAAUGCUCAAGCACGUGGUGGUGGUGGCCACUGACCCCAAGGGGCUCGAGCGGUGCCGGCGCAUGCACCCGCUCUGCCACCUGCUCUCUGGAGCGAACGGCACCGCUCCCAACGGGUCGGAGCUCAUGUUCUAUGACAAGGACUACGUGGACAUGAUGUGGGCGCGCAACAGGUUCCAGGCGCAGGUGCUGGCGCUGGGCUAUGCCUUCCUCUUCACUGACCUAGACAUCUUGUGGUUCCGGAACCCGUUGUUGCGCAUUCCGGUCGGCGCCGACAUCACCCUGGGCUGCGACAACCAUUUCGGCGCCAACCCGUACGACCUGGACAAGGCCGCCAAUGGCGGGUUCGUGUACGCGAGGCCGACCACGGCAUCCCUGGCCUUCUUCAGGGACUGGUACGAGGCGAGGACGCGGUGGCCCGGGGAGAACGACCAGGUGGUGUUCAGAGAGAUGAAGCACGAGCUGGCCGCGAGGCACGGGGCGACUGUGCACCUGGUGGACACCACCUACUUCCAUAGCGCGUGCGAGGCGUGGAAGAAGUUCAACUUCCAUGAAAUAUGCACCUUCCACGCAGCCUGCAUCCACGGCCUGCAGGACAAGAUCGACAGGCUCAACGCCGUGCUCGACGAGUGGAGGCAGUUCAAGGCGCAACAACUGCUGCUCGGCGCCAACAGCACCGCGCUCACCUACUGAUCAAACUUUCUCGCUUCCUGUUUGGUUUGCUUCCUGUUUUUCUGGAAAAGAUUGACCUGUGCAAUUGUUGGGUUCUCCCUUGUCUACCUAGACUAGUUGAAUGCCCGUGCGUUGUCAUGGAACAAUAAAUUGGGAUGUGGAGACGCUGAUAUCAAAUAUCACUUUGACUCCUGUUUCUAAUGAUUAUGUUGAGAGAAAUACCAUCUUCAAGCGCAUCCUCGCGGCCUCCUCUGCUCUAUCAUCCGCUGCUAACUGUAAACUUUGGGAAUGCUUUUCAUUGAUUGAGACACAGAGUACAUAAUAUACGGGAGCGAGCCCGGACUCAUGUAUGGAUGUAGUGGCGAUCGUGGUGAAGAUCUUUGGACAACUCCNNNNNNNNNNNNNNNNNNNNNNNNNNNNNNNNNNNNNNNNNNNNNNNNNNNNNNNNNNNNNNNNNNNNNNNNNNNNNNNNNNNNNNNNNNNNNNNNNNNNNNNNNNNNNNNNNNNNNNNNNNNNNNNNNNNNNNNNNNNNNNNNNNNNNNNNNNNNNNNNNNNNNNNNNNNNNNNNNNNNNNNNNNNNUGUCACGGAAUGGUGCUGUUGGUAGUCCCUUUGUGAAGAUAUCGGUGAAUUGCGCACUGGUAGGAACAUGGAGAACGCGGGCCUCACCUAGAGCUACAUUCUGUCUUACAAAAUGUAUGUCAAUCUCUAUAUGCUUAGUCCUACGAUGCUGUACAGGAUUACAAGACAAGUACACCAUUGAAACGUUAUCAAAAUAUACAAUCAUCGCCUAACACUAACGACGAGCCGUAUUGUAUCAGUUCUCUUAUGUUGUUACAGACCAGAGUGAGCGUAACAUUGCUGAGCUCGUUAUAUCUUUUCCCCUCUUUAGCUAUCUCUUGCACGCCAUCCUACUUGGUCUUGUAUAGCACCGUACACCAAGGAUGUCUUAUUUCUCGGUAACAUUUGCACUCGCACCACCCCAAAUCGCCGUGGCCUCACCCCAGCUUGCAUUCUCGUUCAGGUCCUCCUAGCCGGCUAGCAUGUUUUCUUAGCCACAUCAUUGUGUCGCACUUGCUAUGUGUGAUUAACAUCGACCCUAUUGUGAUAGAUACUCCCUCCAUUUUUAUAUACAAGUCCACAAACUUAUAUUAUAGGUAUCAAGGUAGAAACUAAUGGCCACGUAAGCCAAUGUUGGGAACUACUCCCUCCGUCUAGGUGUGUAAGUCAUAUUACGAGGAGCUCCACAACCUAGGUGGCUAAGGAUUGGACGAGGCAAAAAAAUCAACAUGAAAACCAUCCAAUAGCUGUACCCCAUGACCAGCCAAAAAUUCAGCAAUCAAUUCUUAAUUAAUAGCGCAGCGUUCGCAUGCAAGCAGGCUUAUUCCCUUGACUAACCAGCGCCUUCUUUCUAUGCAUGCAUAGGUCGCUUAUUUAACAAUUAAUCCCUAAUUAACAGCCAAAGAAGAGAAAGCAUGGGUGGUUAAAUGAGGUGGGAAGAAAACAAGAAAACAAUUAAUGUUACGCGCCUAGGUGAUUUGGGAAUACCUGGUUUUCGUAAAGUGACUUACUCACCUAGACAGAGGAAGUAGUCUUUUCUCCUCGCUUGACGUGUUAAUUAAUGUGUAUUUUUCUCUCCAACGCACAACAAAACAACUCUCUCACUCCUCGUUGGUUGAUUAAUGAGGUGCACUAAAACCUCAUAAAUUUUAUCUCGAUUGGUGUUAGUGGCCUUGUAUAGCUGCAAAUUGUAAUUUUGAUAGUGGCCUUGUAUACAAAAAUGAAGGAAGUAGAUUAGUAGUGCUUACUAUUNNNNNNNNNNNNNNNNNNNNNNNNNNNNNNNNNNNNNNNNNNNNNNNNNNNNNNNNNNNNNNNNNNNNNNNNNNNNNNNNNNNNNNNNNNNNNNNNNNNNNNNNNNNNNNNNNNNNNNNNNNNNNNNNNNNNNNNNNNNNNNNNNNNNNNNNNNNNNNNNNNNNNNNNNNNNNNNNNNNNNNNNNNNNNNNNNNNNNNNNNNNNNNNNNNNNNNNNNNNNGCAAUUUAACAAGCACCGACUUCUUCCUGUAUCUUCUCCACUGACAAUCCUUUAUCCGUGUCUUCUUUUCCGUCCUUAUCCCUGCAUGCCUUUGUAAGUCCCCUCUUUCUCAUUCCUCUAUUGCACGAACAAAUUCAGUAACACCUCUAUGAAACUGAGCACCUCCUGAUACAAGGAGACGACUGAAUAUCGUAUACAUGGUCAUAUACUCCGAGUAUUUAUUCACAAACAUGGUGCUACUUUAAACAAUAAUAACUAGAAGAUGCCUCGUGUGGGAGUUUGUAAACUAGGAUUUCAAGAUAGAUUUGUAAAAUUCAAUUCAACAACGAUUACAGAUAGGAUUUGAACAACCUUAAAACUACGAUUCUCUACUAAUUGAACUACGGGCUCUUCCUCCUCUUGGAGGUGACCUCGCGUGGGAUGGAGACUUGGGUUGCCAUGACUUUCGCGGCCACAUGAUCGACAGGCGCCUGUACAACCUGGAUGUGGGAUACGACCACAUUUUCGUAGCCCAGAGUGAACGUGGCUUCCAUUUCUACACCAAAGGCCGUUGAGAUGCAGUCGAAGUAGUUGAUGGCGGCAGGGAGGCGGGGGCGGCUGACGACUGAUGCAACCUUACACGCGUGCAUCAUCGUUGACCCACUCGGAGUACUGCUACACCCUCUGGCAAAACUUCCUCUUUGCAUGGUCCUCUUUGGUAUCUAUGGGGAAGGUCCACAGGGAGGGCGUGGCCGACAUGGUCGAUGGAGGUGAUUAUAGUGGUGACGGGGAACGACAAAGAAAGGGGUCGGGUGGCGGUGGCAGACUUAGGGAGGCGAUGGGGGUGAGCAUGGCAACAAUGUCGAUCUAGGCGAUUGGGGGAGGGGGUGGGGUUAUACCCGCGAAUGAGCAUGAAACAAGGGGAGAUUUGCCAUGUGCAGGUGGGGAAUGGUUGCAAAACACGUGCCCAAGUAGGAGAUCUAGCUGGGUGCUACCUGAUGGCUCGUGUCCGUGUCAGAUUUUUCCCCGAAGAGUAAGGGAUGAUGCAACACAGCUAUGGUAGGUAUUUCCCUCAGUGAUGAGACCAAGGUUAUCGAACCAAUAGGAGAACCAAGCAACACAAUGUAAAUGGUCACACAAAGAACAAAUACUUGCAACCCGACGGUAAGAGGGGUUGUCAAUCCCUCUCGGGUAAAAGAUAGAAUGGUUUGCAGUUGAUUGGAUAAACCGAUCUCUAUAAACGUAAAAUAAAAUAAAUAAAAAUUGCAGCAAGGUAUUAUUGGGUUUUUAGAAUAAUAGAUCCAAAAAUAAAGUGGCAAAUAAUAGAUCGGAAAAUAAAUAUGAUAAAGAAUAGGCCCGGGGCCCGUAGAUUUCACUAGUGACUUCUCUCAAGAAAAAUAGCAUACGACGGGUAAACAAAUUACUGUUGGGCAAUUGAUAGAACUUCAAUUAAUUAUGACGAUAUCUAGACAAUGAUCAAUAUAUAGGCAUCACAUCCAAUAUUAGUAGACCGACUCCUGCCUGCAUCUAGUACUAUUACUCCACACAUCGACCGUUAUCCAGCAUGCAUCUAGUGUAUUAAGUUCAUGUAGAAAUGGAGUAAUGCAAUAAGAACGAUGACAUGAUGUACACAAGAUCUAUUCAUGUAGGAAUAGACCCCGUCUUGUUAUCCUUAAUGGCAACGAUCAAUACGUGUCUUGCUGCCCCUUCUGUCACCGGGAAAGAACACCAUAGGACCGAACCCAUCACAAAGAACCCCUUCCCAUGGCAAGAAAAAUCGAUCUAGUUGUCCUAACUAAACCAAAGAUUCGAAGAAGAAAUACGAGGCUAUAAAUAAUCAUGCAUAUAAGAGAUCCAAAGAAGACUCGAAUAAUUUUCAUGGAUAAAAUAGAUCUGAUCAUAAACUCAAAGUUCAUCGAAUCCCAACAAACACAUCACAAAAAGAGUUACAUCAAAUAGAUCUCCAAAAGACCAUUAUAUUGAGAAUCAAAAGAAAAAGAGGAUGCCAUCUAGCUACUAACUACGAACCCGAAGGUCUACAAUGAACUACUCACGCAUCAUCCGAGAGGUACCAAUGAGGAUGAUGAACCCCUCUGUGAUGGUGUCUAGAUUGGAUCUGGUGGUUCUGAAAAUUGCGGCGGCUCGAAUUGUGUUUCUCGACUCCCCUAGGAUUUUUGGAUUUUCGAGGUAUUUAUAAAGCGAAGAGGCGGUGCGGGAGGUGGCCGAGGUGGGCACAACCCACCAGGGCGCGCCUGGGCACAGGUGCACCCAGGUGGGUUGUGCUCCCCUCGGAGCCCCCCUCUGGUACUUCUUUGGCACAACAGGUGUCUUCUGGUCCAGAAAAAUUCUUCAAAAAGUUUCACUAUGUUUGGUACUGAUUUCCUGUGAAGUAAAAAACAAACAAAAAAUAGAAAUUGACACUGGGCACUAUGUCAAUAGGUUAGUCCCAAAAAAUGAUAUAAAUUGAUAUAAAAUAAUUGUAAAACAUUCAAGAAAGAUAAUAUAACAGCAUGGAACAAGAAAAAAUUAUAGAUACAUUGAAGACAUAUCACUACCAUCUCAGUUGGCAAUGGGAAUAGCACCCAGUUCUGGAUUGACCCCUGGCUUCAUGGGGAACCGCUCCGCUUUCGAUUCCCUAGGCUCCUUCCUAUCUUUGUUCACCCGAAACUCCUCGUCUCCGAUGCUAGUAUAGACGGGCAGUGGAAUAUCUUGUUCCACCGCUCCUUCGGACCAGCUGAAGUGCUUGAGUGGGACGUCUUGAGGGAAGUAGUUCCUCUCUCGCUGUCCCUGUCCCCUGACUCUGUUGCCUGGAGUUUCUCUCCUUUGGGAGAGUUCUCCGUGAGUUCUGCUUAUCAGACACUCUGCCGCCGUCCUGUCAUUCAAUGGUAGUCCCCUCUCUGGAAGGCGUCAUUACCCCUAAAGAUCAAGAUUUUCGUUUGGCAGCUCCUGCUUGGCCGCCUUCCCUCUGGGAUAGAGGUUCUUAAGCGGCAUGGCCCGGGUGAUGGUACUUUCCCCCUAUGUCACGUCCCGGAGACAGGAACCAUAUUAUGUUCUCUUGUGUAACGGCCCAAGCACUUUGUUCCUUUGUGCACAAGGCCGUUGGGCUAGACUAGGAGGCCCUGGAUUUGGCAGAGUUCCAGCAAUCUAGGGACACCCAGAGGGGACGCAAUCGCCGCUUGUUCUAGCUUAUCUUUGUCGCGUUGACGUGGACCCUUUGGACUACACGCAAUAAAAUGGUGAUAGAGUGGAUCUUCCCGCGAUAGACUUCUGACUCGUUCUUCAAAUUUCUUGCAUUCCUGCGACACUGGUAUCCGCUCGCUAGGCAGCGGGACAAUGACCGUCUAGACGCCAUCUUGGGUGCCCUUCUAGCUUCGGCGCACCGGCUUUCAUCUCGCUCAUCGGCUUCUUAGCUUGCCACGAGGUGGCCUUUUUUGUUUCUUCUUGCUUUCCUUAAAUGCAUUUGUGAUGUUGGCCCCAACAGGCUCUAUGCUAGUGUUGUAAGGCUGGUUUGUAUGGAUGUUUGCUUUCUAUAUAAAGCAAGGCGAAAGGCUAAUCCGGAAAUUACUUCUUUGUCAUAAGGGCGCUGGGCUGACUUAGUAAAGUUCGUGCACUGGACCAAAAUGGACAACUUCCAUCCAACUUGGUCUUGUAUAGCACCGUCCACCAUGGAUGUCCUAUUUCUCCGUAACAUUUGCACUCGCACCACCCCAAGUCGCCUCGGCGUCACCCCAGCUUACAUUCUUGUUUGAGUCCUCCUAGCGGGCUAGCAUGUUUUCUUACCCACAUCAUUGUGUCGCAAUUGCUAUGUGUGAUUAACAUCGAUCCUAUUGUGAUGGAUAGAUUAGUAGUGCUCACUUUUUUUGGAGCUAGUACUUCUUUGCNNNNNNNNNNNNNNNNNNNNNNNNNNNNNNNNNNNNNNNNNNNNNNNNNNNNNNNNNNNNNNNNNNNNNNNNNNNNNNNNNNNNNNNNNNNNNNNNNNNNNNNNNNNNNNNNNNNNNNNNNNNNNNNNNNNNNNNNNNNNNNNNNNNNNNNNNNNNNNNNNNNNNNNNNNNNNNNNNNNNNNNNNNNNNNNNNNNNNNNNNNNNNNNNNNNNNNNNNNNNNNNNNNNNNNNNNNNNNNNNNNNNNNNNNNNNNNNNNNNNNNNNNNNNNNNNNNNNNNNNNNNNNNNNNNNNNNNNNNNNNNNNNNNNNNNNNNNNNNNNNNNNNNNNNNNNNNNNNNNNNNNNNNNNNNNNNNNNNNNGCAUAACCGUUCGUAACUGACGGCGCCUCCUCCCACCUCUCGCCCGAUUUAAAAUCCCCUUCUCACAUUUCCCGAAUCGCUGCACCACCAACCACUGCCGCCUCUCCUCCUCUACCUCCACCAUCGGUCUCUCCAAGUUUGAAGAGGUUUGUCGGCCAUGUCUAGGCGCGGCAAGGGAGGCAAGGGGCUCGGCAAGGGCGGCGCCAGGAGGCAGAGGAAGGUCCUGUGCGACAACAUCGAGGGCAUCCGCAAGCCCGCGAUCUGGCGCCUGGCGAGGCAGGGUGGCGUGAAGCGCAUCUAGGAUCUCAUGUACGAGGAGACCCGUGGCGUCCUCAAGAUCUUCCUCGAGAGCGUCAUCCACGACACCGUCACCUACACUGAGCACGCCCAACGCAAGACUGUCACCGCCAUGGACGUUGUCUACGCCCUCAAGCGCCAGGGCCGCACCCCCUAUGGUUUCAACGGCUAGGCCUGCCCCGUCGUGGCUCUUCGUCGCCGCCUGCAGACACGGAAGCCUAUGUGAAACAAGCUUGUUGUUUUAUCUCGCUGUUGUAUUUCCUAUGUAGUUAGAAGAGAAUCGGGGAACAAAGCUGUUCACUUCUGAAGUUGGAAAUCAAACUUGUCUCCGCAAAUACUGUCUUUCUGAUUUCGUUUUGCUCUGUAUUCUGUUCAUUUUUAGUAUCAAAAGUAGGAGUAAUUGUUUAAUUGAUCGAAUAGGUGCUUCCAUAUUUUUUUUCAAGGAUGCGUCAAAAGCUUGACGCAUCAGAAGCAUAGGUAGAAAGUGCCAAGAAUGUAAAACAAUUCAUUACAACUCCACGGCUUACAAAGACAAAAAGAUCCACAUGCGGAUCACUCGCCGCUAUCCAACCUCACUACUCUACGUGGCAAAGAGUCGUGCUCACGAAACAAACCCGCGGCCCUCUAGUCCUUCCCCUCCUCGUCAACCUCCUAAGUACUACCACUACUAGGGAAAAGCCUAGUAGCAACGCGGGUUCUAGGUAUGUCAGUAUCGCGGGGGCCGGCACUACCGAUAAGACGCUACAGCUAACUCGUAGCAGCAACGCGUGUACUCCCGCGCUACUGCUAUACAAGUGUAGCAGCAGCGUGCUGUAUGGAAACUCGCUACAGCUAAUAACUGUAGCGUGCUUUGCUGGGACGCGCUACUGCUACUGUCACGCUGUUGCUAACUUUUCUCCACUCGCUACUGCUAAUUUUAGUAGUUUUUGAUUUUUUUCCUGCAUAUUUGUUUUAUAUUUGAACAUGCUUUAUACAAGAAUCUUUUGCACAUACAAAUGUCAUCAUCAUACACAUACAAAUGGCUGCAAGACCACAAAUGUAAUCAUAGCAUAUACAUACAAAUAGUCCCAUCAUAAUAAUCAUCCAACAUAAAGUGGUAUCUCGUCAUCAUCUCGAAAAUAGCGAUACAUGCAUGUCGAAUACUUGCAACUACAACGUCAUCCAUUUAAACCAUGAUAUACGCGAGAAGAGCUAUCACUAUGAAUGAGAGACGAACUAUGCAGUACAUAAGGCGGCGGUUACGACUCCUCUCUCACGCUAGCGUGAACCUCAAUUAACUAGCUUCUCCUUCUUGUAUGCUUUUGAAGCCUUUAUGGCUGACGUCCGAGACCCCAUUCACUUGCGCCUAACACUCAGUCCACUCGUUGCACACCCCCGGAACCUUACCUUUGUAUACGACAUAGCACUGCCAUCUCGCCAUCAAGAAGCUAGGUACCUGUUAGAGAUGCAUCUUCAUCAAGAGGAUGUACAAUCAUAUGCAACAAAAUAUAAUAAAGCAACACGAAAAAGAAAGGGUUAGCAACUGGAUGCAACAUACAAUAUGCAAACUAAUUAACUAGAGGUACGCAGGUCAUCAUACCCAAACUAACAAAGUAGCGUUACGCAAGUUCAGCAGGGACCGUGGACAUCACAAAGUUUCAUUGCUACAGAAAGUAUACAAGUUCAAUCAACACAUAUCAUCAUCAUUGGCAUCAUAAAUCACUAGAAGUUCCAUCCUUCCAUAUCAUCGAGGGUGGACCCUAGCUUCUUGAACGGCGUGAGGUCAUGAAGUUGCAUGCCUAUGCGAGUUCGGACGUCAGCUCGUGAUAUAGGGCCAUGGUGGAACAUCCCCUUCUCAUCGAUGACUUCUUUCAUGAUGAUCGUCGCAAUGUCCCUUUGGAUGCGAAAGAAGUCAUCUCUAAGUUUAUAAUCCGGUUCUCCAUGAGAUUCUACCCACUUGUGGAUAUGAUCAUCAUUUUUGUUUGUGAUCCUAAGUUUUUGGUGAUCCGUGCUGAACUCAAUCAUGAGAUGGAGGAUGUAGAAUCCAUCUUUCAUGCUUGGUUUUGGGACAUGGAUGCAGCGGAAGUUAGUUUUAUGCGCGAAACCCAUCUUCUUGUUCCUCUAAUGCUGAAGCCUUGGAGAGCAUCAUCUAGAAUAUUCAUUAUGUGGGUGUAGUCCUUCUUCUCGUAGUCUCUGGAAAGGUCAAAAUACACGGCGUGGGAGACUCGCGGGUAAAGGACGAUAAGGACGGUGCGCCCGUUGCAGCGGGGAAAAGACACCUCAAAUUAUUCUCCAUAUGAGCGAGAAGGAAUGAUUGAAAUGUACGAAAGGGUUGGCCAGAACUGACUUACUUUGGAUGAAAAGGCAGGAGGAUAAUUUCCUGGUCCUUAUUCUGUACCAUGAAGUUUUGGAGGUACUCUCUAGCAGUUUCACACCCAAAGUCACCGAGACUCAAGAAAGACUCGUGCAUGUAGUACAGAUCCGCCACACAGAUUUGCGAGACUUCUUCUCUCUUCAUGAUGGAGCUCAUAUGCAGCACAAAAAGGCGGACGAUUGUAAAAUCGAGCUGCCUUGUCAGAAACAUCUCUAAGAUAUGGUCAAACCGCAGGAAGAAUGCCUCCGUGGGCCGUGUGUGGACAUAGCACUUCCCCUCCGGCACACGAGCCGCGUAUAUCGGAUAUCCUGGAUCCUUCGAGGCUAGUAGGCUUUUCUCAGUCAACAACACAUGGUCGUGCAGUCUCCUGAGAUCCCCUGAUAGUGCCUCCAGCGGUUUCACCGGUAGCAUUGGCUCACCCGUGAGAUGGAACAUGGCUGCACCUUUCACGGGUACAUGUUCUUCAAAAUCCAUCAUCGGGCUGCUAUGUGCUUUGGCUUGUUUGUAGGAAGCUAUCUUCCCCAGUCUCUUCUUCUCCUUUUUCUUGGGCACACCUUUAAGACCCUUCGUUAACCCCUUUCCAGUGUUGUCGGGCUAAGAACUGUACGACCCCUGGCUAGUUGAGCCUGUGUUGAGGCGGCAUCUUCAGGCGUGUCCUGUGAGGAUUUCAUGAAGAGAGACUUCUUGCAAUUACUACUACGACCUUCUUGCCCGGGCAAAUCAUCCAUAUCUUCAUUAGCAUGCUGAUAGCCUGAUUCGUCAUCUGGUUGACUCAUCAUAUCUAAGUCACAGUCAUACACAUUUGUAUUGAGGAAAGCCAUUGGGUCGACCACGGUCUCAUCAUCCAUUCUCUGUUCUACGGGACCGAAUACAUCAGCCUGUACUAUUGCACCCCCUUCAUCACGUCGUCCGCCGCUCUCACCCGGCACUAUAGGAGCUGGUAAUUAUGUAGGCAGGGUGGUGGUCUCCUCACAUGCUUGUUGAUGUGUGGUUAUUGGUGUGCUCUCGUCCGGCUCCAAACGAAGAAGAUUCUUUGGCCAUAGCAGCACCCAACCCUUGCAGCUUCCAAUCCGUGGCGGGGUCUCAUCGUCCUCUCCCACUUGCCAUACUAGAGGAGGCAAUUAAAUCCUCGUGCCCUGAUUUCACACUGGACAAGUUAACCCUGAAGUGCCCAGCGGGGAUCGGCUGGUUGUGGAACGUGGGUUGCAAUGGGUUCAUUAUCACCCCCUUUCCCACGUCCACUUCUGGCCUUUGAUCAAGUAGAGUAUGGUGCAUGGGGUUUCGUCGGCCUGCAAACACAUGUCUGUGGCGUAAAACAUCCGAAAGGCAACGGAAAUGGAAUAUUCUAUAUAUAUAUAUAUAUAUGUUGGUGCGACAUGUAAUUACCGUGAGGGCCUCGAGCUCAGCCAAAGACGAAGGCCCACCUAGCGCGCCAGAGACUGAGGACGGGCUGCUAUGAGCGGGAGCGAGUGCGAGAGGAGGCCCGGUUGCGUGAGCAAGUGAUGGUGCGUGGUGUUGUUGUUCACGGAGUUGCUCGCAACGAAACUGGGCAAUAGGAAAUCAUGUACCGUCUUGUCUGGAUUUUUCUUCGUCCAGUUGAUGAUAGCUGGAACCAAGUUAGUAGUGAAAUCAUUUCUGCAUGCAGUUACAGCUGCAUUGACUGCCUGCUAUAGCAACUCAUUUUUCUCCACGGCUGUUUUUUUCGCGUCCUCAGCUGAUUUUCUCUCGACCACAAGCUUCACCUUCUCGUCGAUGUCUGUCUGACUAAACUUCUUUUUCUGCUUCUUGGCCUCCGGGCCCUCGUUAUAGAACACCUUCCACGUGGCGCCGUCUCCAGCGUUGUGCACACAACCAUAUUGCGGCCGCUGGCCCAAAGGGAGUCGGGGGACGGGGUCAGAGUCGGCACCAGGGUCGAGGUCGGGGGUGAGCGCAUGGGCGCGGCGAGGGCAGGGCUCCGGCGGCGCGACGGGGGAAGAGAGAGUGUGGGGAUUUGGUGGAAAAGAGGCCAGAUGAAGAGAGGGGUGGGGAUUUUGGGGGUUAAGUGGGCAUAGCAGUAGCGUGUUUUAACAAAAGGCGUUAUAGCUACUCCAGGUAGCUAUAGCAGUUUUGUGUAGAAACCGCUACUACUAUCUUGACUAGCUGUAGUUCUUUUCUAACAAAAGCGAUUCUGCUAUAUAGCAGUUUUCCUGUUUGUUUCCUUCUAUUUUCUUUUGCUUUAUUUUUUCUCACUUUUUGUUGGGGAUAUAACUACUGAGUGUAAACCGCCCAGGAGGGGCCGGUUCACCCUCAACUAUAUUGAAGCCCACGAAAACUCUAAGAUGGCGCCUUACUAUGAAGCUUAGAGGCCCGGAGCCCAAAGGCGGAUUAGGGCCCAUAAUGGUAAACCGCCAUAGUCAUGUAACUUGUGUUGUAAGAUAAGGAAAGGAGAGACCGAGCCGAACACUUGUAUGAGUCGGCCUCGGGACUCUGUAGACCGGCCGGGCGUCAACCCGUGUAUAUAAGGGGACGACCGGCCGGCAGUUCAGGGACAAGAAACACAACUCGAUAGCUAGGCAUAGCUUGUUUAGAUCCCUGGUUAGCGAGACCCCAAUAAUCCCAUCACAACUAGACGUAGGCCUUUACCUUCAUCGAAGGGGCCGAACUAGUAUAAAAUCCCUCGCGUCCUUUGUCCGGUUUAACCCCUUUAAGCUAACCCAUUGCGAUGGAUCCACGACUAAGUCCUUACACGAGGACAUCUGACGUGAUAUUUCCACGACAGUUGGUGCCCACCGUGGGGCUAUCGCACGAUGGUUUCGAGUUCUUGAAGGGCAGCUUUGAAGGACCCAAAGGAUACGUGGUGGGCCGGAUGACCAAGAGUCGUCGCGGCAAGCUCUACAUCGACGAUGCAGGCUGGGGCCCCAAGGCCGGCUCAAUCAAGUAUGGGUACCGGGUCCCCUUCGGCGGAAUUCACGUCUUCAUCGGCAAGAUCGGCGAACCGGGCCCUGAGCCGGACACCUGCACCGACCUCGUCGAAACGGCUCAGUGUGCAAGUCCCGCCCGGAUUCAGCCUACCGUGAAGCGUGCGUUCGUGGGAUGCGUCCACGGGAUCGGAUCUGAACCGGAAUCUGAGGGUGAGACGGUCGCUUAUUCCAACGACGAAUCAUCCGUUGGUGAAACCGAAUCCCUGUACCAAGUUCAGGAUGGCGUGUUGAGGGGUAUUCCGAUGGCACCAGUAUUCCGGAAUUUCUUGAACCGCCGAACCACGUUGGUAUCUUCAUGGCCGGAACACAACCAACUUUGCAAAACUCUACGGCGGCGACAUCUGGACCGGUAGCAGGGCAGGAGGCUCCGCGCGCCGGCCGGCUCAAGUUCUUUUCAGUUUGAUGGAUGCCUGGGCGGCCUUGUUGACCAUGGCAGUUACACCAGCGACGCAGGAUCAGCACAAUGCGGACAUUGCGAGUCUAAAAGAUCAGAUAACACAAGCCAAGGAGGACUUAGCGGCUGAGGAAACCAGGAUGGCGGAGGAACAGGCCGCUUUUUAGAUGCCCAGGCGCAAAGGAUUCGAGCUGAGAAUUAUCGGCUUUUGAUGGAUCAGAACGCUUUAAAUCAAGUAUCCAGGAGGAAACAUCAAUCUCGCUUGCCGGCGAAUUACAAUGCAAUGAAUCUCUUUGGAACGCCAGGUGCAGGAACUAGUAACCCGCCAGCAGUAAACCGGAAUACCGAUCCAAGGACCGGGGCGCCGGAUCAACCUCAGGUGAUGGGUCCGCCUCAGCGUACGAACAACCCGCCGCGGUAUACCACACCACCGCCGGGUCACUUCUCUACCCCGUUGGACAAUAUGAUAGCGGCAACAUCCCGGUUGGCCGCUAUUUCGAUUGAAGGUGAAUCGCCGACAGCAGUUGAGACACGGCGGGCCAGGGAUCUUCUUCAAACGGCUUUGACACAGCAGCAAGCUUACUCAUAUAGCCGAGACAGGGUUCACUCAACUCCACGACCGAGCAAAAGUUAUAGAAGGCAUAUAGAUGAACCGGAGGUGUCUAGCAGUGCGCGGCGCUGCAUUGUCCCUCAAGGGCCUAAUCCGGUGCAUGGUGAUAUGAAGGCUCAUGACGUGGUGGAUAAUGGUAGAACACGAAGGGAGGCCGCUUUAGCAGCACAACUUACAGGUCGAUACCAACCCGCCCCGGUUCAGCCAGCAGCAUCAGUGGACCGCGGCGUCGGAGUUGCUUUCACCUCGUGGGGAGUGCCGUGCCUUAUUCCGGCUCUCUGUAAUGUGCGAUUGCCUAAGGACUUCAAGGGCCCGGUGCCGAAUUACACCGCUGAUCAGCCACCCGAGGCAUGGGUGGAAAGUUAUGAGAUGGCAAUGGAGAUGCUGGACGUUGAUGAAGCGGCUUGUGCAAAGUACUUCACGAUGAUAUUGGAGGGGACAACCCGUACUUGGUUGAAAAACUUACCACCUAACUCCAUCGAGUCAUGGGACCAGUUGAAGGCCCGGUUUAUAGCCAAUUUCAAGGACACAUGUAAGCAGCCUAUGUCCAUUGUGGAUCUCGACGCCUGUGUGCAAGGGGAGAACGAGUCAACAACUCAUUGGGUGCGCCGGGUUUCAGAAGUCUUGCAUUCAUCGGACCGUAUUAAAGCUGGCUCGGCAAUCAUCACCUUAGAGCGUAAUUGCCGGUUUAAGUCACUGAAGAUGAAGUUGGGACGGCUCAAGCGUCACUGCAAUGACAUGGGCACCCUUAUGGCCGCCUUGGCCAAGUAUGCCGAUUCUGAUAAUACCAAGGAUCCCGAUUUUGAUGAGGAGAAACCGGAGAAGGGAAAGAAGAACGGCGGUGCAAAGGGACAGCAGCACAACCAAGGAGUCCAUGGGAAUAAUGGUAAGCGUAAAGCGGAUUCAGAUUUUUUAGCUAAUGCUAAUGUGCAGCGUCGUAAGGGUAAACCGCCCCAGCGCGGCGGCGGAAUGAAUCUGGAGCGUUUGUUGAAUCAGUCCUGCCCAAAUCAUGGGACCAAGGAGGUUCCCGCAACGCAUCUCUGGAAAUAUUAUCACAUUAUGAAGGAGUUCAAAAACUCUGAUAUUUUACGGUAUGAUCAGGGUCCAUCGGGCGGUUCAGGCCCAGGUUUUCAGGGUGGCGGCGGUUCAAACUCUGGAUUUCAGAAUAAUCAGGGCAAUCAGAACAACCAAGGUGGUAAUAACCAACAGAGUAAUCAAGGAAAUCAGCAGCAGUUGGGUUACCAGAGUCACCCAAAGCAGUUGAAUGGUGGGCAGUAUCAUGUGUUCACCACUAGUUUGUGCAAGCGUGAUCAGAAGCUUCACAAGAGGGCUGUUAAUGCUGUUGAACCGGCAGUACCACGUUACCUGCGGUGGUCCGAGCAACCUAUUGUAUCGAGCAGAGAGGAUCAUCCGCCCCGGGUUGAUAAUCCAGCUCACCUGGCGUUGGUGCUGGCACCUCAGGUGGGAGGUUAUAAGUUCAACAAGGUAGUCAUGGAUGUAGGGAGCAGUAUCAACAUUCUGUAUUAUGAGACCUUCCGUCGCAUGGGGUUGACAGACAAGAGUCUUAAACCAUCCAAUACUGUUUUCCAUGGUGUGGUACCAGGUAAAUCGGCGUAUCCUGUUGGUAAGAUCGCUUUGGAAGUUGUGUUUGGUGAUGAAAAUGAUUCCCGAUCUGAGACAUUGACCUUUGAAGUGGUGAGGAUCCAGAGCCCGUACCACGCACUGUUUGGGCGAUCGGCUUAUGCAAAGUUCAUGGUGAGGCCUUGUUAUAUUUACUUGCAGCUCAAGAUGCCGGGUCAUAAAGGGACCAUUACGGUUCACAGAAGUCGUAAAAUCGCUUUGGAUUGCGAGGAAGGUGAUGCGGCCUAUGCUGCGUCGGUUUGUGCUACAAAGGAGCUGAAGUUUUAUAAGGAAAAUGUUGAUCCGGCAGACAUGACCCCUCUGAAAAAGCCUACCAUUGAGCAUGACCCAACCUUGCAUUCCAAACCGGCUGAUGAGACUAAACUUGUUGACUUUGUUCCUGGUGAUUCAUCCAAGCAGUUUAGCAUCAGCACAAAUCUGGAUCCGAAAUAGGAAAGCGCGCUCAUCGAGUUCAUCCGUGAGAACCGGGACAUUUUUGCAUGGAAGCCCUCUGACAUGACAGGUGUACCGAGGGAACUCGCUGAGCACACUCUCAAUAUUGAUCCCAAGUUUAAACCGGUCAAGCAAUUUCUUCGUCGCUUUAAGGAGGAAAGAAGCAAGGCAAUUGGUGAAGAGGUAGCCCGGCUGUUGGCUGCUAGGUUUAUCGUUGAAGUAUUUCACCCUGAGUGGUUGGCUAAUCCGGUGCUUGUUCCUAAGAAAAACGGCACUUGGCGCAUGUGUGUGGAUUACACAAAUUUGAACAAAGCUUGUCCGGCCGAUCCUUUUGCUCUCCCGCGUAUUGAUCAGAUCAUUGAUGCAACGACGGGUUGUGAGCGUUUGAGUUUUUUGGAUGCUUAUUCAGGCUAUCAUCAGAUCAAAAUGGCAGUUAAGGACCAGGAGAAGACCGCCUUCAUCACUCCCUUUGGAGCCUUCUGCUAUGUUUCUAUGCCCUUUGGGCUCAAGAGUGCCCAGGCAACUUAUCAGUGCUGUGUACAGAAUUGUCUUCACACUCAGAUUGGGUGCAAUGUUCAUGCCUAUGUUGAUGACAUUGUGGUAAAAUCCAGGAAGAAGGAGACACUGAUAGAUGAUCUCAAGGCGACCUUUAACAAUCUGCGGGUUUACAAGAUGAUGCUCAAUCCGGACUGGUGUUCCGGCAGGCAAGCUUCUAGGCUUCCUGGUGUCCAACAGAGGCAUUGAGGCUAAUCCGGAGAAGAUCAAAGCGAUUACAUCUUUGGCUAAACCGGUGUGCAUCAAUGAUGUUCAGCAUCUAGCAGGGCGGAUUGCAGCCCUAAGCCGGUUUAUCAGCCGUUUGGGAGAGAAGGCGAUCCCUCUAUAUCAGAUGUUGAAGAAAACAUACACCUUUGUCUGGAGUGAUGUGCGGCUAAUGCGGCGUUUGAAGACUUGAAGCGGCAGUUGGCUGAACUGCCGGUCCUUGCUGCUCCGGUUGACAGGGAGCCCUUGUUGUUGUACGUGGCUGCUAAUGCCUGUGCUGUCAGUGUGGCAAUUGUGGUGGAGCGCAAGGUGGCUGGUAAGGAGUACCCGGUUCAACGGUCGGUUUACUAUAUCAGUGAGGUGCUUAUCGAGUCAAAGCAGCGAUAUCCGCAUUGGCAGAAGCUCGUAUAUGGGGUUUUGAUGGCAAGUCGGAAGCUCAAACAAUAUUUCCAAAGCCAUCCCAUUACAGUUGUCAGUUCAGCUCCGUUGGGUGAUAUAAUUAAGAACAGGGAAGCAACUGGCCGGGUUGCAAAAUGGGCAAUUGAACUUGGUCCACUUGGUCUGAAGUAUGUGCCCCGAACAGCCAUAAAAUCUCAGGCACUUGUGGACUUCAUCAAUGACUGGACCGAGUUACAAGCGCCAGAGGACAAACCGGAUAAUACAUACUGGACUAUUCACUUCGAUGGAUCCAGGCAAUUGAAGGGCUCGGGGGCUGGAGUUGUUCUUACUUCCCCUCGAGGUGAUAAGAUUCGUUAUGUCCUCUGUUUAAUGUUCCCCUAUACUAACAAUGCAGCUGAGUACGAGGCUCUGCUCCAUGGGCUUUGAGUGGCCAAGGAGAUGAAUUUAAGCCGGGUACGAUGUUUUGGAGACUCUGAUCUGGUGGCUCAGCAAGUUUCUGGCACUUGGGAUUCUAAGGAUCCACUCAUGGCGGCUUACAGACGUGAGGUGGAUAUUGUGGCGGGUUACUUCAAAGGGUAUCAGGUUGAGCAUAUCGAUCAGCGGAAAAACGAUGCAGCAGAUGCUUUAAGCCGGCUUGGAUCUCACCGUAAACCGGUACCUCCCAAUACCUUUUUAGAUAUCUUGCAUAACCCGUCUGUUAAGUGGCCUAUAGAGGAGGAUUUGGUUGUUUGUGAUCCGGAGGCUCAAUUGGUGGCCGCUUUACACGUUGUGCCGGAUUGGACGGUUCCAUAUUUGGCGUAUAUGAACCGGGGCGAGUUACCAGAUGAUGAAGUCCUGGCUCGGCAGAGAAUCCGGCGGUCCAAAUCCAUGGUUAUUCACAAUGGCGAGUUACACCGCUGCAAUGUUUCAGGCGUAUUGCAGCGUUGUGUUUCUCUAGAAGAAGGCCAAGAGAUCCUAACGGAAAUUCAUGAAGGGGAUUGUGGUCAUCAUGCCGGUUCAAAGUCCUUGGUUGCAAAAGGUUUUCUUCAUGGGUUCUACUGGUUGACAGCUCAUGCUGAUGCGGAGGAUCUGGUAAAGCGAUGUGAUGCUUGUCAAAAGUUUUCACGCAGAGCUCAUGUUCCGGCUCAAGAAUUAAGGAUGAUUCCCAUCACUUGGCCGUUUGUCACUUGGGGGCUUGACAUGGUGGGACCCUUGAAACACUCCAAUGAUAAGAAGACCCACCUGCUGGUGGCGGUUGACAAGUUUACCAAGUGGGUUGAAGCGGAGCCUGUCAACAAGUGUGAUGCGGCUACGGCGGUUCAAUUUCUCAAAAAGAUUAUCUUCCGCUUUGGUUUUCCACACAACAUUAUCACGGAUAAUGGCACAAACCUCUCUAAAGGUGAGAUGGAAGAUUUUUGUCAGAGAGAGCACAUCCGGCUUGACUUAGCAUCAGUGGCGCACCCCUAGACCAAUGGUCAAGCAGAGAGGGCUAAUCAAGAAAUCUUGAAGGGUAUUAAACCCCGGCUUAUGGUCCCUUUAAAGCGGACGCCGGGUUGUUGGGUGGAGGAAUUGCCUUCUAUUUUAUGGAGCAUCAACACCACUCCCAGCAGAUCGACGGGUUACACGCCUUUCUUCAUGGUGUACGGGGCAGAGGCGGUCCUCCCAAGUGACAUUCGUCACGAUUCGCCCCGGGUGGCUAAUUAUGUUGAAGCAGACAAUGAUCAAGCACGCCAGGAGGCGUUGGACCUGUUAGAUGAAAAACGGGAUAUGGCUUUAGCCUGUUCGGCGGUUUAUCAGCAAGACCUGCGGCAUUAUCCAACCGCUGGGUCAGGUCACGGACCUUUCAAGAAGGCGAUUUGGUGCUCCGGCUCAUCCAGGAUCAAACCGACAUGCACAAGUUAUCCCCACCUUGGGAAGGGCCCUUUGUGGUCAGCAAAAAUCUGCACAGCGGAUCAUACUACCUCAUUGACGUUCGAGACAACUCAUGCACUUCUGAGGAGGAGACCCGGCAGUCAUGGAACAUAGCUCUCCUACGGCCUUACUACACUUGAGCCAUAGGCUUUUCUUAUGUACAUAUUUCGACAAUGUAUAUAUUAUGAUCAAUAAAAUAAACCAGCAUCCUUGCUAUAAGCAGGGCCUCUGCUAUUUUUUCUCAAAUAUCCUUUGGGUUACAUGGGGACUUCAGCUGACAAAGCGGAGUACUACCUGUUAAACCGGCUAUCAGGCCACAAUACAGCUUGGGAGCUUCACACCCAAGGGGCCAAAGAGAGUCUGGAUGCUUUGCACAUCUCAAACAUAGGCACCUAAUGAGCACAACUCAUCACAUUACUUGGGGGCUCUUUGUGUAAAGUAACAAAGAGUUUGAAAGGACCCUUGUAGCUGGGUAUCGACCCACGGCUUGGAAGCCUGGUAUAUUUACCUAAAACCCCGGGUUAACCUGCCUUCAUCAAGUAAGCCACUCCUAUCUAGGUAAUCCUGGCAUGACCCUCUGAACGUUUGAUAGUUACUCUCAUUGAGACCCUGAACUUGUAAAAGUUAAAAAGGUGAUUGGUUAGUUGGAGGCCCAUCUUAAAAGGCUUUGUCAAAUGGUUUAACUCAGCAGCCUGGCAGCCCAUGAAAAGCCUCGAAUUUGGGCCUGGCAGCCCUCGAAAAGCCUCGAAUACACGGUUUUAUUUGUGUUUGUCAUUAUUUUUCUUUUGAUGACUUCUAUGUUAAACCGGUAUGUUUGAUCUGGUAUGGCUUUUCAGUCAUCAUAUUAACGCCGUGUUUGCUAACCCGUCUUGGAUGUCAACUAAAAGUUGACGAGCCUUAUUAUUAAAGCGGAGUUCAUUAACUCGGCCUGGCUUUGACUACUUGUCACCAGUUUUGAUCAUCUGGUGUUCAUCAUAACCCGACAUGACUUAUACACCAUCAGUACAAGGUGAAGUUGUAUAAAAUUCAAGAUUUGGGUCUUCACCCUUAAUACAAUCAAUGUUGGUAAACCAACUAAAGUGAUAUCACAUCAUAGGUAUGAGUUAUUUCAUAUUUCUUAAGGUUUGAUUGUCAAUCAGGCUUUAUCUUGGGUAUUAUGACCCGUCCAGCGGUAAACCGCCAGGACAAACUUUCUUUCUGCAGGAUUCAAAGUCGUGUUAUCACAGCAUAAGCAAACAUUGCAUGUGUUACGGCGGUUCAACACAACUAGUGCAUCAGCACAACAAACCAUAGAGUGUUAACUAGCCUAUUACAAGGCACUUUGAGGCCCAAAAAGCUGUUUGUUCUUGCACAAUAAAAGUUUAUCAUAGAAACAUAAAUGCCGGAUUAAGACUUGUUGCCCGGACGACGUGAAGUGGAAGGAUCUUCAGGCGCCGGUUCAACCUCCUCCUCUCCACCCAGUGGUUGGAAGUCAUUGGUGGUCCAGUCAAUCCGGGUUAACACCUGAAAGACAGCCUCUUCACCUAUCAGAUUGGACGGGUCAAUAUCAGGGGCGUAAGUGUGCUGACGAAUUGGUGGGAUAAGAGUUUGUGUCUCUGUCACUGUUGUGUCAACUCGAUGGUUCUCUUCAUCAUAAAAGACCGAUGAAUAGUCAGGUUGGCUUCUGCAGCCAGUUGACUGGACAGUGGACGCAUCUCCUUUGUCAGAGCUUUGAAUGUGUCAUUAUCAAAUGCUGAUCCGUCUGCCUGUUCAUCUGGAAAUCCCUUGGCAAUGUCAACCGGAUCCAAGUCAGAUAUCCAUGCUUUGGCCCGGGUCAGUGCCAGUAAAGCGCCAGCCCUGGCAGCAGACCGCUUCACCUCCUCUAUCUGGGCCGGUGUCAUGGAUAAACUAGCUAAGGUAUCCUUGAUCAAUGUUGGUUCGGUUUGUUAUAGGAGACUGCAGAAAUAACCCGUUGGGCACCGGUGUACAGUUGUUCAAUCAGUGUAUAAGCCGCCUUCAAUUUCAUCCGCAUAUCUGUUCCCAGAUGAGCAAUGUGAUGGCCUGCGACGGUUUAAGAAAUUUAAGUUAAACCGGCGGAGAUGAUAGUACUACAGAGCACGUGUUCUACGGUACUUACCAAACACAGCAGCUGUCAUGGAAUUCACUUGACGUUUCAGACCCGUCAGUUCUUCUUCAACCGGUUUAAGGGCUGCUUCAGCAUCUUCCGCCCGCUUCAAUAAAACAGCCCUUUCAGUUUCCCAGUUGGUGCGGUCUGUUUUGAAGCCCUCUUUAAGUUUUUCCAUGCUUGCCAAGGCACCCUUGAGCUCUUCUUUGGCUUUAGAGGUUUGUUCUUGCUGUAGCUUGAGGAUUUCUUGAAGAUCGACGGUUUGGGACUCCUUGGUCUUCAUGUCAGCCUGCAAAGUCAGAUGAUACAACAGUUACAGAUUUCUUAAAGUCCCAAGUGCAUAAUCAAUUAAACACUUGGCACUUGGGGGCUAAUGAGGAUUGCUUUUAAAGUGAAUAUUUUUCAAAGUCCCAAGGCUCAAUCCAGGUAUUAUGCUUGGCACUUGGGGGCUAAUGUACAUUCAAUGUCAUAAAGGAAAGGCUGUUCAACAGGGACAGACAGUCCCGGUUUGUCUUCAAGAAGACAAACCGGCCCUUGGGAGUUACUACGAUUGAAGUGUUCUUUACAUCAAAGACCCGGCUUAUCUUCAAGAGAUAAACCGGCCCUUGGGGGCUACAAUGGAAAAACUACAGGAUUGAACACGUUUCAAAGUAUUCAUACCUCAUAACGCCCCUUCAUCAGAUUUACCAAACCGGGUUCCAGGUCACGGCUGGUGUACAGAUGGUUUAAAAAACCAGGAUGAAGCUCUUCAGCGCUCAGAUUGACAUAGUGGGAUAAAUCCGUCUUCCCCUUCCCCUUGCCCAUAGCGGCGAAUUCCUCCUUAGCGGUAUGUUUGGCCAAGAUAACUGGAUUGCCAGGACUGGUGUGACCCGUGCCGGUGAUUACAACAUCAUCAUCAUCAUUCUUUGAUGGGCUUGGCGGUUUGCUGGAAACCCUGGCUGGACUUGGCGGGUUAGCUGCCGGGCUUGGCGGAUCAGCAGCCGGACUUGGUGGAGGGUUAGUACGAGGGCUCGACGGAUCAGCCUCUGGUGGAUUAGCCUUAGUAUUUACACCUUGCAGGAUGGAAUCAUCCAUAACAUCAGUACUUAUACCGGUGUACUCAGCAGCCCUCUCCGGUUCCACUUCACCAAUGGGGGCACUAGUUUUAGCCUUCUUGCUCAGGCGAGCUUUGGCACUGUGACAUCACAACAAAGAUUAGCAUGGUAAACCGAACUGUGAAGGACAAACAUGAAGAGUAAUGUACUUACCCAGGAACGGUUUUCAGGGGAGGCAGCUGAGUGGUUGAUGAACCGCAAGACGAAUUGGAAGACGCCUGGUAAUUGGGAUCAGACGGGGUAAGUGGGUCUCUGAAGAAACCCUUCAAAGGAUAAAGUUUUUCAGGAGAACAAGUAACCUCUGGGCGACGUUUCCGGUUUGGCGUAUCCGGUAAACCGGAAGAGGUGAUCUGCUGGCCACUGUGCCGGGUUGUGCGACGUUCUUCAGCUUGCUGUGUCUUCAAAUAAAAUUUUGGAUCUAGAUAAGCAAGAGGGUGAGAGUAUUUCACCUUCCGAACUGUACGGCGAAAUCUUUGAACUGACACAAGAUCUGAAUCGGAGGAAAGAGAGAUUACCUCAACAUGGUCUGCACGACUGGCUGCCGCAUCAUCCUAGGAAUAGUUAUUGUCAAUAAGAUGUAUGAAAAAGGAACCAAGUGAAUCAAGUUCUACCUCUGGAUCUGAUUCGUCAACAUCUUCCGGCGGAUCAGAAGAUUCGGCGAUUUUCUUCUUGCCCGCUUUCUUGAUGACUUUGGUUUUUGGACAAGCCCUCGCCGGUUUAGUCCGUUUCCAGAAAGAGCUGUUGUCCUGUAAGAAUUAAAGGAAAGGAGUCUCAUCACAUUAUUAAAGCACAGGUGAACAGUGAGCAUUAAUUUAAAAUUACCGCUGGCGGUUUGUUGGUGGCGCAAAAAGGUGGCAACCCGGUUUGGCUGCAUGCAGAGAUUGUUUCAUCAAGCAUCUUCUUCACACAUUCAGUAACCUCAAGGUCUGUCAUCACCAUCUCGUGAUACCGUUGAGGACCUUUGACGUUGCCAGUAUAUUCGUGCAUCAAUCCGGGACGGCGGCUUAAAGGCAGAAUGCCCCAGGAAACCCAGCAGCGGACGAGAUCGAUUCCAGUCAAACCGUUGGCCAUGAGGGCCCGGAGCUUGGUGAUUUGAGGAUCAAAGGUUUUUUGCUUUGCGGCGGACAAGCGUGAAGGUAAUGGGUGGUUGUUGCUAAGCCGGUGAGGGCGGUAACCCGACAAAGGAUUUUCUCCGUCAGGGGCAGUGUUCCGGCAAUAAAACCAAGUUUGGUUCCAAUAUUUAGGAUGACUAUGGUGUUUUUCAUGAGGGAAAUCAACUUCUUUCCUUUUCUGGAUUCAAACGCCACCAAGUUCUAUGUUGGGACCAUCAGAGAACUCCGUACGGCGGUUCAAAUGGAAAAAAUCUCGGAACAACUCCACAGAUGGUUCUUCCUGAAGGUAGACUUCGCAGAAUACUUGAAAGUUACAGAUAUUGGACACGGAGUUCGGUCCUAUAUCUUGUGGAUGGAGUUGGAAGCUUGCGAGGACAUCCCGGAAUUUUUUUGAUCCGGCGGGACUGAAUCCCCGGUCUAAGUGUUGCAUAAAUACAAUCACUUCUCCAUCUUGAGGUUCAGGAGGGCAUUCAGAAUCCGGAACACGCCAAUGAAGGACCCUUUUUGAGGCUAAAGCGCCGGUGGUGACAUAUCCAUUGAUUUGUGUCUCAGUGAUCUUGGACGGGACCCAAUUGCAGGCAGAGAAUUGUUUGGCCAUUCCGGAAGAAAAACUGUGAAAGGAAAAGUAAAGGCCGGUUUACAAUUAACGGUUUACGCAUAUAAUUCAGUCUUAAACCGGCAAAUUGCCGUCCAAAUUCAGUUGGCGGUUUAAGAGAGGGCUAAUGGUAUAUGGCGGAUUGGUUAUCAAAGGUUAAACCGCCCAUAGACAGAAGGGCUAGGAUGCAAAAUCUACUAAGUGUUACAAAAACAGGUUUCACAAUUUUGCAGUACAAUUUUGGAUCUACCAUGGAUAACUAAGAAAAUAUUCCUGAACCCUACAAUGGUGCUAGGAGGAACAGUGACGAACCAGACAGAACUUAUUCAGAAGCAAAAUGAUGCUACGGUUGGGAGAAGUAGCAACAUGAAUCUAGCCGCAGUUUAAGACUCUCAGGCGUACAUAGAUAUACUAAGUACAAAGACUAGAGAGAGGAACACAGAAGAACUGAUGAACAACGGAGGACAUGGAUGAACUCGAGAAUCCUAAUGAAGAUCUAGGGUUACAAGGCAUGAACGUACCAGGGCCACUCGGCAGCGGAGGGUCGCGGCAGGGUCUCUGGAACAAACAAGUCGAUGCAGCGGUCGGGGUCGGUGCAGAUCCGAAGAGCGACGGCGGCGGCGGCGCGGAGGUCUUUCGGGUCGCGAGGUGGAAGAUGAGAAGAAAGAGGAGAAAGAUGAAAGGGCCCGUCGGGCUUAUUUAUAAUAAGGCAGAGGAUAAGUGAUAGGAGCGAGAUUCGGGGAGUCCAAAGCGGCAAGUGGUGCAGCUGUCGCCUCGAUUUCUAGGAUGACAUUAAAUGAAGGGAAUCUUUUUUUGUUUUUUACAAGAGAUGAUGUCAUGAUGAUCCGUUGCUGUGUCCAGAGGAUGACAUCACGGCGGUUUAACAAGAUUUACAAAGGGAAGACAUCAUGGCAGUUUAUGAGAAAUGAAGGAAGAUGUUUACAGGAAUUUUCUAAGUGUUGAAGAUUGACAUGAACAGGUUCAAAUCAAUCUGGGGCCUAAUGUUGGGGAUAUAACUACUGUGUGUAAACCGCCCAGGAGGGGCCGAUUCACCCUCAACUAUAUUGAAGCCCACGAAAACUCUAAGAUGGCACUUUACUAUGAAGCUUAGAGGCCCGGAUCCCAAAGGCGGAUUAGGGCCCACAAUGGUAAACCGCCAUAGUCAUGUAACUUGUGUUGUAAGAUAAGGAAAGGAGAGACCGAGCCGAACACUUGUAUGAGUCGGCCUCGAGACUCUGUAGACCGGCCGGGCGUCAACCCGUGUAUAUAAGGGGACGACCCGGCGGCGGUUCAGGGACAAGAAACACAACUCGAUAGCCAGGCAUAGCUUGUUUAGCUCCCUGGUUAGCGAGACCCCAAUAAUCCCAUCACAACUAGACGUAGGCCUUUACCUUCAUCGAAGGGGCCAAACUAGUAUAAAAUCCCUCGUGUCCUUUGGCCGGUUUAACCCCUUUAAGCUAACCCGUCGUGAUGGCUCCACGACUAAGUCCUUACACGAGGACAUCUGACGUGAUAUUUCCACGACACUUUUCUUUUUUCCCGAGAGCAGUGAACGAACAGAAGGCGGUAUAUAGUGCAUGAGUUGACGGUUUAGUAUGUAUACAAAAUAGGAACAUUUAUAUUACAUCAUUGGACCCAUGCAUAAUAAUGGCUAAGUGUGUAUACAAAAUAGGAACAUAUACGAAAUAGGAACAUCAUUUGACCAAUAACAUACGGUUCCUCAGUGUUGACGUUUUCGUUUUUGAGUCAGCUUCUUUCCCUUCUUGUUCGUUGAAGAAUAAUUGAGCCCCUCAUUGUGACUUUUCCUUUUCCACGGAGUAAGAUUUUUCUUAGGUAAUGUAGUAUUGCUUCUUAUUUUGACGUAUACUUCAUCAUCAUCGUCAUCUUCCCUCAUUGGGUUAUCGUACUGAUCGUAGUCUUCCUCGUUGGCGACUCCAUCCAUUCCAAUGAUGUUCCUUUUGCCUCUCCUCAUGACAACACGGCUGGGAUUGCACGGGUCGGUUAUGAAGAAGCAUUGUGUCACGUGCUAAGCGUGUACCCAUGGCUCUUUUUUGCGAAAGCGUUCACGGUAGCGCUCUUGGCAUCGGGUAUAGUCAUGGUAGUGAAAUUCCGGUUUUCUCUUUCGACAUGCUUAGCCCAUCUGACACGGAACAUUAUAAGGUUGUGCAGUCCAGAGUAGUCAAGCUCCCAGAUCUCCUCAACCCUUUCGUAAAAUCUUUCAGUUGCGCCAUUGUUAUUGCCGGUCAUGCAUUCCAUCGUCACCCCUGAUUUUUGAUCAUCACUGUCCAUAUCUUUGGCCUCCAUGUAGAACGUGUAUCCAUUGAUAUCGUAUGCCUGAUAGGUUACGAGGUUGGGAGAGGGGCCAUGUGCUAAGGCGUAUAUGAGCAAUCCAUCCUUAGAGCCCUCCUCCAAGGGAUUAGCAAUAAUAUGCUCUUUGAACCAGUGCAGGAAAGUGGAGUUGUGCUCUCUAGUAACUUUGGCAUCUGUCCUGCAUACCGCCCGGUCACGAUACUUCUUUGCGAUAAUUUCUUUGUGCAGUGCCACGAAAGGAUCUACCUCGUCUAGGUGUUGUAGCACUACCAAGUUUGCUCUGUCAAAGUUGCUGCAUCGAUCUGAGUAUGCCACGUGCAGUUCCCUGCGACCAUUGGAGUGAAAUUCUCCUCGAGCCUCCCAUUGUUCUUGUUAAUGGGCAAACCAACACUAACACCAGUCAGCUGGUCUACACCAUAUAGAAAAUUCUCACUGAAAGAGAUGCACUCUUGUGUCAAAUAGCCCUGGAUGAUGCUUCCAUUCGGACGGGACAUGUUACAAACGAAUCCUUUGAUGAUCACAUUCAUCCUCUCAAACGGCAUCAUGUUGUGCAGGAAUGACGGCCCCAGGUCUAUUAUGUCGUCUACAACAUGGACACACAGAUGCACCAUCACGUCAAAGAAUGCAGGCGAGAAGUACAUCUCAAGCUCAUUCAGUAUCACAACGAACUCUUCCUGUAGCCUUUGGAGCUGCUUCACACUAAUCGACUUUUGAGAGAUGACGUCAAAAAAGUUGUAGAGAACAAUAAGCGUGUCACGGAUGUGCUUUUCCAUUAUCCCUCUAAGGGCAACAGGUAGUAUCUGCGUCAUCAUCACAUGCCAGUCAUGGGACUUUAUCCCACUGAACCUUUUCUUGUCCGUGUCUAGGUAUCUGCUUAUCUUGCCACAUUAACUGGAACUAACUUUGACUCCGGUAAGGCACUUAAAGAAUUGAUCGAUCUCAGCCUUACUUAAGGUGAAGCAAGAAGGGGGGCAAUAAUUCUCUUCCUUUAGUUUCUUGCCGUUCUUCUCCCACGCCUCUGUCUCCGUCUCUGUCUCGUCAGACUUACAUGUGUAGAUCUUCCCUGAUCCUUGGUCUUAUCCGUCAUGUUCAUCAGUGUCGCGAGCAAGCUCUCAAGGACAUUCUUACAUAUAUGCAUUUGAUCAAGGCAAUGAGGUGUGUCGAGUUUGUGCCAGUACUCCAAGUGCCAGAACACAGACCUUGUCUUCCAUACCUUUAGCACCGGCUCCGGCACCUUUUUCAUCGUCCUUCUCGGCAUGGGGCACUUCUCCUAGUUUUUCAACAGCUCAUUGAUGUAGGCGCCGCUCCGCUUACAUGGAGGUUCGCGAUGCUCAGCGUGACCAUUGAAUGGAUCACCAUGGUUUCUCCAUGGUUCGUCUGGUUCGACCCAUCUUCGAUGCCCCAUGUACACGAUUUUUCCAGACCCGCCAUCUUUCCUUGACGUUAGCUGCUGAGACGUCGUAUCAUCCAUGCACCGCGUGCAUCCGCAAUAUCCAUGGCACACCUGGCCUAUGACAUAUCCGUAACUGAGAUAGUCGUGAACCGUCGUGAUAAGCGCGACUCUCAUGUAGAAAUACUCGCCUUUGCUAGCGUCCCAUGCCUUGAUCAGUGCGGCUCUCAUGUAGCGCGUGUCAUGACACAGUGCUGCUGCUAAAGUUAGGUUAAUGGGUACUGUCGGUCGAUUUUUGUAGCAGCGCGGUUUAUCCACCACACGCUACUGCUAAAUCUGUAUCCAUAGCGUGUGUAUUGUACCCACGCUACUGCUAAUUAGCAGGAGCGCUGCUUUUUGUGCCGCGCUGCUGCUAAGAUUCUGUGUAUAAGGUUUUCCCUAGUAGUGUACAUCCACCGAGGGGGAAGCACCAUUAAACACUAUGUCAUUCCGGUGUCUCUAGAUCGUCCAUGCCACAAGGGUGAUCACAAGGGUUCCGUCACUUUCUAUUACCUAUACCGAGAGUCGUUACUGUCCCCCGGAUUGUCGUCUUUGUUGGAAAUAUGCUCUAGAGGCAAUAAUAAAUUAGUUAUUAUUAUAUUUCCUUGUUCAUGAUAAUAGUUUAUUAUCCAUGCUAUAAUUGUAUUGAUAGGAAACUCAAAUACAUGUCUGGGUACAUAGACAACACAAUGUCCCUAGUAAGCCUCUAGUUGACUAGCUCGUUGAUCAAUAGAUGGUUACGGUUUCCUGGCCAUGGACAUUGGAUGUCGUUGAUAACGGGAUCAAAUCAUUAGAAGAAUGAUGUGAUGGACAAGACCCAAUCCUAAGCCUAGCACAAAGAUCGUAGUUCGUAUGCGAAAGCUUUUCUAAUGUCAAGUAUCAUUUCCUUAGACCAUGAGAUUGUGCAACUCCCAGAUAACGUAGGAAUGCUUUGGGUGUACCAAACAUCACAACGUAACUGGGUGGCUAUAAAGGUGCACUACAGGUAUCUCCGAAAGUGUCUAUUGGGUUGGAACGAAUCGAGACUGGGAUUUGUCACUCCGUGUAAACGGAGAGGUAUCUCUGGGCCCACUCGGUAGGACAUCAUCAUAAUGUGCACAAUGUGACCAAGGGGUUGAUCACGGGAUGAUGUGUUACGGAACGAGUAAAGAGACUUGCCGGUAACGAGAUUGAACAAGGUAUCGGUAUACCGACAAUCGAAUCUCGGGCAAGUAUAAUACCGCUAGACAAAGGGAAUUGUAUACGGGAUCGAUUGAGUCCUUGACAUCGUGGUUCAUCCGAUGAGAUCAUCGUGGAACAUGUGGGAGCCAACAUGGGUAUCCAGAUCCCGCUGUUGGUUAUUGACCGGAGAAUGUCUCGGUCAUGUCUGCAUGGUUCCCGAACCCGUAGGGUCUACACACUUAACGUUCUAUGACGCUAGGGUUAUAAAGGAAGUUUGUAUGUGGUUACCGAAUGUUGUUCGGAGUCCCGGAUGAGAUCCCGGACGUCACGAGGAGUUAUGGAAUGGUCCAGAGGUAAAGAUUUAUAUAUGGGAAGUCCUGUUUUGGUCACCGGAAAAGUUUCGGGUUUUAUCGGUAACGUACCGGGACCACCGGGAGGGUCCCGGGGGUCCACCAAGUGGGGCCACCGGCCCCGGAGGGCUGCAUGGGCCAAGUGUGGGAGGGGACCAGCCCCAGGUGGGCUGGUGCGCCCCCCCACAAGGGCCCAAGGCGCCUAGGGUUUGGGGAGGGGGUGCUUCCACCUAACUUGGGGGGCAAGUUUCCCCCCUCUCCCCCCUUGCCCGCCACCCUUAGAUGGGAUUAGGGCUGCCGCACCCCUUGGGGUGGAAACCCUAGAGGGGGCGCACCCCCCUCCCUCUCCCCUAUAUAUACUUGAGGGUUUUGGGGCUGCCAACAGAUGAGUUUGACCUCUCCUAGGCGCAGCCCUACCUCUCUCCCUUCUCCUCUGUCGCGGUGCUUGGCGAAGCCCUGCAGGGUUGCCACGCUCCUCCACCACCACCACGCCGUUGUGCUGCUGCUGGACGGAGUCUUCCUCAACCUCUCCCUCUCUCCUUGCUGGAUCAAGCCGUGGGAGACGUAACCGGGCUGUACGUGUGUUGAACGCGGAGGUGCCAUCCGUUCGGCACUAGGAUCUCCGGUGAUUUGGAUCACGAUGAGUACGACUCCUUCAACCCCGUUCUCUUGAACGCUUCCGCUUAGCGAUCUACAAGGGUAUGUAGAUGCACUCUCCUUCCCCUCGUUGCUGGUUUCUCCAUAGAUAGAUCUUGGUGACACGUAGGAAAAUUUUGAAUUUCUGCUACGUUCCCCAGUAGUGGCAUCAUGAGCUAGGUCUAUUGCGUAGAUUCUUUGCACGAGUAGAACACAAAGUUGUUGUGGGCGUUGAUUUUGUUCAAUAUGCUUACUGUUACUAGUCCAAUCUUGUUUCGACGGUAUUGUGGGAUGAAGCGGCCCGGACCGACCUUACACGUACACUUACGUGAGACAGGUUCCACUGACUGACAUGCACUUGGUGCAUAAGGUGGCUAGCGGGUGCCAGUCUCUCCCACUUUAGUCGGAACGGAUUCGAUGAAAGGGUCCUUGUGAAGGGUAAAUAGCAAUUGGCAUAUCACGUUGUGGUUUUGCGUAGGUAAGAAACGUUCUUGCUAGAAACCCAUAGCAGCCACGUAAAACAUGCAAACAACAAUUAGAGGACGUCUAACUUGUUUUUGCAGGGUAUGCUAUGUGAUGUGAUAUGGCCAAGAAGAAUGUGAUGAAUGAUAUGUGAUGUAUGAGAUUGAUCAUGUUCUUGUAAUAGGAAUCACGACUUGCAUGUCAAUGAGUAUGACAACCCGCACGAGCCAUAGGAGUUGUCUUUAUUUAUUGUAUGACCUACGUGUCAUUAAACAACGCCAUGUAAUUACUUUACUUUAUUGCUAACCGGUAGCCAUAGUAGUAGAAGUAAUAGUUGGCGAGACAACUUCAUGAAGACACGAUGAUGGAGAUCAUGGUGUCAUGCCGGUGACGAUGAUGAUCAUGGAGCCCCGAAGAUGGAGAUCAAAAGGAGCAAAAUGAUAUUGGCCAUAUCAUGUCACUUUUUGAUUGCAUGUGAUGUUUAUCAUGUUUAUACAUCUUAUUUGCUUAGAACGACGGUAGUAAAUAAGAUGAUCCCUCAUUAAAAUUUCAAGAAAGUGCUCCCUCUAACUGUGCACCGUUGCGAAAGUUCGUCGUUUUGAAGCACCAUGUGAUGAUCGGGUGUGAUAGAUUCUUACGUUCACAUACAACGGGUGUAAGCCAGAUUUACACACGCGAAACACUUAGGUUAACUUGACGAGCCUAGCAUGUACAGACAUGGCCUCGGAACACAAGAGACCGAAAGGUCGAGCAUGAGUCAUAUGGAGGAUGUGAUCAACAUGAAGAUGUUCACCGAUGAUGACUAGUCCGUCUCACGUGAUGAUCGGACACGGGCUAGUUGACUCGGAUGAUGUAAUCACUUAGAUGACUAGAGGGAUGUCUAUCUGAGUGGGAGUUCAUGAGAUGAACUUAAUUAUCCUGAACAUAGUCAAAAGAUCUUUGCAAAUUAUGUCGUAAGCUCGCGCUUUAGUUCCACUGUUUAGAUAUGUUCCUAGAGAAAAUAUAGCUGAAAGUUGGCAGUAGAGAUUAUGCGGACAGUAGAAAGCUUAUGUCCUUAAUGCACCGCUUAGUGUGCUGAACCCCAAUCGUCGUCUGUGGAUGUUGCGAACAUUGGACAUACAUGUUUUGAUAACUACGUGAUAGUUCAGUUAAACGGUUUAGAGUUGAGGCACCAAAGACGUUUUUUCGAAACGUCGCGGAACAUAUGAGAUGUUUCGAGGGCUGAAAUUGGGAUUUCAGGCUCGUGCCCACGUCAAGAGGUAUAAGACCUCCGACAAUUUUCUUAGUCUGCAAACUAACGGAGAAAAGCUCAAUCGUUGAGCUUGUGCUCAGAUUGUCUGAGUGCAACAAUCACUUGAAUCGAGUGGGAGUUGAUCUUCCAGAUGAGAUAGUGAUGUUUCUCCAAAGUCAUUGCCACCAAGCUGCUAGAGCUUCGUGAUGAACUAUAACAUAUCAGGGAUAGAUGAUCCUGGAGGUAUUCAUGAUGUUUGACACCGCGAAAGUAGAAAUCAAGAAGGAGCAUCAAUUGUUGAUGGUUGGUGAAACCACUAGUUUGAAGAAGGGCAAGGGUAAGAAGGGACACUUCAUGAAACGGCAAAUCAGUUGCUACUCCAGUGAUGAAACCCAAGGUUGAACCCAAACCCGAGACUAAGUGCUUCUGUAAUAUGGGGAACAAUCACUAGAGCGGAAUUACCCUAGAUACUUGGUAGAUGAGAAGGCUGGCAAGGUCGAUAGAAGUAUAUUGGAUAUACAUUAUGUUAAUGUGUACUUUACUAGUACUCCUAGUAGCACCAGGGUAUUGAGAUACCGGUUCGGUUGCUAAGUGUUAGUAACUCGAAAUAAAAGGCUACGGAAUAAACGGAGACUAGCUAAAGGUGAGCUGACGAUAUGUGUUGGAAGUGUUUCCAAGGUUGAUGUGAUCAAACAUCGCAUGCUCCCUCUACCAUCAAGAUUAGUAUUAAACCUGAAUAAUUGUCUUUUGGUGUUUGCGUUGAGCAUAGACAUGAUUGGAUUAUGUCUAUCGCAAUACGGUUAUUCAUUUAAGGAGAAUAAUGGUUACUCUAUUUAUUUGAAUAAUACCUUCAAUGGUCUUGCACCUAAAGGAAUGGUUUAUUGAAUCUCGAUCGUAGUGAUACACAUUUUCAUGCCAAAAGAUAUAAGAUAGUAAUGCUAGUAACACUUACUUGUGGCACUGCCAUGUAAGUCAUAUUGGUAUAAAACGCAUGAAGAAGCUCCAUGUUGAUGGAUCUUUAGACUCACUCGUUUUUGAAAAGUUUGAGACAUGCGAACCAUGUCUAUUGGUGUAUAUGUAUGAAGAAACUCCAUGCAGAUGGAUCGUUUGGACUCACUUGAUUUUGAAUCACUUGAGAUAUGCAAAUCAUACCACAUGGGCAAGAUGACUGAAAAUCCUCGUUUUCAGUAAGAUGGAACAAGAUAGCAAAUUGUUGGAAGUAAUACAUUUUGAUGUGUGCAGUCCAAUAAGUGCUAAGGCACGCAUUGGAUAUCGUUAUGUUCUUACUUCACGGAUGAUUUGAGUAGAUACUAAGUAUAUUUACUUGAUGAAACACAAGUCUGAAUUAUUGAAUGGUUCAAGUAAUUUCAGAGUGAAGUUGAAGAUCAUUGUGACAAGAGGAUAAAAUGUCUAUGAUAUGAUCAUAGAGAUGAUUAUCUGAGUUACAAGCUUUGGCACGCAAUUAAGACAUUGUGGAAAUUGUUUCACAACCAAUACCGCCUAGAAUACCAUAGUGUGAUGGUGUGUCUGAACAUCAUAGUUGCACCCUAUUGGAUAUGGUGCGUACCAUGAUGUCUCUUAUCGAAUUACCACUAUCGUUCAUGGGUUAGGCAUUAGAGACAACCGCACUCACUUUAAAUAGGGCACCACGUAAUUCCGUUGAGACGACACCGUUCGAACUAUGGUUUGGAGAAACCUAAGUUGUCGUUUCUUAAAGGUUUGGGGCUGCGACGCUUAUGUGAAAAGUUUCAGGUUGAUAAGCUCGAACCCAAAGCGGAUAAAAUGCAUCUUCAUAGGACACCCAAAACAGUUGGGUAUACCUCCUAAUUCAGAUCCGAAAGCAAUAGGGAUUGUUUCUUGAAUUGGGUCCUUUCUCGAGAAAAAGUUUGUCUCGGAAAGUUGGGUGGGAGCAUGGUGGAGACUUGAUGAGGUUAUUGAACCAUCACUUCAACUAGUGUGUAGCAGGGCACAGGAAGUUGUUCCUGUGGAACCUACACCAAUUGAAGUAGAAACUUAUGAUAGUGAUCAUGAAGUUUUGGAUCAAGUCACUACCGAACCUCGUAGGACAACAAGGACGCGUACUGCUUCCAAAUGGUACGGUGAUCCUAUCUUGAAGGUCAUGUUGCUAGACAACAGUGAACCUACGAGCUAUGGAGAAGUGAUGGUGGGCCCAAAUUCCGAAAAAUGGUUAGGAGCCAUGAAAUCCGAGAUAGAAUCCAUGUAUCAGAACAAAGCAUGGACUUUGGUGGACUUGCCCAAUGAUCGGCAAGCCAUUGAGAUAAAUGGAUCUUUAAGAAGAAGACGGACGUGGACGGUAAUGUCACCGUCUAUGAAGCUCGACUUGUGGCGAAGAGUUUUUCACAAGUUCAAGGAGUUGACUACGAUGAGAUUUUCUCAUCCGUAGCGACGCUUAAGUCCAUCGGAAUCAUGUUAGCAUUAGCUGCAUUUAUGAAAUCUGGCAGACGGAUGUCAAAACGAGUUUCCUUACCAGUUUUCGUAAGGAAAGGUUGUAUGUGAUACAAUCAGAAAGGUUUUGUCGAUCCUAAGGAUGCUAAAAGGUAUGCUAGCUCCAGCGAUCCUUCCAUGGACUUGAGUAAGCAUCUCGGAGUUGGAAUAUGUAUUUUGAUAAUAUGAUCAAAGAUUUUGGGUUUAUACAAAGUUUAUGAGAAACUUGUAUUUCCAAAGAAGUGAGUGGGAGCACUAUAGAAUUUCUGAUGAGUAUAUGUUGUUGACAUAUUGUUGAUCAGAAAUGAUAUAGAAUUUUCUGUAAAGCAUAUAGGGUUGUUUGAAAAGUGUUUUUCAAUGGAAAACAUGAGUUAAGCUACUUGAACAUUGAGCAUCAAGAUCUAUGAGGAUAGAUCAAAACCGCUUAAUGGUACUUUCAAAUGAGCAUAUACCUUGACAUGAUCUUGAAGGUGUUCAAGAUGGAUCACUCAAAUAAGGAGUUCUUGCCUAAGAUGUAAGGUAUGAAGUUAUGACUUAAAGCUCGACCACAGCAGAAAAGAGAGAAAGGACAAAGGUCGUCCCCUAUGCUUUAGACGUAGGCUCUACAGUAUGCUAUGCUAAGUACCGCACCUGAUGUGUGCCUUGCUACAUACCUGGCAAGAGGGUACAAAGGUGAUCAAGGAGUAGAUCACCAGAUAGCGGUCAAAAUUAUCCUUAGAGGAAUAAGGAUAUGUUUCUCGGUUAUGGAGGUGAUAAAGAGUUCGACGUAAAGAGUUGCGUCGAUGCAAGCUUUAACACCUAUCCGAAAGACUCUGAGUAGCGAAACGGAUAUGUAUAGUGGAGCAACCAUUUGGAAUAGCUCCAAGUGGAGCGUGGAAGCAGCAUUUACAAUAUGACCUAGAGAUUUGCAAAGUACAUACGGAUCUGAAUGUUGCAGACCCGUUGACUAAAACCUCUCUCACAAGAAAAACAUGAUCAAACCCCAGAACUCAUUGAGUCUUAAUCACAUGAUGAUGUCAACUAGUUUAGUGACACUAGUAAACUCUUUGAUGUUGGUCACAUGGCGAUGUGACCUCUGAGUGUUAAUCACAUGGCGAUGUGAACUAGAUUAUUGACUCUAGUGCAAGUGGGAGACUGUUGGAAAUAUGCCCUAGAGGCAAUAAUAAAUUAGUUAUUAUUAUAUUUCCUUGUUCAUGAUAAUAGUUUAUUAUCCAUGCUAUAAUUGUAUUGAUAGGAAACUCAAAUACAUGUGUGGGUACAUAGACAACACCAUGUCCCUAGUAAGCCUCUAGUUGACUAGCUCGUUGAUCAAUAGAUGGUUACGGUUUCCUGACCAUGGACAUUGGAUGUCAUUGAUAACGGGAUCACAUCAUUAGAGGAAUGAUGUGAUGGACAAGACCCAAUCCUAAGCCUAGCACAAAGAUCGUAGUUCGUAUGCUAAAGCUUUUCUAAUGUCAAGUAUCAUUUCCUUAGACCAUGAGAUUGUGCAACUCCCGGAUACCGUAGGAAUGCUUUGGGUGUACCAAACGUCACAACGUAACUGGGUGGCUAUAAAGGUGCACUACAGGUAUCUCCGAAAGUGUCCGUUGGGUUGGCAUGAAUCGAGACUGGGAUUUGUCACUCCGUGUAAACGGAGAGGUAUCUCUGGGCCCACUCGGUAGGACAUCAUCAUAAUGUGCACAAUGUGACCAAGGGGUUGAUCACGGGAUGAUGUGUUACGGAACGAGUAAAGAGACUUACCGGUAAUGAGAUUGAACAAGGUAUCGAUAUACCGACGAUCGAAUCUCGGGCAAGUAUAAUACCGCUAGACAAAGGGAAUUGUAUACAGGAUCGAUUGAGUCCUUGACAUCGUGGUUCAUCCGGUGAGAUCAUCGUGGAACAUGUGGGAGCCAACAUGGGUAUCCAGAUCCCGCUGUUGGUUAUUGACCGGAGAACGUCUUAGUUAUGUCUGCAUGGUUCCCGAACCCGUAGGGUCUACACACUUAAGGUUCGAUGACACUAGGGUUAUAAAGGAAGUUUGUAUGUGGUUACCAAAUGUUGUUCGGAGUCCCGGAUGAGAUCCCGGACGUCACGAGGAGUUCUAGAAUGGUCCGGAGGUAAAGAUUUAUAUAUGGGAAGUCCUGUUUUGGUCACCAGAAAAGUUUCGGGUUUUAUCGGUAACGUACCGGGACCACCGGGAGGGUCCCAGGGGUCCACCAAGUGGGGCCACCGGCCCCGGAGGGCUGCAUGGGCCAAGUGUGGGAGGGGACCAGCCCCAGGUGGGCUGGUGCGCCCCCCCACAAGGGCCCAAGGCGCCUAGGGUUUGGGGAGGGGGUGCUUCCACCUAACUUGGGGGGCAAGUUUCCCCCCUCUCCCCCCUUGGCCGCCACCCUUAGAUGGGAUUGGGGCUGCCGCACCCCUUGGGGUGGAAACCCUAGAGGGGGCGCACCCCCCUCCCUCUCCCCUAUAUAUACUUGAGGGUUUUGGGGCUGCCAACAGAUGAGUUUGACCUCUCCUAGGCGCAGCCCUACCUCUCUCCCUUCUCCUCUCCCGCGGUGCUUGGCGAAGCCCUGCAGGAUUGCCACGCUCCUCCACCACCACCAUGCCGUUGUGCUGCUGCUGGACGGAGUCUUCCUCAACCUCUCCCUCUCUCCUUGCUGGAUCAAGGCGUGGGAGACGUAACCGGGCUGUACGUGUGUUGAACGCGGAGGUGCCGUCCGUUCGGCACUAGGAUCUCCGGUGAUUUGGAUCACGAUGAGUACGACUCCUUCAAUCCCGUUCUCUUGAACGCUUCCGCUUAGCGAUCUACAAGGGUAUGUAGAUGCAUUCUCCUUCUCCUCGUUGCUGGUUUCUCCAUAGAUAGAUCUUGGUGACACGUAGGAAAAUUUUGAAUUUCUGCUACGUUCCCCAGCAGUCUCGACCAUCCUCUCUGAAAGGGCUAGUUACCGACUAGAGGGGGGGGGGGUGAAUAGGCGAUUUUUAUUGAAGUCUUCAAAACAUUGGAGUUUCAAAGACAAACAGUAGAAACAACACUAUUCGUAUGCAGCGAAAGGUAGACUACACUAGACAAGCCAUAGUCAAGUAUUCAAUGAAGUGAAAGCAUGAAGACUAUUAGCAGCUAGGUAGUAGGGAUCAUGAUGGAAGAUAGUAUGAAGCCAAACAAGACAAGUAGUCACAUAGUGAAGUCAAACAGAUUAUGCAAGCAAGCAAUGACUUCACGAAGACAAACUGUAAGUAAAGAGAAGUGAGAGAUAGAACCAGUAACUUCAGGAGGACAGGGGUUUGUUCGACCAGUUCCAGUUGCUGUGACAACUGUACGUUUGGUUAGGGAGGCUGAGAUUUAACUCAGAAGACCGCGUCUUCACCUUAUUCCCCUUGAGCUAAGGACUCUCAGUCCCCGCCCAAUCACUCUGGUAAGUCUUCAAGGUAGACUUCCAAACCUUCACAGACUUCGUUCACUGGCAAUCCACAAUGACUCUUGGAUGCUCAGAACGUGAUGCCUAACCGGCUGGAGGAUUCACAGUUCUCAAGUGAAAUAAGUCUUCAGAUCACACGGACAGAAAGUCUUUAGUGAUGCCAAACACUCAUUGGGCUAUGGGUGGUUUGGGAUUUGUCCUUGCAAGAAUUAUCUCUCAAAAGCUUCGGAGGUGGGUUGCUCUCAAACGAAAAAAGCCGUAUCCUAACUCUGAGAAGCCACCAAUUUAUGGUGCAGGGGGUGGGCUAUUUAUAGCCACUAGGCAACCCGACCUGAUUUGUCUGAAAUGACCCUAGGUCAUUAAGGAACUGACACGUGUCACAACAGCCCGAUUUCAAACACACGCGGCAGCUUGACUUGGGCUACAAAUAAAGCUGACUUAUCCGACUCUGGAUAAGAUUUGCACUCAUUGUCUUCGCUCGAAGACAUAGGAUUUGGUUGAGCAUCACUUCAGUCACUCUCAAUUUGUUCACUUGGACGCCACUUAACAGUGCGGUGGUUCCUAUGACUCAACAAAGAAGAAAAGGAAACAACAAAACAACUAAGUCUUCGCACUCCAUAAUCUUCACUCAAUAUCUUCUCAUGGCAUAGUCUUCAAUGUGAAUAGCUUCACAGAUCACCAUUGUCUUCAAUGUCUUCAAACAUUUUUAGGGGUCACCUCCGGUAGGUAAACCGAAUCAAUGAGGGACUACUACCUGUGUUAUCCUGCAAUUCUCACAAACACAUUAGUCCAUCAACCAGGUUUGUCGUCAAUACUCCAAAACCAACUAGGGGUGGCACUAGAUGCACUUACAAUCUCCCCCUUUUUUGUGAUUGAUGACAAACUGGUUGAAGUUUUCAAUGGGGAUAAAAGUAUGUGAAAUUGUAAAGGAUUAAGAUAUUGUCUUCAUAAGUGGAAAAAGGCUCCCCCUGAAGAUGUGCAUAUAAAUGUUUUGCGUUGGAAUGCCAAUGCACAUGGAAGGUUGUACUUGUGGAGAUGCUCUCCCACCAUAUGAAGACAAUACAUCAUGCAUGAACAGAUAUAUAGGAAUAAUGACAUGCAUAAUGAAAGAUGGACAUUUGCGAAAUGAUUUCAUGCGGUAUUUAUCAUCGCAUCGUAGAAUAGCAGACGACCAUCAGGUUUAAGUGUUACAACUCAAAGAACCAAAUGUAUCAAAAAUGAGAGCUGUAAACACUAGGCAAAAGUAUAGCAACCACCCAUAUGGACCCGCUUGAAGACUAUCAACCUAUGCUUCUCCCCCUUUUGUUAGUGAGGACCAAAAAGGUUUCAAGACAUAGCCAUUACUCGUUCCCAUGAGGAGUACGUGAAGCAGCAGGGUCGUCGUUGAGGUUUGGUGGUGCAGAAUAACUGGGUGCAGUGUCGAUGCGCGCUGAUGUUGGAGGUGGUGAAGUAGCAUCAUCGGCGUCAUCAAGAACUCUGGCAUUUACCAUAGCUGCGGAGGAAGAGUACUCUGAGUCUUCAAGAGAUGGAGUUCGAUGCAAGAUAGCAUUCCUUGGAGGAGUGGAGUCAAACUUGAAUCUCUCAGUGAAGCCACCGUCUUGAAGAUCAGCUUUAGCACUAAGCAAUGUCAAACCCUUCCAAGUCCUCCGACAUGUUUCAUGAGUAACAAAGGCAUUCUUGGUGGCAAGGUUGCGAAUGCGGUUGACAUCCACCAAAAGGCUUUGCAUUUGUUGUUUCAGCCAGUAGUGAUGCUUGUCGUGUUUCUGAUGCAAGGCCACGAGAAGCUCUCGGUCAUUGAGCACACGAGAUCGCUUUCGAGCCCUUGGAGCAAUGGUGCUCUCGGUGGCUUCAGUACGUGCACGGCGAGUGUUGCCAGCCAAUGGAUAGACACGAGAAGUAGCCUGAACACCUUCAACAUGCUGGGAGAAACUCUGGUGAUCGGCAUUGUGAAGAUAUAUUGCCUCCUUGGCAGGCUCUUGAUAGAUGGCUUCGACGGACAUAUCAACCUCUUGUAGGAAUAUAAGAUGGUUGCAUGCAGAGGGCUGAUAGUUGACCGUAGAGUGAAGCUUUAUUAGACGCAUGACCCAAGGAGCAUAAAAUUUCAGACCAAAGAUGUCAAAGCCAGAUGCAGCAAACUGACGAAUUAAGAAAUCCUGAGCAUUGAAGCUUUGGCCAUCAUUGCACCUUCAAGCUUUGCUGAGGAGGAAUGCCCUUUGAUGGGCCAUAGAGUUCGCCUAGUGAUGUGAUAGAUGGUGCAGGGCAGAUACUCUAGGUCUUCAACAAAGAAUUCCUUGGGAUAUUCUGUUGGAAAUAUGCCCUAGAGGCAAUAAUAAAAGUAUUAUUAUUAUAUUUCCUUGUUCAUGAUAAUUGUCUUUUAUUCAUGCUAUAACUGUAUUAUCCGGAAAUCGUAAUACACGUGUGAAUACUUAGACCACAAUAUGUCCCUGGUGAGCCUCUAGUUGACUAGCUCGUUGUGAUCAACGGAUAGUCAUGGUUUCCUGACUAUGGACAUUGGAUGUCGUUGAUAACGGGAUCACAUCAUUAGGAGAAUGAUGUGAUGGACAAGACCCAAUCCUAAGCCUAGCACAAAAGGUCGUGUAGUUCAUUUGCUAGAGCUUUGCAAAUGUCAAGUAUCUCUUCCUUUGACCAUGAGAGCGUGUAACUCCUGGAUACCGUAGGAGUGCUUUGGGUGUAUCAAACGUCACAACGUAACUGGGUGACUAUAAAGGUGCACUACAGGUAUCUCCGAAAGUAUCUAUUGUUUUAUGCGGAUCGAGACUGGGAUUUGUCACUCCGUGUAAACGGAGAGGUAUCUCUGGGCCCACUCGGUAGGACAUCAUCAUAUGCGCAAUGUGACCAAGGAGUUGAUCACGGGAUGAUGUGUUACGGAACGAGUAAAGUGACUUGCCGGUAACGAGAUUGAACAAGGUAUUGGAUACCGACGAUCGAAUCUCGGGCAAGUAACAUACCGAUAGACAAAGGGAAUUGAAUACGGGAUCGAUUGAGUCCUUGACAUCGUGGUUCAUCCGAUGAGAUCAUCAUGGAACAUGUGGGAGCCAACAUGGGUAUCCAGAUCCCGCUGUUGGUUAUUGACCGGAGAACGUCUCGGUCAUGUCUGCAUGUCUCCCGAACCCGUAGGGUCUACACACUUAAGGUUCGAUGACGCUAGGGUUAUAAAGGAAGCUUGUAUGUGGUUACCGAAUGUUGUUCGGAGUCCCGGAUGAGAUCCCGGACAUCACGAGGAGUUCCGGAAUGGUCCGGAGGUAAAGAUUUAUAUAUAGGAAGUCCUGUUUCGGCCAUCGGGACAAGUUUCGGGGUCAUCGGUAAUGUACCGGGACCACCGGAAGGGUCCCGGGGGCCCACCGGGUGGGGCCACCUGCCCCAGGGGGCCACAUGGGCUGUAGGGGGUGCGCCUUGGCCUACAUGGGCCAAGGGCACAAGCCCCAAGAGGCCCAUGCGCCUAGGGAACCCUAGAGGGAAGAGUCCUCAAGGGGGAAGGCACCUCCGAGGUGCCUUGGGGAGGAUGGACUCCUCCCCCCCCCCUCUUGGCCGCACCCCUUUCUUGGAGUAAGGGGCAAGGCUGCGCCUCCCCCCUCUCCCCUGCCCCUAUAUAUAGUGGAGGGGAGGGAGGGCAUCCAUACCUGAGCCCUUGGCGCCUCCCUCCCUCCCGUGACACCUCCUCCUCUCCCGUAGGUGCUUGGCGAAGCCCUGCUGGAUUGCCACGCUCCUCCAUCACCACCACGCCGUUGUGCUGCUGUUGGAUGGAGUCUUCCUCAACCUCUCCCUCUCUCCUUGCUGGAUCAAGGCGUGGGAGACGUCAUCGGGCUGUACGUGUGUUGAACGCGGAGGUGCCGUACGUUCGGCACUUGAUCAUCGGUGAUCUGAAUCACGACGAGUACGACUCCAUCAACCCCGUUCACUUGAAUGCUUCCGCUUAGCGAUCUACAAGGGUAUGUAGAUGCACUCUCCUUCUACUCGUAGCUGGUUUCUCCAUAGAUAGAUCUUGGUGACGCGUAGGAAAAUUUUGAAUUUCUGCUACGUUCCCCAACAGUGGCAUCAUGAGCUAGGUCUAUUGCGUAGAUUCUUUGCACGAGUAGAACACAAAGUAGUUGUGGGCGUUGAUGUUGUUCAAUAUUCUUACCGUUACUAGUCCAAUCUUGUUUCGACGGUAUUGUGGGAUGAAGCGGCCCGGACCAACCUUACACGUACUCUUACGUGAGACAGGUUCCACCGAUUGACAUGCACUUGGUGCAUAAGGUGGCUAGCGCGUGCCAGUCUCUCCCACUUUAGUCCGAACGGAUUCGAUGAAAAGGGUCCUUAUGAAGGGUAAAUAGCAAUUGGCAUAUCACGUUGUGGUUUUGCGUAGGUAAGAAACGUUCUUGCUAGAAACCCAUAGCAGCCACGUAAAACAUGCAACAACAAUUAGAGGACGUCUAACUUGUUUUUGCAGGGUAUGCUAUGUGAUGUGAUAUGGCCAAGAAGAAUGUGAUGAAUGAUAUGUGAUGUAUGAGAUUGAUCAUGUUCUUGUAAUAGGAUUCACGACUUGCAUGUCGAUGAGUAUGACAACCGGCAGGAGCCAUAGGAGUUGUCUUUAUUUUUGUAUGACCUGUGCGUCAUUGAAGAACGCCAUGUAACUUACUUUACUUUAUUGCUAAACGCGUUAGUCAUAGAAGUAGAAGUAGUCGUUGGCGUGACAACUUCAUGAAGACACGAUGAUGGAGAUCAUGAUGAUGGAGAUCAUGGUGUCAUGCCGGUGACGAUGAUGAUCAUGGAGCCCCGAAGAUGAAGAUCAAAAGGAGCAAAAUGAUAUUGGCCAUAUCAUGUCACUAUUUGAUUGCAUGUGAUGUUUAUCAUGUUUAUGCAUCUUGUUUACUUAGGACGACGGUAGUAAAUAAGAUGAUCCCUUACAAAAUUUCAAGAAGUGUUCUCCCCUAACUGUGCACCGUUGCUACAGUUCGUCGCUUCUAAGCACCACGUGAUGAUCGGGUGUGAUGGAUUCUUACGUUCACAUACAACGGGUGUAAGACAGUUUUACACAACGAAAACACUUAGGGUUAACUUGACGAGCCUAGCAUGUGCAGACAUGGCCUCGGAACACGGAGACCGAAAGGUCGAGCAUGAGUCGUAUGGUAGAUACGAUCAACAUGAAGAUGUUCACCGAUGAUGACUAGUCCGUCUCACGUGAUGAUCGGACACGGCCUAGUUGACUCGGAUCAUGUGAUCACUUAGAUGACCAGAGGGAUGUCUAUCUGAGUGGGAGUUCAUAAGAUGAACUUAAUUAUCCUGAACAUAGUCAAAAGACCUUUUGCAAAUUAUGUCGUAGUUCACGCUAUAGUUCUACUGUUUAGUUAUGUUCCUAGAGAAAAUAUAGUUGAAUUUGACAGUAGCGAUUAUGCGGACACUAGAACGCUUAUGUCCUUAAUGCACUGCUUAGUGUGCUGAACCCCAAACGUCGUUUGUGGAUGUUUCGAACAUCGAACAUACACGUUUUGAUAACUACGUGAUAGUUCAGUUAAAUGGUUUAAGUAGAGGCACCAAAGACGUUUUCGAAACGUCGCGGAACAUAUGAGAUGUUUCAAGGGCUGAAAUUGGGAUUUCAGGCUCGUGCCCACGUCAAGAGGUAUGAGACCUCCGACAAUUUUCUUAGCCUACAAACUAAGGGAGAAAAGCUCAAUCGUUGAGCUUGUGCUCAGAUUGUCUGAGUACAACAAUCACUUGAAUCGAGUGGGAGUUGAUCUUCCAGAUGAGAUAGUGAUGUUUCCCCAAAGUCAUUGCCACCAAGCUGCUAGAGCUUCGUGAUGAACUAUAACAUAUCAGGGAUAGAUAUGAUGAUCCUUGAAAUAUUCAUGAUGUUUGACACCGCGAAAGUAGAAAUCAAGAAGGAGCAUCAAUUGUUGAUGGUUGGUGAAACCACUAGUUUCAAGAAGGGCAAGGGAACAAAGGGAUACUUCAUGAAACGGCAAUUCAGCUGCUGCUCAAGUGAAGAAACCCAAGGUUGAACCCAAACCCGAGACUAAGUGCUUCUGUAAUAAGGGGAACAACCACUAGAGCAGCAUUACCCUAGAUACUUGGUAGAUGAGAAGGCUGGCAAAGUCGAUAGAAGUAUAUUGGAUAUACAUUAUGUUAAUGUGUACUUUACUAGUACUCCUAGUAGCACCAGGGUAUUGAGAUACCGGUUCGGUUGCUAAGUGUUAGUAACUCGAAAUAAAAGCUACGGAAUAAAACGGAGACUAGCUAAAGGUGAGCUGACGAUAUGUGUUGGAAGUGUUUCCAAGUUUGAUGUGAUCUAACAUCGCACACUCCCUCUACCAUCAAGAUUAGUAUUAAACCUGAAUAAGUGCUCUUGCACCUAAAGGAAUGGUUUAUUGAAUCUUGAUCGUAGGGAUACACAUUUUCAUGCCAAAAAGAUAUAAGAUAGUAAUGAUAGUACCACUUACUUGUGGCACUGCCAUGUAAGUCAUAUUGGUAUAAAACACAUGAAGAAGCUCCACGUUGAUGGAUCUUUGGACUCACUCGUUUUUGAAAAGUUUGAGACAUGCAAACCAUGUCUAUUGGUGUAUACGCAUGAAAGAAACUCCAUGCAAAUGGACCAUUUGGACUCACUUGAUUUUGAAUCACUUGAGAUAUGCAAAUCAUACCGCAUAGGCAAGAUGACUGAAAAGCCUCGGUUUCAAUAAGAUGGAACAAGAUAGCAACUUGUUGGAAGUAACACAUUUGAUGUGUGUAGUCCAAUAAGUGCUGAGGCAUGCAGUGAAUAUCGUUAUGUUCUUACUUCACAGAUGAUUCGAGUAGAUGUUGAGAAUAUUUACUUGAUGAAACACAAGUCUGAAUUAUUGAAUGGUUCAAGUAAUUUCAGAGUGAAGUAGAAGAUCAUUGUGACAAGAGGAUAAAAUGUCUAUGAUACAAUCAUAGAGAUGAAUAUCUGAGUUACGAGUUUUGGCACACAAUUAAGACAUUGUGGAAAUUGUUUCACAAUUAAUACCGCCUGGAACACCAUAGUGUGAUGGUGUGUCCGAACAUCAUAACUGCACCCUAUUGGAUAUGAUGCAUACCAUGAUGUCUCUUAUCGAAUUGCCACUAUCGUUUAUGGGUUAGGCAUUAAAGACAACCACAUUCACUUUAAAUAGGGCACCACGUAAUUCUGAUGAGAUGACACCGUAUGAAUUAUGGUUUAGAGAAACCUAAGUUGUCGUUUCUUAAAAGUUUGGGGCUACGACGCUUAUGUGAAAAAGUUUCAGGAUUAAGCUCGAACCCAAAGCGGAUAAAAUGCAUCUUCAUAGGACACCCAAAACAGUUGGGUAUACCUCCUAAUUCAGAUCCGAAAGCAAUAUGAAUUGUUUCUUGAAUCAAGUCCUUUCUCGAGGAAAGGUUUCUCUCGAAAGAGUUGAGUGGGAGGAUGGUGGAGACUUGAUGAGGUUAUUGAACCGUCUCUUCAACUAGUGUGUGGCAGGGCACAGGAAGUUGUUCCUGUGGCACCUACACCAAUUGAAGUGGAAGCUUAUGAUAGUGAUCAUGAAGCUUCGGAUCAAGUCACUAACGAACCUCAUAGGAUGACAAGGAUACGUACUACUUCAGAAUGGUACAGUAAUCCUGUCUUGAAGGUCAUGUUGCUAGACAACAAUGAACCUACGAGCUAUGGAGAAGCGAUGGUGGGCCCAAAUUCCGACAAAUGGUUAGAAACCAUGAAAUCCGAGAUAGGAUCCAUGUAUCAGAACAAAGCAUAGACUUUGGUGGACUUGCCCGAUGAUCGGCAAGCCAUUGAGAUAAAUGGAUCUUUAAGAAGAAGACGGACGUGGAUGGUAAUGUCACCAUCUAUGAAGCUCGACUUGUGGAGAAGAGUUUUUCACAUGUUCAAGGAGUUGACUACGAUGAGAUUUUCUCAUCCGUAGCGAUGCUUAAGUCCGUCGGAAUCACGUUAGCACAAGCUGCAUUUAUGAAAUCUGGCAGAUGGAUGUCAAAAUGAGUUUCCUUACCAGUCGUAAGGAAAGGUUGUAUGCGAUACAAUUAGAAAGGUUUUGUCGAUCCUAAGGAUGCUAAAAGGUAUGCUAGCUCCAGCGAUCCUUCUAAGGACUGGAGUAAGCAUCUCGGAGUUGGAAUGUAUGCUUUGAUGAGAUGAUCAAAGAUUUUGGAUUUAUACAAAGUUUAUGAGAAACUUGUAUUUCCAAAGAAGUGAGUGGGAGCACUAUAGAAUUUCUGAUGAGUAUAUGUUGUUGACAUAUUGAUGAUCAGAGAUGAUGUAGAAUUUCUAGAAAGCAUAUAGGGUUAUUUGAAAGGUGUUUUUCAAUAGAAAACCUGGAUUAAGCUACUUGAACAUUGAGCAUCAAGAUCUAUAAGGAUAGAUCAAAAUGCUUAAUAAUACUUUCAAAUGAGCACAUACCUUGACAUGAUCUUGAAGGUGUUCAAGAUGGACCAGUCAAAGAAGGAGUUCUUGCCUGAGUUGUAAGGUAUGAAGUUAAGACUUAAAGCUCGACCACGGCAGAAUAGAGAGAAAGGACGAAGGUCGUCCCCUAUGCUUAAGACGUAGGCUCUUCAGUAUGCUAUGCUGUGUACCGCACCUGAAGUGUGCCUUGCCAUGAGUCAGUCAAGGGGUACAAGAGUGAUCCAAGAAUGGCUCACAGGACAGCGGUCAAAGUUAUCCUUAGUAACUAGUGGACUAAGGAAUUUUCUCGAUUAUGGAGGUGGUAAAAGAGUUCGUCGUAAAGGUUACGACGAUGCAAGCUUGACACCUAUCCGGAUAGCUCUGAGUAGAGAGACCGGAUACAUAUAAUGGAGCAAUAAUUUAGAAAUAGCUCCAAGUAGAACAGUUGUUUGGAAUAGCUCCAAAUAGAGCGUGGUAGCUGCAUCUAGGAGAUGACAUAGAGAUUUGUAAAGCACACACGGAUCUGAAAGGUUCAGACCCGUUGACUAAAACCUCUCUCACAAGCAACAUGAUCAAACAUAAAACUCAUUGAGUGUUAAUCACAUAGUGAUGUGAACUAGACUACUGACUCUAGUAAACUCUUGGGUAUUAGUCACAUGGCGAUGUGACCUGUGAGUGUUAAUCACAUGGCGAUGUGAACUAGAUUAUUGACUCUAGUGCAAGUGGGAGACUGUUGGAAAUAUGCCCUAGAGGCAAUAAUAAAAGUAUUAUUAUUAUAUUUCCUUGUUCAUGAUAAUUGUCUUUUAUUCAUGCUAUAACUGUAUUAUCCGGAAAUAGUAAUACACGUGUGAAUACUUAGACCACAAUAUGUCCCUGGUGAGCCUCUAGUUGACUAGCUUGUUGUGAUCAACGGAUAGUCAUGGUUUCCUGACUAUGGACAUUGGAUGUCGUUGAUAACGGGAUCACAUCAUUAGGAGAAUGAUGUGAUGGACAAGACCCAAUCCUAAGCCUAGCACAAAAGGUCAUGUAGUUCAUUUGCUAGAGCUUUGCAAAUGUCAAGUAUCUCUUCCUUUGACCAUGAGAGCGUGUAACUCCUGGAUACCAUAGGAGUGCUUUGGGUGUAUCAAACGUCACAACGUACCUGGGUGACUAUAAAGGUGCACUACAGGUAUCUCCGAAAGUAUCUAUUGUUUUAUGCGGAUCGAGACUGGGAUUUGUCACUCCGUGUAAACGGAGAGGUAUCUCUGGGCCCACUCGGUAGGACAUCAUCAUAUGCGCAAUGUGACCAAGGAGUUGAUCACGGGAUGAUGUGUUACGGAACGAGUAAAGUGACUUGCCGGUAAUGAGAUUGAACAAGGUAUUGGAUACCGACGAUCGAAUCUCGGGCAAGUAACAUACCGAUAGACAAAGGGAAUUGAAUACGGGAUCGAUUGAGUCCUUGACAUCGUGGUUCAUCCGAUGAGAUCAUCGUGGAACAUGUGGGAGCCAACAUGGGUAUCCAGAUCCCGCUGUUGGUUAUUGACCGGAGAACGUCUCGGUCAUGUCUGCAUGUCUCCCGAACCCGUAGGGUCUACACACUUAAGGUUCGAUGACGCUAGGGUUAUAAAGGAAGCUUGUAUGUGGUUACCGAAUGUUGUUCGGAGUCCCGGAUGAGAUCCCGGACGUCACGAGGAGUUCCGGAAUGGUCCAGAGGUAAAGAUUUAUAUAUAGGAAGCCCAGUUUCGGCCAUCGGGACAAGUUUCGGGGUCAUCGGUAAUGUACCGGGACCACCGGAAGGGUCCCGAGGGCCCACCGGGUGGGGCCACCUGCCCCGGGGGGCCACAUGGGCUGUAGGGGGUGCGCCUUGGCCUACAUGGGCCAAGGGCACCAGCCCCAAGAGGCCCAUGCGCCUAGGGAACCCUAGAGGGAAGAGUCCUCAAGGGGGAAGGCACCUCCGAGGUGCCUUGGGGAGGAUGGACUCCUCCCCCCCUCUUGGCCGCACCCCUUUCUUGGAGUAAGGGGCAAGGCUGAGCCUCCCCCCUCUCCCCUGCCCCUAUAUAUAGUGGAGGGGAGGGAGGGCAUCCAUACCUGAGCCCUUGGCGCCUCCCUCCCUCCCGUGACACCUCCUCCUCUCCCGUAGGUGCUUGGCGAAGCCCUGCUGGAUUGCCACGCUCCUCCAUCACCACCACGCCGUUGUGCUACUGUUGGAUGGAGUCUUCCUCAACCUCUCCCUCUCUCCUUGCUGGAUCAAGGCGUGGGAGACGUCACCGGGCUGUACGUGUGUUGAACGCGGAGGUGCCGUACGUUCGGCACUUGAUCAUCGGUGAUCUGAAUCACGACGAGUACGACUCCAUCAACCCCGUUCACUUGAACGCUUCCGCUUAGCAAUCUACAAGGGUAUGUAGAUGCACUCUCCUUCUACUCGUAGCUGGUUUCUCCACAGAUAGAUCUUGGUGACGCAUAGGAAAAUUUUGAAUUUCUGCUACGUUCCCCAACAUAUUCGGCAUCCUGAGGCAGUGGCUUCAUCAUGCUCAGCAUUUGGCUCAUGUUGGGCUCUGGCUUCUGAAAGAUGAUCUCCAAUGCAUUGCGAUAAAGAUGACAACCAGGUUGAUAGAGUUCACCUGGAGUGGACAGGCCGAUAAGCUCAAUCAGGUCAAAGGCUUUGGCUUCAUGAUGGACAUUGCCUGUCAUCCACUCAAGGACCCAUGUCUUCAGAUCCCUGUUGUAGCCGCGAAUGUGAAGGGUUGCAUUGAAUUGCAGCAGAAGCUCUUCAUUCCAAUGCUCCUUAUCGGUGACAAACUGUAGCCGGCCAGCAUCGCGAAAACAGUCAAGGGCUUCUUCUAGGCAUGGCAGGCCAGCAAUGGCUUCGGAAUCCAGAUGCAUAUGAGGAAAUAUGCGCUCUUGAUUGUAUAUGACACAUGAGUAGUAGCUGCGCUGCUGAUAGCUCCAGAACCGAUCAGAGGAUAUUCUUGGUUUGGAGUAUGGGUUCUUGGCGCUAUCAAAGAAGGUGUUGUGUGCAAUGAAGCCAUUUACAUUGAAUGAUCCUGGUGCUGAUGCAGUACCUGGAAACCGUGGCACCCUUGGUUUUGGCUUCUAAACCUGAGGCCUGUGCUCCACAUGAUAGUCAAACUGAGGUCUGGGAGUAGGCGGAGGAACCAGAAUUGGCCAUCUAAUAGUGACAAGCUUGCCUUGGUAGAAUGCUUGCUCAAUGGUCUAUGGCCUUGGAGGCGGAACAUGAGUAGUGGCAUUAGCAGAGGCGUCAGGCUGCACAUUGGUUGUAGGUGCAUCAUUGGCUUCAUGGACAGUGUUCAUUGCAAGCGCCACAUUAUCUUCAGCCAUGACAAUGUCAUUGGCGUCAGUAGUGUUGUUGGUGGCUGCCUUAGGAUUUUCAACCUCCACUUGAGUAGCUGGAGGGUCGGGCACAGACACAUUCUCCUCAAGAAUGACUUCUUCUUGGUUGGUUGGGGGUGUAGAAACACAAUCUUCUUCUUGUCUUUCAUCGGCUACUGCAGCCGGAAUUUCUUCAGAAGCAUUAGCUUCAGACAUAGGAACCGUCACAAAAGGAUUAUCUUCAGGGAACACCUGACGUGCCACUGAGCUGGACUGGUUUGAGUCUUCUUCUUUGAUGGUUGUCAUGGAGACUGAUGGCCUUAGGCCUUUGCGAAGCCGUUGAAACACGGGCGACGCUUUUGGUGACGGUGUGGUCUCCAUGUAAUUGUCAUCAUUGACAAUUGGGCUAGUGACUUGCAUUGGUGUAGGACGGGGUGUACUUGGUGAGUCUUGAACUGGGGUUGCUGGUUGGGGGCGAUCAGCCCAUGAGGCAUCUUGAGAGAUUGGCGUCAAGGGACGACCAAUGCUGAUGAGCUCGCUGUUCGUGAGAACAGGCGAUGAUACCGUGGGGCGGUCAAUCUUAGGAAGGACUUCAUCAUCUUCUACAUUGUCUUGAGGACCAAUGUCUUUAGCCAUGAUGGGGUCAACGGCUGGAUCUUCUUCAGCUUCAGGAGCCUCUGUGGAAGCAGACUCAUGAACUAUCAACUGACGCUCUUGAUUUUCAGAUGGAGGAUGAGCAAAAGCAAUAGGCUCGAUGAGGGAGUCCUGGAUUAGGGGGUGUCCGGAUGGCCGGACUAUGACCUUCGGCCGGACUCCCGGACUAUGAAGAUACAAGAUUGAAGACUUCUUCCCGUGUCCGGAUGGGACAUUCCUUGGCGUGGAAGGCAAGCUUGGCGAUACGAUAUGUGGAUCUCCUCCCAUUGUAACCGACUCUGUGUAACCCUAGCCCUCUCUGGUGUCUAUAUAAACCGGAGGGUUUUAGUCCGUAGGAGGAACAACAAUCAUACCAUAGGCUAGCUUCUAGGGUUUAGCCUCUCUGAUCUCGUGGUAGAUCUACUCUUGUACUACCCAUAUCAUCAAUAUUAAUCAAGCAGGAGUAGGGUUUUACCUCCAUCAAGAGGGCCCAAACCUGGGUAAAAACAUCGUGUCCCUUGUCUCCUGUUACCAUCUGCGUAGACGCAUAGUUCGGGACCUCCUACCCGUGAUCAGCCGGUUUUGACACUGACAUUGGUGCUUUCAUUGAGAGUUCCUCUGUGUCGUCACCUUUAGGCCCGAUGGCUUCUCCGAUCAUCAACAACGAUGCGGUCUAGGGUGAGACAUUUCUCCCCGGAUAGAUCUUCGUAUUCGACGGCUUUGCACUGCGGGCCAAUUCGCUUGGCCAUCUGGAGCAGAUUGAAAGCUACGCCCCUGGCCAUCAGGUCAGAUUUGGAAGUUUGAACUACACGGCUGACAUCCGCGGAGACUUGAUCUUCAACGGAUUCGAGCCACAGCCGAGCGUGCCGCACUGUCAUGAUGGGCAUGAUCUAGCUCUGCCGCCGGACAGUGCCCAGAAGGCCGCUCAGGUGUCCGCUCCUACCCUUAGUUUGGAGCUGACUGUGCCGAUCGAGGACGGGUGGCUGGACACAGCCUCGGGGGCUGCAAUCUCUACGGUGAUCGAGCCGAACACCAGUCUUGUCCUUCGCGAAGCUCGCGACUCCAAGGUGACGGACUCCUUUCCGGAUUCCGAACCUUCCGCACCCCUGCCGAUCGAACCCGAUUGGGCGCCGAUCAUGGAGUUCGCCGCCGCGGACAUCUUUCAGCACUCGCCCUUUGGCGACAUUCUGAAUUCACUACAGUCUCUCUCUUUAUCAGGAGAGCCCUAGCCGGACUAUGGUCAGCAAGGUUGGGAUGCGGACGACGAAGAAAUCCGAAGCCCACCCACCACCCACUUCAUAGCCACUGUCGAUGAUUUAACCGACAUGCUCGACUUCGACUCCAAAGACAUCGACGGUAUGGACGCCGAUGAAGGAGACAACCAAGAACCAGCGCCUAUAGGGCACUAGAAAGCCACCUCGUCAUAUGAUGUAUACAUGGUGGACACCCCAAAAUAAGGGGAUGGCGAUGGAACAACGGAGGAUGACCCCUCCAAAAAACAGCCUAAGCGCCGGCGUCAGCGGCGCCGCUCUAAAUCCCGCCAAAACAAAUACGGUGAUUCCGGCACAACAGAUAAUAAUACCCCAGACAGUGCCGAAAACAACCCCCUCCAGCAGGAUUCAGCGCAGGAGGAUAGAGAAGCCAGCCGUCAUGAUAGAGCGGCAGACAGAGAGGUCGAGGACGAUAAUUACAUGCCUCCCUCCGAAGAUGAAGCAAGCCUCGACGACAACGAAUUUGUCAUACCUAAGGAUUCCGUCGAACAAGAGCGUUUCCAACGCAGGCUUAUGGCCACGGCAAGUAGCCUCAAGAAAAAACAGCAGCAGCUUAGAGCUGACCAAGACUUGCUAGCCGGCAGAUGGGCUGAAGUCCUUGCGGCCGAAGAGUACGAACUCGAACGCCCCUCCAAGAGCUACCCCAAACGUAGGCUGCUACCCCGAUUAGAGGAUGAAGCAACUAAACCUAUGUCACCAGCAUAUGACGCGGCCGACCGGCCAUCCCGUGGCCGCGACAGAGAGGCCUCUCGGCCAUCAAUUCAAGCCGCACCCCGGUGCCGCUCAAAAAAUACCAAGGCACGGGGAAAUGCAAUAGACCUGCGUGACAUAUUGGAGGACAAGGCAAGGCAAACAAGAUGGAUCUACGGAUCGCAUGGGCGCCCCACAACACGUGACGAUAACUGUCAUGCUGGAUAUGGCAAAUACGGCGGGGCCGAACACGGCAAGCAAAGCUCAUAUGAGCUACGUCAUGAUAUAGCCCAGUACAGAGGCGCCGCACACCCACUAUGCUUCACAGAUGAAGUAAUGGAUCAUCAAAUCCCGAGGGGUUUAAACCCGUAAACAUCGAAUCAUACGAUGGCACAACAGAUCCUGCGGUAUGGAUCGAGGAUUAUCUCCUUCAUAUCCACAUGGCCCGCGGUGAUGAUCUACACGCUAUCAAAUACGUCCCACUCAAGCUUAAAGGACCAGCUCGGCAUUGGCAUAACAGCUUGCCAGUAGAGUCAAUUGGUUGCUGGGAGGACCUGGAAUCCGCAUUCCUCGACAAUUUCCAGGGCACCUAUGUGCGACCACCAGACGCCGAUGACCUAAGCCACAUAAUUCAGCAGCCAGAGGAAUCGGCCAGACAAUUCUGGACACGGUUCCUAACAAAGAAAAAUCAAAUAGUCGACUGUCCGGAUGUAGAGGCCCUUGUAGCCUUCAAACAUAACAUCCGUGACGAAUGGCUUGCCCGGCACCUAGGACAGGAAAAGCUGAAAUCCAUGGCAGCCCUCACAACACUCAUGACCCGCUUUUGCGCGGGAGAAGACAGCUGGCUAGUUCGUAGUAAUAACAUGACCAAGAGCCUUUGUAAUUCGGAUACCAAGGACAACAAUGGUAGGUCGCGUCGCAACAAGCACAAGUGCCACAUUAACGGCGACAAUACUGAGGAUACGGCAGUUAAUGCAGGAUUCAGAGGCUCUAAACCCGGUCAGCGGAAAAAGCCAUUCAAAAGAAAUACUCCGGGCCCGUCCAGUUUAGACUGGAUACCCGAUCGCUCGUGCCAGAUACACGGCACCCCCGAACAACCAGCCAAUCACACCAACAGGGAUUGUUGGGUGUUCAAGCAGGCAGGCAAGUUAAGUGCCGAAAACAGAGACAAGGGGCUGCAUAGCGAUGACGAGGAGGAGCCCCGGCCGCCGAACAACAGAGGACAGAAGGGCUUCCCCCCACAAGUACGGACAGUGAACAUGAUAUACGCAACCCACAUCCCCAAAAGGGAAUGGAAGCGUGCACUCAGGGACGUAUAUGCAUUGACACUACUAGGGAAAAGCCUAGCAGCAGCACGGGUUUUGGGCCUAUUAGCAGCGCGGGGGCCGGCGCUACUAAUAAGGUGCUACAGCUAACUUAUAGUAGUAGCGUGGGUGCCACCCACGCUACUACUACGUCCUUUAGUAGUAGCGUGGGUAAAAACCCGUGCUACUACUACCAGCGAGGUUUUUUUGAAUUUUUUCGAAAAAAAUAUUUUGAUUUUUUUCCUAUUUUUCAAAUUUCUGAAUUAUUUUAACCUCAAAUCUCUAAUCACCCCUCAUCGCUGCUCAAUUUAAUCUCUAAUCACCCCUCAUCAUUCCAAAUCAUCUAACUUCCCGGACGGUCACCCAUCCUCUCACUACUCCAGCGUGAGCACGCUUAACUUCCGGGUUCUAUUCUCCCUCAUUUCCAAGUCUGCACUUGUUGUUUUCCUGACAAUAGUAAGAAGUCAAUCCUAUUAACCUCAGGAAUUUAGCUUGAGCAUGAAGUCACACAUUUCACUAUUUGAGUUUGAAACUAUUGUUCUAAAAAAUUAGUAACACUAAUAUUUCUAGAAUAAUUAGUUUGACCAUAGUUUGACCACAGUUUGACCACAAUUUGACCACAGUUUGGCCAUAGUUUGACAAGAUUUGACAAAAAUUCAAAAAAAGUAAAAUAAUUAUUUAGUAACACUAAUAUUCUAGAAUAAUUAGUUUGACCAAUGUUUGACCACAGUUUGACCACACAGUUUGAAAUUUUUUCGAUUUUUUCCACUCUAGAUCUUAAAAGCUCUGUAAAAAUUUUUCUGUUAGGUUUUUGAGGAUUUUGAAAAUGUUUAACAGAGUUCCCCAGUUAAAUUUGGAUGUAACUUUUUGAGUAGAUGAUUUUUCAUAUAAAAAACUUUUUCAUCCGAGUUAGCAUGCAAAAGUUAUGCCCAUUUUUACAAAUUCUCGAGAGAUUUUGCAAAUAAAGUCGAAAUUCAUAUUUGCAAAUUUUCCCAACAACUAUACCACAUAGCACAUGGGAAACUUAUUUUCUUUUAUUUUUUUGACAUUUUCAUCAUUUUCUUUUAUUUUUUUUAAAACUGAAAAGGCGAUCCAGGGGGGGUAGACUUUGAAAAUGGGACCUUUAGUAGCAGCGCGGUUUUUUACCCCCACGCUACUACUAUAGCACCACUUAGUAGUAGAGAGGGCUAAAAACCAACGCUACUGCUAUCAAACUUAGUAGUAGCGAGGUUUUAAAAACCCGCGCUACUACUAUGGCAUGUCCCGGGGGGCACGGUAGAGACCGCUUAGUAGUAGUGAGGGUUAAAAACCCGCGCUGUUUCUAUCAACUUAGUAGUAGCGAGGUUUAAAAACCCUCGCUACUAGUAACUUUCUGUGUAUAGGCUUUUCCCUAGUAGUGUGGAGCCAGUCGCCCCAAAGUUCAACCCAUGGUCCUCCUGCCCGAUCACUUUUGAUCGAAGGGACCACCCCACUAGCAUUCAUCACGGCGGAUUCGCUGCAUUGGUUCUAGACCCAAUCAUUGACGGAUUUCACCUCACUAGAGUCCUCAUGGAUGGCGGAAGCAGCCUGAACCUGCUUUAUCAGGAUACAGUGCGAAAAAUGGGCAUAGAUCCCUUAAGAAUUGAACCCACAAAGACGACCUAUAAAGGCGUCAUACCAGGUGUAGAAGCCAGCUAUACAGGCUUAGUUACACUCAAAGUGGUCUUCGGAUCCCCGAAUAAUUUCCGAAGCGAGGAGUUAAUCUUCGAUAUAGUUCCGUUCCACAGUGGCUAUCCCGCCCUGCUCGGGCGAACCGCAUUUGCAAAGUUCAAUGUGGUGCCGCACUACGCAUACCUCAAGCUCAAGAUGCCAGGCCCUCGAGGAGUCAUCACGGUCAAUGGAAACACCGAACGCUCUCUCCAAACAGAGGAGCACACGGCAGCCCUCGCGGCGGAAGUACAAAGUAGCCUCUCAAGGCAAUUCUCCAGUCCGGCUGGUAAACGUCCGGACACCGUCAAGCGCGCCCGGAGUAACCUACAACAAGACCGUCUGGCACGUUCCGAGCAAGCAUAGCAGUGCGGCCCCUACCCCAGCCCUCGCGAGAUUGCGAAACCAGUACAACGCGUACAUAAUUACGCUCUGGAAAUACCAUGGGCAUACGGGGAAGGGCACAACCACGGCACACCCAGAAUGCGGAUCAACCGCACUAGUGGCUCCCGAUUUUGUCAUUUCUUUUUUUUCUUACUUUCAGGACUCCAUUCUCCGCAAGGCCUGCCCGGCAAUACAAUCGCCGAACACACGAUGCAACAGCCAGGGAGGCAGCAAGCUACGUCGAAUGUCCAGGUGGUCUCUUUAACGAGCUAAAUAUCUGUCUUACAUAAAGUCCCGCAGCUUGCCCCUGGACGGGGACAUGUCAAAUAAUCCCAUCUCUUGCUUAUCGCACUAUUUGUAUCAUUCUGCUUUCAUAGCAGCCCUUUAAUAAACAAUACAUAGCUCUUGUCUAUUAUUGCAUUCAUUUUUAUGUAAACAUGUUCAGUUAUGACAUUAUGCAACCGUACACUUUGGUACGGCCAAUACACCAGGGACUUAAGUACCCCGGAAUACGGUGUGAGAAGACUGAACACUCUCAUGAGUGCGGCACCCCAAACUUAUAGCAUUAUAUGCAUCGGCUCCGAAUCAUGUCUUGGGUCAACAGUUGGGUUUGCCCGGCUCCCAUGUUUUGGUACCUUACGUUCCGCUAUAUCGGCUAAGGUAGCGCUGGGAGAACUACUACGAUUGUGUCCCAGUUGAGCUGGGUUAACACCUCAGUAGGGAAAGCUAAAACUGACCGUCAUGAUAAGGCGAGAGCCGGUCGCUCUUCGCGAGGUUUUUCGAGUCCCUAAAGACUUAUGCCGCUUAGAUCGAGGAGCUGGCUUUGUCCGGCCUAGGCGUGGAUAGCGCCCCGAACUCAGUCUUCCGAAUACUAGGGGCUUCGCCGAAAUUUAAAAUUAUAGAAUUCUAUGGCUAAGUGAGAGUGAUAAAGCAUUAUAAGUCUGAUUUCCUUGUUCAUUGUGCUGAGCGCCUCCCUCGAAGGACCCAAGAAUGGGAACAAGAGCGCUCAGGUUUAUCCCGAACACCCCAGCACUCGUGGCAUGGGGGCAGAAGCCGACGACUUGCAUCUCUCAGAUUUAAUAAACGGCCGCACAGAAGGUAAUACUUUAAAUUAAAAAAGCAUUGCUUAGCGCAUAUGAACAAGUUUUCAGCGCACAGGAUACACACGAGCGAGUUUACUCAAAAAUUAAAUCCUUGGAACAUUCGUUCGCCACAAGGAGGGCACCCUUCAGGACGCCCUCAUAGUACAUCUCGGGCCUGUGAUGCUCCUUCCCCUCCGGUGGCCCAUCCUUCACCAGCUUCUCAGCAUCCAGGUUGCCCCAGUGCACUUUGGCACGGGCAAGGGCCCUACGGGCGCCUCCGAUGCAUACGGAGCACUUGAUGACUUCAUGCCAUGGACAGGCAUCCACCAGCCGCCUCACCAGCCCAAAGUAGCUCUCAGGCAGGACCUCCCCAGGCCACAGCCGGCCUAUAAGGCCCUUCAUGGCCUGUUCGGCUACCUUAUGGAGCUCGACCAGCUGCUUCAGUUGGUCGCUCAAAGGCACCGGGUGUCCGUCCUCAGCAUACUGGGACCAGAACACUUUCUCUGUCGAGCUCCCUUCUUUGGCUCAGUAGAAUGCGGCGGCGGCGGAUACACUGCGGGGCAGAUCUACGAAUGCUCCUGGAGAGCUCCGGAUUCGGGUAAGUAACAAGUAAUGCACUUUCACAUGCUUGCUUUGCAUAAAGAAUGCCUUACCCGCCGCUAUCUUCUUCAUUGCCUCAAUUUCCUGGAGGGCCUUUUGGGCUUCGUCCUUGGCAGAUUUGGCGCUUUCAAGUGCCGAGACAAGCUCGGACUCUCGAGUCUUUGAGUCAAGCUCUAAACUCUCGUGUUUUUUCACAAGAGCAUUGAGCUCUUGCCACACCUUCGCCACCUACGCCUCUUGUUUCUCUCGCUCGGUGCGCUCCACGGCCGCAUUGUCUUUGGCCUUAGAUAGCGCUUCCUUCAGGGUUGCCACCUCAAUUAUGGCCCCUGUAACAUUCAUGUUGGUCCUGUCAUUAUUUGCAACUAGGUAUUUUUAUAUACUUAUAUAAGGUACUACCUACCUUCCUUGUCCCCGAGAUGCUUCUUGGCACGGUCGAGCUCAUUCUCGGACCGCUCGAGGCUCUGCUUCAAUGCAUCGACCUCCGCAGUCAGUGCGGCAGAGGUCAGGAGCGCAGCCUGCAUUCCCAUAUUGACAUAUUUAUGUUAGACUCCUGCGUAUAUCUUUUUAGAUCCUCAGUCCGGCUUUUCUUUCCGAACACCAAACUGAGCAUCAGGGGCUACUGUCUAUGCGGUAACAUUUUUACAUGUUUUAAAUACAUACCUCAAAGCCUGUUAGAAGGCUGGCACAGGCUUCUCUCAGCCCGCUCUUGGCGGACUAAACCUUCUGGAUCAGCGCACUCAUAACAGUGUGGUGCCCCUCGUCGAUGGAGGCGCCGUUGAGCACCUCCAGCAAAUUAUCCGGUGCCUCCGGUUGGACGGAGGUCACCGCCAUCGUAGGCUUGCCCUUCUUACGAAGGGGCCGCCUGCCGGACUCCGGAACCACUAAAGGUUCCAGUGCGGCGUCCGGCCCAGGGCCGGGCUUAGAGCCCUUUGGGGUUUUGUCCCCCUUGCACCUGGAAUCUGGAAGGUCGCCUUGCGGCGCCUCCGGGGCUACCUCCUCCGAGACCGUCCCCUUUUGGGACUCCACCUCGGCAUCAUCCGUGGGGCGAGGGGAGGUAGCGGUUGGGAGUGAAAGGCUAUUCACAUCCGACGAAUCCAGGGAUCCGCUCGACGAAGCGUCGAGUUGGGCCUUGGGUAGAUUGCAUGAUUAUGUUCGGCGUUAGACGAUACUGUGCACUAAAGGAACGCCAUGAGUUAUUCUGGUAUCCGGAUACUUACGAUGUUGCCAGUGGCUUGGCCCUAGAUGGCCACUCCUCUCCACCGUCUUCGGCAUCGGAGGCGUAGUCCAGAAGAAGGGUCUUCCCCUUCUUGGACCCUCCGGCCUCCCCAGCCCCAGCUGGGGAAGCCUUCCUUUUCUUUCCUCCCCCCGUUGGAGGGGGAGAGGCUUCUUCUUCCUCCUCCUCGUCUUCGGAGGGGGAGUGCGCUUCGGGGUCGUCAUGCGAUGAGUCCGACACCACCAGGCGGAGGGAACUCUUUCGAGUUCCCGUGGCCUUCUUCUUGGCCUUCUUCUCCGGCACCACAUGAGGUGCCGGGACCAGCAGCUUCGUCAAGCGUGCAUCAGCUGGGCCUUCGGGCAAAGGAGCCGGACAGUUAAACUGUCCGGACGUCUUCUUCCAGUCCUGUCAAAGGAGCGGGAUGUCACGACCGGGUUUUCCGGGUAAUAAAUUUCCAGAAAAGACCGUCGUGCUCAUCAGCCCCAGGAUUACUGUUAGCUGAUGAGGCUCUAACUUGAUACAGAAACUCCAAGCAAAAUACAAAAUAUGUAGUACAAGACCAUUCUGGCCUGUGAGUACAACAAAUGGUUUCUAGUGGUUGAUGGUGGAAGCGGGUUGUGAAACAUCUGUGUCUAUGGGACUCCAUUUCCCACGCGAACAGCUGACCAGGUUAAAUUCUUAUCUUCGCGAGGCUACUAUCUCCAUUGAGUGGUUUCCGGGGCUAGCAUCGCGUCGCUCCUCUCCGUGCAAGAAAAAUCUGGCCAAGACAAUAGCCAGGGACAAGCCAGUGAGUACUUUGAAUGUACUCGCAAACAUUAUGAACACAAGUAUAAUAUAACAAUGAUAUGCUGAAAAUAUUUUAUGCUCAUGACGUCAGUUACCGAAAGAUAAAUAAAUCUCGGUUCCGUGCAAGCAAGUUAUUUAUAAAAUUUCAAUAACAGAGUAGCAUUAAAAAUUUAUGAAAUAAAUAACAAGUAAUGCCACGGUCGGGCGUCUGAGCGACACCACAUAAAGGGCUUUAAAAGAAAUGCCACAGUCGGGCGUCUGGGCGACGCCACAUAAAGGGCUUUAAAAGAAAUGCCACAGUCGGGCGUCUGAGCGACGCCACAUAAAGGGCUUUAAAAGAAAUGCCACAGUCGGGCGUCUGAGCGACGCCACAUAAAGGGCUUUAAAAGAAAUGCCACAGUCGGGCGUCUGAGCGACGCCACAUAAAGGGCUUUAAAAGAAAUGCCACAGUCGGGCGUCUAGGCGACGCCACAUAAAGGGCUUUAAACGAAAUGCCACAGUCGGGCGUCUGAGCGACGCCACAUAAAGGGCUUUAAUAGAAAUUCCACAGUCAGGCGUCUGAGCGACGCCACAUAAAGGGCUUUAAAAGAAAUGCCACAGUCGGGUGUCUGGGUGACGCCACAUAAAGGGCUUUAAAAGAAAUGAUCAUAGUGAAUAUCCCGGAGGUAGAACCAUCCUAGAGAUAUUCGGUAAUAAUAUCACGGGUUAGUCAACAAUAAUAAAAAUCAUAGAUAUCACAAGUCACGAAUAGUAAUUCCAUUUUUCUGGUUAACGUUUUCACCUCCGAAGACCGACACUAAGACCGACACCUGACCCAUCCCAGACUGUAAUCCUUAACCAUAGACACGGCUAUUCGAAUAGGUUUAUUCUCUGCAGAGGGUGUACUCUUUACCCACGAGUAACGGAUUUCUUUAGUCCAGCAGGACUAAUUCCGUCUACGGUCUUUUUGUUGACAACACACCUAACUUGCACACACCAGCUCAUCUCACACGUGUCUGGAAUCACCCACGACACCUGUUAAGCAAACUUUAAGUGGGGAGGCUACAACCUCGCGUAGCAUGGGAUCAAAUUUAUAUCGCGCGCUCUAAGGGGUGGCCUCCCCUCUCGGUCCCAACUGGAAACACCCAUGCCCCCGGACCAGGUGGCCUGCCUACUAGCUACAACCGGUAUCCUCCACCAUGGCCUCUCUGUACGGUGUGUGCUGGAAAGAGGUUGACAACUUACUGAACCGUACUCUACUUGCUGUAGAGACGGGUGGUAGUACGAAACAAGUAUGGGGGUUACUGGAACAAGACUCGAUCUAUGGUCGACUCAGGAGGUUCAAUUGUUCCCUGCAUGAUUAGCAUGACAAAUAUAUUCUCAUCCAACAGAGUCACCUCUCAUAUCACCUUACCAUGCCAUACCAGACAUAACCAUCCCGACGGAGACCGGCGACAAACUCAUGCCUACCCAAGGCAGAGGUUUCCCCGGGUUCCUGCCGGUAUGCAUGCAAAGCACAUGAGGGUGAUUAUCAUCACAAGUGAGUCCAUUUCCAACAGCAUGGAAAUCAACAACAUGCACCCAUGCAUAUGAUUAUAUCACAUGAAAUAACAAGUCCUUCGAAAUGCGGUGGUGUUAUAAAUGUAUCAACGAUCACACCAAAAAUAUUAUGCCGGGGUUCAGAAUGCUUGCCUUCAAUGUGUGGAAAGGCAGGGUGCACUCCAAAACUUUUGAAAGUUUCUUCUCUCUCCCAAAAUCCUAUUUAAGAAUAUAUUUGAAUUAACACAUAUUUCAAAAACAGAACCAAAAAGUUGUUUGAAAAUUUUUCAAAUAAAUCUUAAAAUAAACUAGAUCAAAUUUGAGGGAGGUAGGAAAAAGAAUCAACCCAUUUGGAGUUAUAUUUAAAAAGUUAUAGCCAGUCAAAGAUUUGGUCAAAUCUGUUAUUUAAAUUAAAAUAGAAAAGAAAACGAUUCAGGCGAGAUUACGCUUUCGGUACAGAGGAGGCAUACUCCUGAAGUUUACGCCUUCACUUAAACACGUGGACGGCGCGGGGUGUCACUGACAGUGGGCCUGCCUGGCCCACUGGUCAGGUUUGACCAGUCGCCGCGCGUCGUCUCCCUCCUUUGCCCGAGCGGAGCGGGGCUCCGGCGAUCGUCGCCGGCGUUUGGCUGCUCCUCGCGGGCCCCCGAGGGUGGGGAUGGAUCCGCAAAGUUGAGGCGGUCCUCCCGGUAGUCGUUGGGUCGGCGGGGACGGGAUGAGCUGCCGGCGGCGAGCUCCUCGGCGGAGGAAAGCUUCGGGGAAAAGUGGUUUUCGGGGCGGCGGUGGUUCUCGAUCGAAAUGGAGUAGGGGGAAGGUUUACGGGAGGAUGAGGGGGUUCUUGGUGGAGAGAACGGAGAGUGGGAGGCCCUGGUGGUGCCGAAUUGGCCGGGGCAGUGGUGGCGGCUGCCGUUGCCGGAGAUGAGGAAGAAGACCUUCCUCGAGUCGAUUGGCUGCCAUGAGAGGACUAGGGGAGCACUCUAAGGCUUCCUGCGUGACCGGGGUGGCUCGGGGGCCUCCUUUUAUAGCUCGUCGAGGUCGGUUCCGCGGCGGCCGGAUAAGCUCUCCGGCGAACCGCCUCGCUGUAGCUUGCAGGGCAACGUGGCGUGGCUGGGGAUGACGGCAAGAGCUAGUGGGCGAGAGUGCACUGCUCCAGGGGCAGGUGGCGAGUGGGAGUGGCUUGGGCGGCACCGACAUGGCCAGAGGCUGUCGGGCGGCGGCGGCUAGCGCUUGGCUUGCCGGGCGUGGCGAGGGGCGGCUUGGCGCGUAGCUGAGAGAAGGGGAGCGCGUGGCGUGAUGCUGCUGUGUGGGCCAAAGCCAGGGGGGCCAGUGUGUCGGCUCGGGCGCGUGGCUGCAAUUUGCGCGCUCUGGGCGCGCCCAGUGCACGCACGGGACGUGCUCGACGAAAUGCUAUGGCAUGUUAGGGGUCGCGGUUGAGGCUGGCAAUUAACAGACCCAGGUUAGGAGAAACGGGGAGUCUAGUGGACAUGCUGGUCUGGCCAGGGGAUUAAGUCCAUAGUGCAAACAAGGACUCAUGUCAAAACUGAUCAUGCCUGAAAGGUGUUUGACAAAAUUCCAAGGGCACUUAGGCAUUUCUUGGAGUGGCCAAAAUCUCCAGAUCAGUGUCUCUGUGGAUGAAAGAGAGGGUGGUGAUGUUAGUUGGUGAAAUGCACAAACUUGUUAGUGCAAGUCUAGCAGAAUUUCAAUUCUGGACAGGAAAUAAAUGGCAUUAUUUCAUGAACCAAAAUUAAUCCAAUGGGUGCAUGCUUCUGGAUUUAGAGGUUUAACAUGGGGGACUAGAAGUAGGAGAAAUAAUCAAGGGUUAAAGAGCAAGAAAAAACAUGGUUGCUGUACAAACCAUCAAGUUGGUCCAGAAUGAAAAUGAGGUUGAUUCACUCAAGUUUUUCAAAGAACAUAUAUAGGUUUUUGCACAAAGUGAAAUAAUAGGCUCCUACUGACCUCCCCUAAUUUUGGUAGAAGUUUUAAAGAAAUAUUUAAAUAGGUUGUAGUGCAAAAUGCACUCUGGACCAGAGAAGAAAAAUUUAGUGUAGAGCUCAAAAUAUUUCAUGAAUGAAAUAUAUUUUAGCAUAAAAGUGAUUUAAAAACAUCACAUGACAUCUCCAAAUUUUUGUGGGAAUUUUAAGUGAAUUUAUCAAAUGGUUGUAGUUCAAAUAUGGCCAUUUAACCUUGAAAAACUAUUUUUCAAUAAAACAAUGAUCAAGCAACUAAAUUAGUUAAUUAGUUAUAUUGGUAAAAGGAAAGUUUUUCUUGAGAGGUUAAACAAGUCCAACAACAUUUUUGAAAAGUUUUCUCUCUGGGAAAAACUCAUAAUAACAGGGAAGGAAAUGAUUUAAACAGAAAUCAAAAUGGAGCUCAAAAAUUCAAAGUUUUAAAUCCUGGCAAAAUUUAUUCCAUUAAAACAAGGCCAAAAUUUUGGGGUGUCACAAUACUAACCCCCUUAAGUAAAAAUCUCGUCCUCGAGAUUUGCUAAAAGUGGUGUUAAGAAAGUAAUUUACGCAAUAAAGAUGUGGCUACAGUGAGAGGGCAAUAAGUGGUGAAAAACCACAGUCUGAAAAACUGGGGCUGCGCGGAAAAGUCCACGGUUCGGGACAAAAACGGGUGAUUUCUACGCUGGAUAUAAAUUUAGGAUAACUCCUAAAUUUAGAUAUACGCUGGUCGCACCCGAGAGCACAGUGCUCUCUCUGGUUGACAGGUGGACCCGGGGUCCACUGUCAGUCUCCUCUUCUUCUCCCUCUGGCCCUUUCUUCCUCCUCUCUCCCGCGCGCUUUUUCCACCGGCGACGCCUAGUGUGUAGGGCAUCUAGGCCGUACCGUGGUAGUGCGCGGCAUGCUAGCUGCCGGUGCAGCAUGCACUCACCUCGCGGGCCAGCGCGCUGUCGGCACUGCUCGCGGAUUCGACUCCGAACAUCGGCGAUCGGCGACAAGCGGCGUUGGUGGACUUCGCCCACCGUACACCGAGCUCGAGAUAUAAAAACGGCUGGGGUGCCUCCCUCUUCCUCCUCACACCUGGCCUCACUUCUCCUCCUCCUUCUUUCUCCGUUACUGCUUACAGAAGCUCGGUCGAGGCUCUAAUGGCGGAGGCGAUGCCGGACUGGUUUGUGAUCCUGAUAUGUGGAGGGCUGGCGACGCUGCUGGGGCUCUCUGUGCUCCUGUGCGCGAUGAUCUUCGACGAGUACUGCGAUGCUGCGGCUCGGGUGUUGGCUCUCCGCGGUGGUGGUGAUCAUGAGGAGUAGAUGGGGUGUGCCGGGUGCUAACUGUUGUUAGGGGGUGAUUAGCUGGAUGUAACACCGUUGCAAAGUUUUGCAAACAGUGUAUGUGUCCGAAUGAUUAUGGUUGUGAGUCUGCUCGAGGUGCUGAGUGAAAUUAAUUAAUCCAUGUCGUGAGAAAGUGUAGAUGUAGCAACUCAGGGAAAAGAAAAUCUCACUCCAGGGUUUUGCGAGGGAAAGACAGUUAUUUAAAGGAGCAUAAACUACAACAAAAACUACACACAUUAGUAGAAGCCAAAUAAUUGACUCGUCAUACAAACUCAGGGUAUCACGCAUAAGUCACACAUAUAAAUAAAUACUGCAAAGAACAAAUACAGUAGCGACGUCUAAAAUGAAAACGGUAACUGGACGGGGUCCUGAUAAAAUGUCUCUGGUAAAGGGAUACAUUGUUCUUCAAUCGGAGGCAGUGGAUUGACCAGUCGAUGUAUGCGUCUCUCCGUGUCGGGUCUCAGUGGUCUGCCGAUGGCAAUCUGAGGAUUUAAAUUUGCGAGGCUCUGGAGAUAAUCCAUCACCCGCUGGUUUAAAUGCUCUUGAGCAAUUAUGUACUGGAUAAGGUUGGCCAGAACUGGGUCUCUCUCAAUACGUCCACCGGGAAAAGAUGUUACUUCUCCGGGUGCUGCACGACUCGGAAAGUAAUAAUAUCCUCGUUCGCGGGCAUAGGGUACUGCAGAUCGAAGACGAGCAAUCGCUUCUUUCGCAGCAGCCUCUAUGGCCAAGUGUGGGGUUGGCAUAGAUUUCCCCACGAAGGAAACUUCUGUAGGAUCUUGGUUGGGGUCUACAGGAGGAAUGUGUACUGCUGCCCAAUAUUCCGAGGUGGAUGGGGUGAUCCUUGAUUUGAACAGCUCGUACUGAGGUGGCUGGGUAGAACCCAUGGUACUGCGGGUAAAAUCCCACAAUAUUUUGACAAAGCUACCUGGGGUUGCAUCUGGGGUUCUCAGAUGAAUGCUGGGGUUCGGCAUGACAGGAAAAAAAAGCGUGAGUGUUGUGCACAAAGUGAGGGUUGCUGGGUAAGGUCACAAGGUGGCCUUUAUAUAGCAAUGGAGCCGGAUCGUUUUACCGUGGUGAAAGGUAAAAAAAAUCGCUAGCUUAGCUCCAAAGGUCGGGUCAGUGUCAGAGAUACACAUAUCUCAUAAAGAGACGUGUUACUGUGGUUGUCGUCGGGUUGGUUUUGGGUAGUUGUGCCCGGAAAAAUAUGCAGCUAUGCGCUGACCAAAUAUGCAAGGCUAUUAUUAAAAUAGAGGCACAAAGACAGGCUGCGUUAAUAUACGCGGUCGCAUGAUUACAAAGCGAGGAUACAUUGAAACUUGGUGCUACUCAUACGGCUUAGUCUACUUCGUUUAUGUCUAAACGGGCGUGCCUGGUGGAUGUCGAGGCUUCUCCGCGUGUCUCUCUGCCGGGAUUAGUCGGAGAUGGCGGAGGAACUGCAGGGUCGGGGUAGUGAGAAUGACCAUUGCGGGGAUUGUUGGCCACAACCCCGUUGGAGUGUGCUCCCAAAAUGCGACGAAGCACUUCUAGGGUUAUCGCAGCACCUUGGCCGAUGGCUGGGGCAGAUCUCGGGGUCUCGAUCGGUUGUCCAAACAGCACGACUGGGUUGUCGGUGUUGGGCUCGUUUUCUUCCCUCGCCGGGGCUCGACGAACCAGCUCUCCACGAGCUGCGAUCAGAUCAAUAGUGAUCUGGUCGAACAGUGCCUCUAGUGCACUUACAUAGCGCACUAGGUGCAACAAUGCGGGGUCCAUCUCGUGAUCUCCAUUGGCAACUUGGGGUGGUCUACCAUACCCUUCCCGUCUGGGGUAGUAGUGGAACGAGCGACAGUUAACUCUGGGAGACAAGUGCCUGAGAUGAACUAUAGCCUCUCGAGCAGCUAGCUGGAUGGCUUGUGGCUCAAAGGAAGUUGUUCUUCCGGUGAACCGGUAGGGGCGCUCGGGUGCUAGACUCCUACCAUAAAUGUGCACAGUGGCCCAGAAUUGGCGGUCUUCACCGCUCAUGGGUCCUUGAUACACAACAUAUUCUGGUGGCUCCUCUAACGCGUAGGCACGACGGGUGAGGUUUGCGAGGAUGGUCACAAAACCUCCAAGGUUGGUUGCUGUGGUUUCGUUGUGCACUAUAGGUCCAGGCAUUGUGGCUGGGUUCGAGGCUGUGCUGUGCUGGGUUGGGGCUAGCGUGCCCUUUUUAUAGGAAAAAGGGGACGGAAUCUUCCUUCGCACGCUUGUGAGAAAGGACUAUUUAGGGGGCGGUCACUGGCGCAUGAGUGACAGGUUAGGUUGAUAGGUUGGGCACCGACUGCCAAAAAGUGUUGGGUCACUGUGUGGCUAUCUUGCACGAGAAGCUUGGCUGGGGUUUGGUUAAGGUCUGGUGGGUUGGUUUGCCUAUGCUUAUUGACCUGGCUAAGAUAGGAUUAGCCAAUGGUCAGCCUGGCUCUGAUACCAAGUCUGUCACGACCGGGUUUUCCGGGUAAUAAAUUUCCAGAAAAGACCGUCGUGCUCAUCAGCCCCAGGAUUACUGUUAGCUGAUGAGGCUCCAACUUGAUACAGAAACUCCAAGCAAAAUACAAAAUAUGUAGUACAAGACCAUUCUGGCCUGUGAGUACAACAAAUGGUUUCUAGUGGUUGAUGGCGGAAGCGGGUUGUGAAACAUCUGUGUCUAUGGGACUCCAUUUCCCACGGGAAUAGCUGACCAGGUUAAAUUCCUAUCUUCGCGAGGCUGCUAUCUCCAUUGAGUGGUUUCCGGGGCUGGCAUCGCGUCGCUCAUCUCUGUGCAAGAAAAAUCUGGCCAAGACAAUAGCCAGGGACAAGCCAGUGAGUACUUUGAAUGUACUCACAAAUAUUAUGAACACAAGUAUAAUAUAACAAUGAUAUGCUGAAAAUAUUUUAUGCUCAUGACGUCAGUCACCAAAAGAUAAAUAAAUCUCGGUUGCGUGCAAGCAAGUUAUUUAUAAAAUUUCAAUAACAGAGUAGCAUUAAAAAUUUAUGAAAUAAAUAACAAGUAAUGCCACGGUCGGGCGUCUGAGCGACACCACAUAAAGGGCUUUAAAAGAAAUGCCACAGUCGGGCGUCUGGGCGACGCCACAUAAAGGGCUUUAAAAGAAAUGCCACAGUCGGGCGUCUGAGCGACGCCACAUAAAGGGCUUUAAAAGAAAUGCCACAGUCGGGCGUCUGAGCGACGCCACAUAAAGGGCUUUAAAAGAAAUGCCACAGUCGGGCGUCUGGGCGACGCCACAUAAAGGGCUUUAAACAAAAUGCCACAGUCGGGCGUCUGAGCGACGCCACAUAAAGGGCUUUAAUAGAAAUGCCACAGUCGGGCGUCUGAGCGACGCCACAUAAAGGGCUUUAAAAGAAAUGCCACAGUCGGGCGUCUGGGUGACGCCACAUAAAGGUCUUUAAAAUAAAUGAUCAUAGGGAAUAUCCCGGAGGUAGAACCAUCCUAGAGAUAUUCGGUAAUAAUAUCACGGGUUAGUCAACAAUAAUAAAAAUCAUAGAUAUCACAAGUCACGAGUAGUAAUUCCAUUUUUCUGGUUAACGUUUUCACCUCCGAAGACCGACACUAAGACCGACACCUGACCCAUCCCAGACUGUAAUCCUUAACCAUAGACACGGCUAUUCGAAUAGGUUUAUUCUCUGCAGAGGGUGUACUCUUUACCCACGAGUAACGGAUUUCUUUAGUCCAGCAGGACUAAUUCCGUCUACGGUCUUUUUGUUGACAACACACCUAACUUGCACACACCAGCUCAUCUCACACGUGUCUGGAAUCACGCACGACACCUGUUAAGCAAACUUUAAGUGGGGAGGCUACAACCUCGCGUAGCAUGGGAUCAAAUUUAUAUCGCGCGCUCUAAGGGGUGGCCUCCCCUCUCGGUCCCAACUGGAAACACCCAUGCCCCCGGACCAGGUGGCCUGCCUACCAGCUACAACCGGUAUCUUUCACCAUGGCUCUCUGUACGGUGUGUGCUGGAAAGAGGUUGACAUCUUACUGAACCGUACUCUACUUGCUGUAGAGACGAGUGGUAGUACGAAACAAGUAUGGGGGUUACUGGAACAAGACUCGAUCUACGGUCGACUCAGGAGGUUCAAUUGUUCCCUGCAUGAUUAGCAUGACAAAUAUAUUCUCAUCCAACAGAGUGACCUCUCAUAUCACCUUACCAUGCCAUACCAGAAAUAACCGUCCCGACGGAGACCGGCGACAAACUCAUGCCUACCCAAGGCAGAGGUUUCCCCGGGUUCCUGCCGGUAUGCAUGCAAAGCACAUGAGGGUGAUUAUCAUCACAAGUGAGUCCAUUUCCAACAGCAUGGAAAUCAACAACAUGCACCCAUGCAUAUGAUUAUAUCACAUGAAAUAACAAGUCCUUCGAAAUGCGGUGGUGUUAUAAAUGUAUCAACGAUCACACCAAAAAUAUUAUGCCGGGGUUCAGAAUGCUUGCCUUCAAUGUGUGGAAAGGCAGGGUGCACUCCAAAACUUUUGAAAGUUUCUUCUCUCUCCCAAAAUCCUAUUUAAGAAUAUAUUUGAAUUAACACAUAUUUCAAAAACAGAACCAAAAAGUUGUUUGAAAUUUUUUCAAAUAAAUCUUAAAAUAAACUAGAUCAAAUUUGAGGAAGGUAGGAAAAAGAAUCAACCCAUUUGGAGUUAUAUUUAAAAAGUUAUAGCCAGUCAAAGAUUUGGUCAAAUCUGUUAUUUAAAUUAAAACAGAAAAGAAAACGAUUCAGGCGAGAUUACGCUUUCGGUAUAGAGGAGGCAUACUCCUGAAGUUUACGCCUUCACUUAAACACGUGGACGGCGCGGGGUGUCACUGACAGUGGGCCUGCCUGGCCCACUGGUCAGGUUUGACCAGUCGCCACGCGUCGUCUCCCUCCUUUGCCCGAGCGGAGCGGGGCUCCGGCGAUCGUCGCCGGUGUUUGGCUGCUCCUCGCGGGCCCCCGAGGGUGGGGAUGGAUCCGCAAAGUUGAGGCGGUCCUCCCGGUAGUCGUUGGGUCGGCGGGGACGGGAUGAGCUGCCGGCGGCGAGCUCCUCGGCGGAGGAAAGCUUCGGGGAAAAGUGGUUUUCGGGGCGGCGGUGGUUCUCGAUCGAAAUGGAGUAGGGGGAAGGUUUACGGGAGGAUGAGGGGGUUCUUGGUGGAGAGAACGGAGAGUGGGAGGCCCUGGUGGUGCCGAAUUGGCCGGGGCAGUGGUGGCGGCUGCCGUUGCCGGAGAUGAGGAAGAAGACCUUCCUCGAGUCGAUUGGCUGCCAUGGGAGGACUAGGGGAGCACUCUAAGGCUUCCUGUGACCGGGGUGGCUCGGGGGCCUCCUUUUAUAGCUCGUCGAGGUCGGUUCCGCGGCGGCCGGAUAAGCUCUCCGGCGAACCGCCUCGCUGUAGCUUGCAGGGCAACGUGGCGUGGCUGGGGAUGACGGCAAGAGCUAGUGGGCGAGAGUGCACUGCUCCAGGGGCAGGUGGCGAGUGGGAGUGGCUUGGGCGGCACCGACAUGGCCAGAGGCUGUCGGGCGGCGGCGGCGGCUAGCGCUUGGCUUGCCGGGCGUGGCGAGGGGCGGCUUGGCGCGUAGCUGAGAGAAGGGGAGCGCGUGGCGUGAUGCUGCUGUGUGGGCCAAAGCCAGGGGGGCCAGUGUGUCGGCUCGGGCGCGCGGCUGCAAUUUGCGCGCUCUGGGCGCGCUCAGUGCACGCACGGGACAUGCUCGACGAAAUGCUAUGGCAUGUUAGGGGUCGCGGUUGAGGCUGGCAAUUAACAGACCCAGGUUAGGAGAAACGGGGAGUCUAGUGGACAUGUUGGUCUGGCCAGGGGAUUAAGUCCAUAGUGCAAACAAGGACUCAUGUCAAAACUGAUCAUGCCUGAAAGGUGUUUGACAAAAUGCCAAGGGCACUUAGGCAUUUCUUGGAGUGGCCAAAAUCUCCAGAUCAGUGUCUCUGUGGAUGAAAGAGAGGGUGGUGAUGUUAGUUGGUGAAAUGCACAAACUUGUUAGUGCAAGUCUAGCAGAAUUUCAAUUCUGGACAGGAAAUAAAUGGCAUUAUUUCAUGAACCAAAAUUAAUCCAAUGGGUGCAUGCUUCUGGAUUUAGAGGUUUAACAUGGGGGACUAGAAGUAGGAGAAAUAAUCAAGGGUUAAAGAGCAAGAAAAAACAUGGUUGCUGUACAAACCAUCAAGUUGGUCCAGAAUGAAAAUGAGGUUGAUUCACUCAAGUUUUUCAAAGAACAUAUAUAGGUUUUUGCACAAAGUGAAAUAAUAGGCUCCUACUGACCUCCCCUAAUUUUGGUAGAAGUUUUAAAGAAAUAUUUAAAUAGGUUGUAGUGCAAAAUGCACUCUGGACCAGAGAAGAAAAAUUUAGUGUAGAGCUCAAAAUAUUUCAUGAAUGAAAUAUAUUUUAGCAUAAAAGUGAUUUAAAAACAUCACAUGACAUCUCCAAAUUUUUGUGGGAAUUUUAAGUGAAUUUAUCAAAUGGUUGUAGUUCAAAUAUGGCCAUUUAACCUUGAAAAACUAUUUUUCAAUAAAACAAUGAUCAAGCAACUAAAUUAGUUAAUUAGUUAUAUUGGUAAAAGGAAAGUUUUUCUUGAGAGGUUAAACAAGUCCAACAACAUUUUUGAAAAGUUUUCUCUCUGGGAAAAACUCAUAAUAACAGGGAAGGAAAUGAUUUAAACAAAAAUCAAAAUGGAGCUCAAAAAUUCAAAGUUUUAAAUCCUGGUAAAAUUUUAUUCCAUUAAAACAAGGCCAAAAUUUUGGGGUGUCACACGGGAGCUUACAUCCCGCAUGGAGUCAAACUAUGGAAAACAAGUAUCCUGUAAAGGGUAAAAAAAGCUUACCGCGCUGGCUUGGCACUUUGCGCAGAAUCCACGAUCCUUGGUAAUGGGUGGGGGAACCUCGGAGCUCUUGAAUAGCACCUUCCAGGCAUCUUCGUGCGUUGUGUCGAACAGCCUGGACAAAGUUUGGUGCUGAGCCGGGUCGAACUCCCACAAGUUGAAAGCCCGUCGUUGACACGGGAGGAUCCGGCGGAAGAUCAUGACCUGGACUACGUUGACAAGCUUAACCUUCUUGUCCACCAAGUUUUGGACGCAGGUUUGGAGUCCAGUCACCUAUUCCGGAUUACCCCACGACACGCCCGUCUCUUUCCAGGAGGUGAGCCGUGUGGGGAUGCCAGAUUGGAAUUCGGGGGCCGCUGCCCAUUCAGGGUCACGCGGCUCGGUGAUGUAGAACCACCCCGAUUGCCACCCUUUGAUGGUUUCCACAAAGGAGCCAUCGAGCCAGGUGAUGUUGGGCAUCUUGCCCAACAUGGCGCCUCCGCACUCCGCUUGUCGGCCGCCCACAACCUUCGGCUUGACAUUGAAGGUCUUCAGCCAUAAGCCGAAGUGGGGCUGGAUGCAGAGGAAGACCUCGCACACGACGAUAAACGCCGAGAUGUUGAGGAUGAAGUUCGGGGCCAGAUCGUGGAAAUACAGGCCAUAGUAGAACAUGAGCCCCCGGACAAAUGGGUGAAGAGGGAAGCCCAGUCCGUGAAGGAAAUGGGGGAGAAACACCACCCUUUCAUGGGGCCUAGGGGUGGGGACGAGCUGUCCCUCAUCUGGGAGCUGGUGCGCAAUGUCGUAAGACAGGUAUCCGACCUUCCUCAGCUUUUUGAUUUGCCCCUCCGUGACGGAGGAAGCCAUCCACCUGCCUCCCGCUCCGGACAUGGUUGGAGAAGGUCAAGGUGGGAAGUGCGGACUUGGGCGCUGGAGCUCGAAUGUGCAGGAAUGGAUAAGCGAAGGAGGAGGAAGGCGUAGAUGGAAAGGGUGGAUCCUUAUCCCCUUAUAUGGGUGGCCGAAACUAUGUGCCCCCACCAGCCUAGUAAAACUCACUUAUCUCCCAAGCGUGGUGAUUAAUGGUGCGGUUGGGUUACCCACGCCCGUAUUGAUGAGAAUCCCGAAAUAAGGGGACAUGAUCUCUGCUUUGACAGGACGUGCCAAGGAAACCUCCUCGCUAAAUGCGCUGAGGUGGGACAGUAAAACAAUUCGAAUAAAGGCUUGGCUGUGGCAUGAUGUCACGCUGCAGAAUACGUCAGCAGAUUAGAUUUGUACAAAUAUUAUUCUCUCUACGGUGGUAUGUGGAACUUAUUUUGCAGAGCCGGACACUAUCCUUGUGUUCAACAUCUUCUAUGAAGUAUUUAGAGGAGGAACCCGCCUUGCAAUGCCGAAGACAAUUUGCGUGCCGGACUCGUUGUCAUUGAAGCCUGGUUCAAGGGCUACUGAGGGAGUCCUGGAUUAGGGGGUGUCUGGAUGGCCGGACUAUGACCUUUGGCCGGACUCCCGGACUAUGAAGAUACAAGAUUGAAGACUUCGUCCCGUGUCCGGAUGGGACAUUCCUUGGCGUGGAAGGCAAGCUUGGCGAUACGAUAUGUAGAUCUCCUCCCAUUGUAACCGACUCUGUGUAACCCUAGCCCUCUCCAGUGUCUAUAUAAACUGGAGGGUUUUAGUCCAUAGGACGAACAACAAUCAUACCAUAGGCUAGCUUCUAGGGUUUAGCCUCUCUGAUCUCGUGGUAGAUCUACUCUUGUACUACCCAUAUCAUCAAUAUUAAUCAAGCAGGAGUAGGGUUUUACCUCCACCGAGAGGGCCCGAACCUAGGUAAAAACAUCAUGUUCCUUGUCUUCUGUUACCAUCCGCCUAGACGCACAGUUCGGGACCCCCUAACCAAGAUCCGCCGGUUUUGACACCGACACUCGACAACAAGGGGCUCUUUGGGAGCAGCCCGAUCUCUCUUCUUAGUCUUUCUCUUCUUGGUGGGUGGUGCAUCAUCAGUGUGUUCAUGAGCAUGCGCUUUUUGGCUUCGGCUUCAGCUGCCUUGGUUUUCUUCAGUUCUGAAGCCACUGUGGGGACCUUAGGCUUCGAGCCUGUCAUGCUGGCAGGGAAGAGAAUGCGAGGUUCUUCCCGCCUUGGAGCUUCAGUUGGGGCCACAGUAGACUUCUUUUUCUUGGCAGCCAUCUUGGGAUCAAUGCCUGGACGCCCAAGUGCCUUGCGCUUCUCAGCUUCAUUGUAAGCUUGAACACAUUUGGCGGCAAGAUUGUUCAUGCGCUCUCUUGAACCUUUGGCUUCUUCGCGUUUUCCCGACCGACAUAGAUUUCCCGACCGACUACUUCUUGGUGAUAGGGUAUCUUUCCCGACCAACAUUCUGGUGGGCCUACCCUGGGCCUUUCCCGACCAACAGUCUGUUGGGGCUACAAUGGGCCUUUCGCGACCGACUAUCAUACAGGGAAUUCUUUCCCGACCAACAAUCUAUUGGGAUGCCAUGGGCCUUUCGCAACCGGCAAUCUGACAGUGUAUUCUUUCCCGACCAACAUUAUGUUGGGCCUAGCAUUGGCCUUUCCUGACCGAUUGUUACAGUUUUUUUCUACCGACCAACAUCCAUUAGUACUCCAUAAGUGGACAUAAAUUACCAAUAGAAUAUACAUCAAGUUACAGUGCAUGUCAUCCAAAAACAUUGAACCAGAUGCAAACAAUAACAUACAUUUCAUUAAUUUUCAGAUAUAAAUACAUCAUCUGUUAUGAACUAAUGAACAUCCAAGUUUCCUAUAAAACUAGUGGAACUAAUUAAGUAGAGGAAACAUUGUCACGACCGGUUUUCCCGGAUAUCAAUUUCCAGAAAGAGACCGUCGUGCUCAUCAGCCCCAGGAUUACUGUUAGCUGAUGAGGCUCCAACUUGAUACAGAAAUUCCAAGCAAAUACAAAAUAUGUAGUACAAGACCAUUAUGGUCUGUGAGUACAACAAAUGGUUUCUAGUGGUUGAUGGCAGAAGCGGGCUGUAAAUCAUCAGUGUCUAUGGGACUCCAUUUCCCACGGGAACAGCUGACCAGGUUAACUCCUAUCUUCGCGAGGCUGCUAUCACGGUUGCUUAAGUACCGGGGCUGUCAUCGUGUCGCUCCUCUUCGCGCAAGAAAUCUGGCCAAGACAAUAGCCAGGGACAAGCCAGUGAGUACUUUGAAUGUACUCGCAACCAUUAUGAACACACGAAUAAUAUAAUGAUGUGAUGAAACUAUUUUAUACUCAUGACGUCAGUCACAAAAUAUAAAUAUAACUCGGAUGCGUGUAAGCAUGUUAAUUAUGAAUAUGCAAUAACUUAGCAAUAUUAAAAUUAUGAAAUAAACAACAAAGAAAUGCCACAGUCGGGCGUCUGAGCGACACCACAUAAAGGGCUUUAAAAGAAAUGCCACAGUCGGGCGUCUGAGCGACACCACAUAAAGGGCUUUAAAGAAAUGCCACAUUCGGGCGUCUGAGCGACACCACAUAAAGGGCUUUAAAAGAAAUGCCACAGUCGGGCGUCUGAGCGACACCACAUACAGGGCUUUAAAGAAAAUGCCACAGUCNNNNNNNNNNNNNNNNNNNNNNNNNNNNNNNNNNNNNNNNNNNNNNNNNNNNNNNNNNNNNNNNNNNNNNNNNNNNNNNNNNNNNNNNNNNNNNNNNNNNNNNNNNNNNNNNNNNNNNNNNNNNNNNNNNNNNNNNNNNNNNNNNNNNNNNNNNNNNNNNNNNNNNNNNNNNNNNNNNNNNNNNNNNNNNNNNNNNNNNNNNNNNNNNNNNNNNNNNNNNNNNNNNNNNNNNNNNNNNNNNNNNNNNNNNNNNNNNNNNNNNNNNNNNNNNNNNACAGGGCUUUAAAAAGAAAUGCCACAGUCGGGCAUCUGAGCGACACCACAUACAGGGCUUUAAAAGAAAUGCCACGGUCGGGCAUCCGAGCGACACCACAUAUAGGGCUUUAAAAGAAAUGCCACAGUCGGGCGUCUGAGCGACGCCACAUAUAGGGUUUUAAAAGAAAUGCCACAGUCGGGCGUCUGAGCGACACCACAUAAAGGGCUUUAAAGAAACAAACAUAGUGAAUAUCCCGGAGGUAGAACCAUCCCAGGAGUAUUCGAUAAUACCAAAAAUAUCACGGGUUAGUCCACAACAAAAUAAUAAUCAUCAUUAUCAAAUGUCACAAGUUGUAAUAUCAGUCCUCAUGUAACAGUUUCACCUCCGAAGACCGACACUAAGACCGACACUUGACCCAUCCCAGGCUGUAGUCCUUAACCAUGGACAUGGCUAUUCGAAUAGGUUUAAUCUCUGCAGAGGGUGUACUCUUUACCCACGAGUAACGGAUUCCCUUAGUCCAUCGGUACUAAUUCCGUCUACGGUCUUUUAAAUGAAAACACACCUAACUUGCACACACCAGCUUAACUCACACGUGUCUGGAAUCACCCACGACACCUGUCAAGCAAACUCUAAGUGGGGAGGCUACAACCUCGAUUAGCAUGGGAUCACCAAAUUUAUACCGCGCGCAAAACUGGGAAAGCUACCCCCUCGGCUACAACCGAAAACACCCAUGCCCCCUGACCGGAUGACUGGCUUUAAUCCAUGGCCGUGGUACCCUCAUUCCGGCCCCUCUGUACAGUGUGUGCUAGAAAGGGGUUGACAAAUUACUGAGUCGUACUCUACUUGUUGUAGAGACGAGUGGUAGACGGAGCAAGUAUGGGGGUUACUGGAACAAGACUCGAUCUACGGUCGACUCAGGAGGUUUAAGUAUUCUCUGCAUGAUUAGCAUAACGAAUAUAUUUCAACCAACAGAGUCACCGCUCAUAUCACCUUACCAUGCCAUACCAGACAUAACCGUCCCGACGGAGACCGGCGACAAACUCGUGCCUACCCAAGACAGAGGUUUUCCCGGGUUCCUGCUGGUAUGCAUGUAAGGCACAUGAGGAUGAUUAUCAUCACAAGUGUGAUCAUUUCCAACAGCAUGGAAAUCACUAACAUGCACCCAUGCAUAUGAUCAUAUCACAUGAAAUAACAAGUUUCUCCAAAGUGAGGUGAAGUUAUAAACGUGUCAUCAAACACACAAAGAAUAUUAUGCCGGGGUUCAGAAUGCUUGCCUUCAGGUCAUGGGAAGGCAGGGUGUAUUUCAAACUCUUGAAAUACUUCUCCUCUCUUCAAAAAUCCUAUUUUUGAAAAUAUAAAUGAAUUAACACACAAAAUAAAAACAGCACAAAAAGUUUUUUGAAAAGUUUCCAAAUAAAUCUUAAAAUAAACUAGACAGGAUUUGAGAGAUGUAGGAAAAAGAAUCAAUUCAUUUGGAGUUAUAUUUAAAAAGUUAUAGCCAGUCAAACAUUUGGUCAAAAUCUGUUUUUUUUUAAAACAGAAAAGAAAAGAAAAACGCUUCGAACCGGUAUACGUCGAAGACGUACUUUGCAAAUACGUUACCACUUAACCCACGUGGACUGGCGCAAGGUCACUGACAGUGGGCCCGCCUGGCCCACUAGUCAGGUUUGACUAGUCCGCCUUCCUUCUUCUCCCUCUGUCCCGAGCGGAGGCGGAACUCCGGCGAUCGUCACCGGUGAACGGCGGGUCCCUGAGGGAAGCUGAGGGCGGGGAUGGAUUCGCGGGUCGAGGGUGAUCCUACUGGUAGUCGCUGGGUCAGCGGGGAUGGCGUGGGCUGCCGGCGGCGAGCUUCGCGGCGGAGGAAAGCUUCGGGGUGAAGUGGUUUCGGGGCCGCGGUGGUUCCCGAACGAAAUGGAGUAGGGGGAUGUGAUCACGGGAGGAAGGGAAAGUUCCUGGUGGAGAGAGUGGAGAGGGGGAUGCCUUCGUUGCGCCGGAAUGGCCUGGUUAGUGGCGGCGGCUGGAGUCGCCGGAGAGGUUGAAGAUGGCAUGCUCCCCUCCAAUUGGCGGUUGGGGGGCACUAGCGAGACGGUGUGAAGCUGCCCCCGAGCGGGCUUGAGCUUGGGUCUCCUUAUAUAGUGUGGCUAGGGUGGUCCGAGGCGGCCGGUGAUAAGAACAACGGCGAACUGCCGUUCUAUAGCAGCAGGGGGGUCGUGGCGACGACGAGAACUAGGGAACACGCUUGCGGAUGAGCACGUACUGCUCACAAGGGCAGGUGGCGAGCCGGGGUGGCUUCGGCGGCGCUGGCCUGAGUCAGGGCUGUCGGACGGCCAUGGCGGCUAGUCCUUGGCUUGCCGGGGACGCGGCGAGGCUCUGCUCGGUGUGUUGCGGUGAGUGGGGAGCAUGCUGCGCGCAAGGGGACACGGCGUGCCGGCUGCGGUCGGUCACAGGCUGGGGUGAGUGACGCGGCGGCUCGGGCGCCACUCGUGCAAUACGCGCGCUCUGGGCGCGUUCAAAGCACGCCCGGGAUGUGCUCGACGAAAUGCCAGGGUGUCCUAGAGGUCAUGGUUGAGGCUGGAAAGAACCAGGGCUAGUCUAGGUUUAGUAAGGGUAGCAAGGGACAUGGUGGUUUGGUCAGGAGACCAAGUUCACAAGGCCAAUAACAAUACAUGUCAAAACUGAUCAUGCACUCCAGGUGUUUGACAAAAUGCCACAGGCACUUAGGCUAUUCUUGGAGGAGCCAAAUCUUCCAGAUCAGUGUCUCCUUGGAUGCACAAGAGGGUGGUGAGGUUAGUUUGCAAAAAGGACUUCAAAUCUGGACAGGAUGUGAAUGGCAUUAUUUCAUGAACCAAAGAUAUGCCAAUGGUUGUAUGCUCCCGGACUUAGGGGUUUAGCAUGGAGGACUACAAGUAGGAGAAAGAAUCAAGGGCCAAAGAGCAAGCAAUAAUAUGGUUGAUGUACAAACCAUCAUGAUGAACCAGAAUGGAGAUGAGGUUGAUACACUCAACAUUUUCAAAGAACAUCAUUGGGUCUAUGCAUAUAAUGGAAUCAUAUGCUGCUACUGACAUCCCAUAAUUUUGGUGGAAGCUAGAAACAAAUAUUUAAAAGGGUUGCAGUGCAAAAAUGCCUACUAGACCAGAGAAGAAAAACAUGUGUAGCACUCAAAAUAUGCAAUGAAUGAACUAUAUUAUUGCAUAAAAGUGAUUUAGGGGCAUCACAUGACAUCUCCAAAUUUUGGUUGGAUUUUUAGUUAAAUUUAUCAAAUGGUUGUAGUACAAAAAGAGCUCCAAACUUAAAACAAGUCAUUUUUAAAGAAUAUAGCUCAGGGUGGAAUAAUUUAAUAAAUAAACCUACUGAUUAGGAAAUUGUUUUAAUGAGAUGCCAUAGAGGUUCAAUAUGUUUGGAAGGAUCCACUUGGAAAAAAAAUCCUUAAUAAUAAAAGAAAGGUUUUGAAAUCAACAGAAAUAUUCUUGCAGGCAAAAUUUGAAAUUCUUGGCAAAAUUUUAAUAACUAAAACCUGGUUAAAUUUUUGGGGUGUUACAAACAUUAUGGUUUAUUCCUUGCUUUAUUUUCUAGAAUUUGUUUUAAGAGGCACAUCAUCUGCCUUGGCUCCUUGUAGUGCGCAACUACAUACACAUCCUCUCAGCAUUCCACCAAGAUCCUUGUGUCGUUCUAGUACUUGACAUCAAAGCCUUCCUUCUACAUCUCAUUGGAGAACAUCCUCCAAUUUGAAAAUCUGCAAGUCAAAAUCCCCAGUUAAUAUUUCCACAUGAUAACUGGAGAACGUGAUAUUUUCUCUAAGCCGCCUUCAGUAUCAUUUCACACCAAAGCAACUAAAGAGAAUUCAUUAUCACUGAUGGGAAAAGGGUUCCUUUUGCUCCCCUCUUUUGUGUUUCCUGCAACUUCUUUUGAUAUAUCCUAAGAUACAUGAAAGAGUAAGAAAUCUAGAAGCGAAAGCAUUUGCUAAAAUGAAAGGAUAAUUCUCUUCAGGACAUGGGGGAUAAUGCUCUUUAGGCAAUUCCUGCAUAAAUGAAAGGUGUAAGAAAUUAGAUGAUUAAUAAUAGGUAGCAUCAAAAGCAUUUGCUAAGCAAUGAAUUUACCUAUGGGGAUAGGUGGAGCCUUCAAUAUUUCCAAAUAAGUGACAUGCUCAAAGUCCUCUGUUGUAGGCAAGCCACUUGCUAUCACAAACAACAAUUUAAUAUCUCCUUCAAUCGUUACUUCACCAAAAAACCAAAGCUCCAAAUCCUGGUAAAUGCCAUGGUAUGACUAGUAAUGUGAAAAAUACUCUGAAACAAGAAAAAAAUGGUUCUGUAAUCAGAGGAUGGAAAAUUACUUUCAUAGACCAUCAUAAGACACCACAAAAAAAUUAGCCUGACAAAAUCAGUUCGCCUAGACACUGUUAGAAAAUGCAGCAGAAAGAAAUUCUUAUACAAGAGCCACCUCUCGAAUGCAAAGGAAGUGAACUUUGAAGCCAAGAUCUGUUUGUGACCUUUGUCCACCAUGCUACUACAUUUUUCCAAAUCAUUCACUGAAAAACAACAGAAAACAAAACUUUAUGUCAAGCCUGCUAUCAAAAGAAAAAACAUGUGUAACCAGUUCAUGAAAGUACCUUUUAAAAAACUACAAAACAAUAAUGAAGCUUAAUUAACUGCUGCACAUAAAGAACUUUACUGCUUCAAGGGUUCUCUAUUUCCAUGAAUCAAAGCAGCAUAGAUUUCUUUAAAGAUAUUAUUAAACUUACGGUACCUUUUAGAAAACUACAAAACAAUAAUGAAGCUUAAUUAACUGCUGCACAUAAAGAACUUUACUACUUCAAGGGCUUCUCUAUUUCCAUGAAUCAAAGCAGCAUAAAUUUCUUUAAAGAUAUUAUUAAACUUAUGGACUAGUUCAAAUCUGCACACUACAGCACAUAGAGAGAGGGGGGAGGGAAGGGAGAGGGGCCAAGUGAGAGAGUGAGAUCUUACCGAUAUCGAUUAUAAUAAGUCAUUGGUAGGGAAAUCUGGUGCGUGGUGUAGUGAUUAAAUAAGUCUCGAUUAUAAUACACUAUCAGAAAUUGCAUUUUCUUUGCUUUUUGGAAAGAACACGGUUUGACGUUGCUGUUGCGCGCAAUUGGACUAUAGUAUUCAAAUGCCAACACAGAGGAGCAUCUCAUUCUCAACACAAAAGUAAUAAAUACAGAGAAGCCAAUAACCAUGUGUUAACACGUUAAUCCUUUGCUGAAAUCACCCCAACCCGCCCACCAUUUCCAUAACGAGCUGAUGGGUCAGCAGAAGUGUUUGUUUCUUCUCUUUAAAAAUAAAUAAGACAGAUUACUCUAUUGGCAUAGGCAAAGAAAACUAGAGUGUGUGAUCUUAAGGUCAGCAGAAGUGUUUGAAGCACUAUUUAUGUUUAUACAAUUCAUUAUGUAUAUAAAGAAUUGCCCACUACAUACCUUUUUACUACUUUUAGUUGUUCCUCCAUGACCCCACCAUUUUACCUUUAGAAUAUCAGCUCACCGAUCUGGUGUUCCUCUAGUUUUCAGUUUUCCACACUCAGAAUGCUAUAUGCAAUGGCAAAAGGUACAAAAAAAUUCAGAAUACUAGUAUAUUUGAAGUUGGGUCACAAGAGGUAACUUAAAAUAUGUACUAGUGAAUGUACAGAUUGUGAUUGCAAGAAAUAAAUACCUUACUCAUUUAUAGCAGCAGCAAAUCAUCCACUGUCACUAGUAGAAAAGGGGGCAUCAGUCCCGGUCACCCCCCUUUAGUCCCGAUUGUAACAGGAACCGGGACUAAAGGCCGCGGCCACGUGGAGCUCCACCUUUAGUCCCGGUUGGUAACACCAACCGGGAUUAAAGGAAAUUUUAUGAAUUUUUUUUUUGAAUUUUUUUUAAUUUUUUUAUUUUCAAAUUUCUGAAUUAUUUUAACCUCUAAUCUCUAAUCACCACCCCUCAUCACUGCUCAAUUUACCCUCUAAUCUCUAAUCACCCCUCGUCAUUCCAAAUCAUCUAACUUCCCGAACGGUCACCCAUCCUCUCACUACUCCAACCUGAGCACGCUUAACUUCCAGGUUCUAUUCUCACUCAUUUCCAAGUCUGCACUUGUUGUUUCCCUGACAAUAGUAAGAUGUCAAUCCUAUUAACCCUCAGGAAUUUUGCUUGAGCAUGAAGUGACACAUUUCACUGUUUGAGUUUGAAACUAUUGUUUUAGAAAACAAUAAUUAUUUAGUAACACUAAUAUUUCUUGAAUAAUUAGUUUGACCAUUGUUUGACCACAGUUUGACCGCAGUUUGACCAGAUUUGACCAAAAUUCAAAAUAACUGAAAUAAUUUUUUAGUAACACUAAUAUUCUGGAAUAAUUAGUUUGACCAUUGUUUGACCACAGUUUGAAUUUUUUUCGAUUUUUAGUAACUUUUUUCCUGUUAGGUUUUUGAGGAUUUUGAAAAUGUUUAACUUGGUUCCCUCGUUAAAUUCGGAUGUAACUUUUUGAGUAGAUGAUUUUUCAUAUAAAAAACAUUUUCAUCUGAGUUAGUAUGCAAAAGUUAUGCCCAUUUUACUAAAUUCUAGAGAGAUUUUGCAAAUAAAGUCGAAAUUCACAUUUGCAAAUUUUCCCAACAACUAGACCACAUAUCACAUGGGAAACUUAUUUUUUAAAUUUUUUUUGACAUUUUCAUCAUUUUCUUUUAUUUUUUUUAAAACUGAAAAGGCGAUCCCAGGGGGUGGAGUUUGAAAAUGGGACCUUUAGUACCGGUUCGUGCCAUGAACCGGUACUAAUGCCUCAAACCCCAUUAGUACCGGUUGGUGGCACCAACCGGGACUAAAGGUCUAACCCUUUAGUCCCGGUUGGUGCCACAAACCGGGACUAAUGGGCAUCGCACCCUUUAGUCCCGGAUCAUGGCACCAAUAGGGACUAAAAGGUCCAAACGAACCGGGACAAAUGGCCCACGUGGCCCCUAGGCGCACGAACCGAGACUAAUGCCCCCAUUAGUCCCGUUUCUGGACUGAACCGGGACUAAUGGGCUAACCCGGGGUGGACCAAAGCCCUCUAUUCUACUAGUGUGUUUGCAUAAUGCACCAGUAUGUUCUUUCCAUCAAGCAGCUGAAUCUAUCAUCAUGUGCCAAAAAUGUGCUAUGGUAAGGAAAAAGAACUGUGCACCUAUUAUUGCAUAUUAUCCUACAGGAACUUGACUUCUGCUAUACCUAAAGAUGUAGUGAAGCGCUAUUUUACCUAGUCGCUCAUCUUCUCCAAUGCCGAGAUGCUUCUCUUUCGAAAGAGAACUUGACGAAACUGUAUCCUUUGGAUGUCCUCGCAAGGGAUGUCAUAUUGCUUCCACUGCCAACUAGCACAUCAAUCAGCGAGAGGACAAACCUAACAAAAUCACAGGUCCAACAUCAAGAAGUUAGAACAGGUAUGUUAGGACUACCUUCGUGAACAUCUCCAUGCUGAGAGAAGACGUUGUCAAAUGACUCUAGUUGUCGGAUGUAUGAGAUACCAUCGACUUGCCAUGCUGCUCUUUGGCUCUAGCACUGCCUACCUACAAAAAAAGUUGGCAAGAAACAUAAAUGAACUUGAUAUACAGUUAACUUAAGUAAGAUACCCAGUACGUAGAUAACUCACUAGACUCACCAAUUGGUGGGGAGGCAGUGGCAAAAAGGGCGGGACAUCACUGUGCCACCCACCGGAAGCUCGUGAGUAGCCAGAAGCAGGAAUCCUUGUGCACAAGUGCCCUGAACAUAUAAAGAAAACAAAAGGCUAAUUGUGAUUCUGGAGCUAUUUAUUUCAUAGCAGGUUUAAAUAAGCUGAAGUUCUUGUUCUCAGAGCAUGAAGAUUAAAUAUAGACUUUUAUAUUUGUGACAAUUCUACAAUGCUCAACUGAAAGGAUGAACCAUUAGUAUGAUUAUUUGGACUUCUUGUGCAACUUGAAGGUAGUUCUCACUUCUCAGUGUUGUACUUUACAAAUGGAUCUUCAGUUAAGAUAUGCAAGCAAGACAUACAUACCAAGUAAUCACCACAUCAAGUCUGAGCUACCAGGAAUGGAUGCUCAAACAUACCACUUGGAGUGUUUAUUUUGUGACAUCGACGGAAAAAAUAUUGAAAGGCAUUACUGAAUAUAUGUAAUGCAUUUUCUGAUUUCUAAUUGUCAUGAUCAAGGGCUGUGGACCAAAUAUUUAUUGGCAUGGUAAGCAUGUAUUGUUACAAAUACAGUACAAUUACUGCUGUAAUUGAGAAAUUCAAUUCAUAAUUGCUGCCCUCUGAUGUCAAUAGUUUGGUUCGGUACUUCAGUUUAUUUCUAACCCAUGCAUUUUAUUCAGAGACAUUGUGCAAUAAGAUACUCAGUCACAAAGCAAGCAUCAUAUCAAUUUUGUAAUGUCCGCAAUUGGUGCCUGAGUGUAUUUUCAGUUCAGGGAUGUGCAUGUAUAUAGGUUAAUCUUAGCACAUCACUCAAGUAAAAGUUAAUUUCUGUAAAUUAAAAGAACCUUUAUCUUAUCUCGUUAUUAGACUGCAGAACAAAUGUGCCAUUGAUCUAUUUCCUAAAUUUGAAUGUUUAACUGUGUCAUUCUCUAUCUUACUGAAAACACAGAGAUGAAAUUGUUCUUAACUAACAGUCCCUUACCCAUGUGUAACCAAUUCGUCAAAAUACUUUUUAGAAAACUAUAAAUCUGCACACUAGGGUUUCAAAUUUGCACGCUGCAACCAGGCAGGGGGAGUGGAGGGAGAGACCACAAGAGAGGGAAAGAGACCUUACCGCUGUUGUUACCGCCAUGGAUGGCUACCUGUUGGUCACCGAAGGUUGGUUGGCAGAGAUGGAGGCACAUGUCGCCGGAAGCAAAGGGACCAGAGGCCGCCUACCUUGUUCUGGACCACCGGGAGCAAAAUGACCUUGACCCCUUCAGAUCUGGCACCAUGGGAAGGAGUGGAGAGGGAGGGAGGGGAGAGGGAGCCGGCUAUGGGUUGUAGCGGUGGCGCCAUAGGAGGGAAGAGUGAGGUCACCUCUCAGGACCAGCGGCGUGCGCGGGGAACGAAAGGAGCUAGGGUUUCGUGCGUGGGGAACGAAAGGAGCGUGGAGCGGCGGCGUGCUUGUGAUUUUGAGCAAGAAAACUUCGCGGGCUGGGCCGGUUAUUGGCGCUAAAGUUUGGCUAUUUGCAUGCGAGGCCCAUGUAGCAUCGGACUGUCGGUCGGGGAUAUUUACCGACCGAUGGUCUGUUCACCAUAAUACAAUUCCUGACCGACUGUUGGACGGUAUAUGUUGUAUCAUUCCCGGCCGAUAAUAGGUCACUGUACAUAGAUUGUCUCACUCACGGACUGUUAGAAAUUUUCGUGACUGACUGUGGGUCGGCAAUAGUGACUUUUUCCCAACAAACAUCGGUAGGGAAUUCUGGUGUGUGGUGUAGUGCAUCAUCGGAACCCCAAUCUUCAGAGUUGCGUUUAAUUAUUUCCAAUAAAUCCCAUUUGAAUUCAAUAGUCUUCAGCAUAUAAGAACCAGCACAGGAAGUAUCGAGCAUGGUGCGAUCAUUGAGAGAAAGCCGAGCCUAAAUUUUUUUAAUAAUCAUUUCUAUGGAGAGCUCAUGAUUGGGGCAUGAACAUAACAUUGACUUAAGCCUCCCCCAAGCUUGAGCGAUGCUUUCCCCUUCGCGAGACCAGAAAUUAUAUAUGUAAUUACGAUCACGAUGAACAAGAUGCAUAGGAUAGAACUUCUGGUGAAAUUCCAACUUCAAUCGCUUAUAAUCCCAUGAUCUCGUAUCAUCACAUAGCCUAAACCAUGUCAAUGCAUCUCCCUUCAAAGAUAAAGGGAAGACCUUCCUUUUGACAACAUCAUCGAGAAUACCUGCAAGCUUAAAUAAUCCACAAACUUCAUCCACAAAGAGAAGGUGUAAAUCGGGAUGCAAUGUUCCAUCUCCUGCAAAUGGAAAAGCUAGCAGUUUCUCUAUCAUACCCGAAGGAAUUUCAAAGUGAACAUUUUCAGUAGGUUCAGUAGGUUGAGGAGCAACUCUUUGCUCUACUGGUCAGGGCGAAGAUGCCCCGAACAAGCCUCUCAAAGGAUUAGUUUCCAUAGUAACAAGUAACAGAAAAUUUCAGCACACUAUAUAAAUGUUUCCUUACCAAGUUCCACUCACCAAAAGCGCUACACUCCCCGGCAACAGCGCCAGAAAAGAGUCUUGACGACCCACAAGUGUAGGGGAUCUAUCGUAGUCCUUUCGAUAAGUAAGAGUGUCGAACCCAACGAGGAGCAGAAGGAAAUGAUAAGCGGUUUUCAGUAAGGUUUUCUCUGCAAGCACUGGAAUUGUAGGUAAUAGAUUGUUUUGUGAUAAGAUAAAUUGUAACAGGUAAUAAAUAAUAAAAGUAAAUAAGCUGCAGCAAGGUGGCCCAAUCCUUUUUGUAGCAAAGGAUAAGCCUGGACAAUUUCUUAUAAUGAGAAAAGCGCUCCCGAGGACAUAUGGGAAUUAUCGUCAAGCUAGUUUCAUCACACUCAUAUGAUUCCCGUUCGUUACUUUGAUAAUUUGAUAUGUGGGUGGACCGGUGCUUGGUUACUGCCCUUACUUGGACAAGCAUCCCACUUAUGAUUAACCCCUAUUGCAAGCAUCCGCAACUACAACAAAAGUAUUAAGGUAAACCUAACCAUAGCAUGAAACAUAUGGAUCCAAAUCAGCCCCUAACGAAGCAACGCAUAAACUAGGGUUUAAGCUUCUGUCACUCUAGCAACCCAUCAUCUACUUAUUACUUCCCAAUGCCUUCCUCUAGGCCCAAAUAUUGGUGAAGUGUCAUGUAUUCGACGUUCACAUAACACCACUAGAGGAAAGACAACAUACAUCUUAUCAAAAUAUCGAACGAAUGCCAAAUUCACAUGACUACUAAUAGCAAGACUUCACCCAUGUCCUCAGGAACAAACGUAACUACUCACAAAGCAUAUUUAUGUUCAUAAUCAGAGGUGUAAUAAUAUGCAUUAAGGAUCUGAACAUAUGAUCUUCCACCAAGUAAACCAAUAAGUAUCAACUAUAAGGAGUAAUCAACACUACUAGCAACCCACAGGUACCAAUUUGUGGUUUGGAUACAAGAUUGGAUACAAGAGAUGAACUAGGGUUUGAGAGGAGAUGGCACUGAUGAAGAUGUUGAUGGAUAUUAACCCCCUCCCGAUGAGAGGAUCGUUGGUGAUGACUUUGGUGAUGAUUUCCCCCUCCCAGAGGGAAGUGUCCCUGGUAGAAUAGAUCUGCCAGAGCUCUAGAUUGGUUCCGGCAAGGUUCCGCCUCGUGGCGGCGGAGUUUCGUCUCGUAAGCUUGCCCACGAUUUUUUCCAGGAUAAAAGCCUUCAUAUAGCAGAAGAGGGACACCGAGAGGCCACCAGGGGGCCCAGGAGACAGGGGUUAAACCCAGUAGGGGUGGGCGCACCCCCACCCUCCUGGACAGGAUGUGGGCCCCCUGAGGUAUUUCUUGAGCUCAAUAAUUCUUAUUAAAUCCAAAAAUAAGUUUCAUGGAGUUUCAGGUCUUCUGGAGCAGUGCAGAAUAGGUUUCCAAUGUUUGCUCCCUUUUCAUCCAGAAUUUCAGCUGCCGGCAUUCCCCCUCUUCAUGGUAAACCUUACAAAAUAAGAGAGAAUAGCCAUAAGUAUUAAUAUAUAAUGUGUAAUAACAGCCCAUAAUGCACUAAAUAUUGAUAUAAAAGCAUGAUGCAAAAUGGACGUAUCACACCCCGACACCGAUACGACACCCCGACCCCUGAAACCUCCCGAAGAGGUGCUCUUUGGCCUUCCAGAGGCCGACGGGGUCAUAUAUUUGUGAAUUAUGAGUUAGGUCAUAUAUUUUUCGAUUUUGUUAUGAAAAACAUCAUAUAUAAUUGUGUUGAUCAGGUAGAUUUAAAUGUGCAGUUGUUUCAUCGCUGUGAGGUUUGGUGUUCGACGACCUCGCCGUGCGUUUGACGAGCUCUGCCCCUUCAUUCGUGGGUGAGCACAAAUGACAUGUCCUCCUCCCCUCUUAAUUAUUUUCUCUAUUCCGGUGUUCGUGCCGAUGAAACUUGAUAGCUAGCUAUAUAUGUGUCUUGAAUCAUCAGUAUGCGUAACCAAUAUGUGUCUCCCGUUCGAAAGCGUUAUAGUUAUAAGUAUGCACGCAUUUGCAUAUUUAUAACCGUGAUUCUUUCCAAUUGUCCAACGCUAUGCAUGGACAGCCUGAGUAUGUGUAGAUUGGGUUCGUUUUCCCAUAUGUUUUGCUCCGAGUCCGACGCAUAAAUUUCAUCAGUGCCUCCCCUGUUGUUCUCCGGGUACACAUCCUCUCUGUUUAUUGCAGAGACGUGUAUCAGGAGAACAACGGGGAGGUGUUGCCGAAAUUUUGCGUCAGAUCCCAAGCAUAGCAUGGGAAAAUGAACCCAAUCUACACAUACUCGGGUGGGAUUAGAACCUAUCAUUACCUAUUAGAGUGUAGGUUGCAUGGACGUAAUAAAAUUGACAAAGUAGAUCAACAGAUGAAUACAUACAUGGUGAAUUAUAUAUAUAUAUAUAUAUAUAUAUAUAUAUAUAUAUAUAUAUAUAUAUAUAUAUAUAUAUAUAUAUAUAUUUGUUGUGUGUCCAGUAGCUCCGAAAGUCAAGAUGAGUGAUCAUGAGUGGAUGUACACCGGUCACACUGGUCAGAACAAAUGGAGCGUUGAAUGGUUCAUAAAAAACAAGGGGUUUGUGCAAGCCGCAUUUGCAAAUGGCCAGAGGAAAACCUGGUGCCCCUGUUUUCGGUGCGGCAAUUGGGAAAAGAGGACAGAGGCUGAAAUGGGCAAACACCUGUAGAAGAGUGGUUUCACGCCGGAUUAUACGGUCUGGACAUAUCAUGGUGAUUCUGCCCAACGUGACCGAGUUGAGGUGGAUCAUCAUCGCACCGACGAGCAUGGUACCGGGAUGGAAAACAUGGUGCAAGACUAUGAUGAUGCUCGGGAUUCGGAUGAGGAGAUGGAGGAAUCUGCAAAGGCCUUCAAUGAAAUGUUGGAGUCUUCAAAACGUCCGCUCCACGAGCACACUGAGCUUUGUCAGUUGGAUGCCAUCUCACAAGUAAUGGCUCUGUAGGCUCAGUUCAACUUGGGCAGAGAAUGCUACGACACAAUGAUGACAGUAUUUGGACGCUUUCUACCCAAAGGCCAUGUAAUGCCUGCAAACCUGUACCAGUCGGACAAAAUCCUCCGUGCACUGAAGAUGCCCUAUGAGAAGAUACAUGCCUGUGAGAAAGGAUGUGCCUUAUUUAGGCUUGACUAUGCAGACUUGAACUAUUGUCCCAUUUGCAAGUCUUCCAGGUAUGUUGUGGUAGACAACGGUAUGGGUGAGAAGACACAGACCAAAAUCCCCCUUAGUGUUCUUCGGUAUAUGCCAAUCGUACCAAAUGGAAGGUGUGCCACAGCAUCAAGGCAACUCCAGCUUAUAUCAGUUUGGGCGGAAUUGGGUAUGUGGUUUGCUUCAUGAUUCAUGCAAUUCAUUCAUCAUGCUAGCUUGAGCCCUUUAAUUACUAAUUUACUUUGUUUCUCUCUUUCAGGCAUGCUACAAUAAGACGGAUAAGGUGCCAGAGGUGUACGACAUGUAUGCCAUAGCCCACACUGCCUCUUACAAGAAAGUCAAGGGGAAGGCGAGGAAAGGGGAGGACUUUAACCCGAGCCAGGGUCCCAUUGAUCCAGAGCAGGUGAUGAUAUCUGGUGGCGGGAGGUCCCAUGGCUCGAUAGCCAUUGGAGAUGUGCAGUUUGUGUGCGAGAAGUCCAGUCAGACCGCUCCACUGAUGCCAGAGAAUGCUCCUGGGACCACGGUGAGUUUAAUUUGAAUGGACGUUACUUGCUAGUCUUAACAUUUGAGUGUCAUCAUGCUAACGAGACAUUGGAAAUGAUCUUUGGUGCAGCGUAACUCCAGACAAGCAUCACACAAUCCUUCUCCAGCUACUGGCACGAGCCAGCCCGCUCCUACACCUCCAUGAUCACGGUAAGUUUAUCUAGUGUUUUUCUUAACAAAUGCAUAAAUACCUAGACUUAGCUUUAUUUCCUCCAAUAUUCUUACCAUAAUGACCUAAGGUUAGCUUCUUUUCCUCCAAAAUGACUUAAUAAGCUUACUGACCUCCAAAACCAGCCAUUUUACCUAAGUUAGCUCUAAAACUAUUUAUACUUAGCUUUGUUUCCUCCAAAAUGACCUAAGUUAGUUGUAAUAUGUUUAGUUAACUAGGUUUGCUCAAUAAUGACAUGUACUUAGCUUACUUAUGUCAAAAAUGACAUAAUUAGCUUAGUUAGCUCAUAAACGAUCCAUUUUACCUAAGUUAGCUCUAAAAUGACCCAUUUUACCUUAGUUAGCUCAUAAAUGAUCCAUUUUAUCCAAGUUAUCUUUAAAAUGACCCAUUAUACCUAGAUUAUCUCCAAAAUGAUCCAUUUUACCUAUGUUAGCUCUAAAAUGACCCAUUUUACCUAGGUUAGCUCCAAAAUGACCCAUCUUACCUAGGUUAGCUCUAAUUGAUGCAUUUUACCUAAGUUAGCUCAUAAACGACCCAUUUCACCUAGGUUAGCUCAUAAACGAUCCAUUUCACCUAAGUUAUCUCACAAACGAUGGAGUGCUUCUUCUUCUAGUCUUCUUCUUCUAGUCACCUUUUCCUAACUUUCUUAUUUUCCAUUUUGCAGAUUUCAUUCACUUCACGGAAGCUAGCUUGCUAUGAUGGAGUGCUUGUUUUUUCUUUCAUUCUCUUCUAGUAUUCUUCUAGCUUGCUAUAAUGGAACUUGCUAUCUUCAUGAAACUUUGCAUUGUAAUAUGUAUGUGCAACUUGCUAAUGGUUGCAACUUAUGUGUAUGUGCAACUUGCUAUGUAUGAGUGGAUGGAACUAUAUAUGUAUGUACGAUGAAACUUAUGUGCUGGAUAUGUCAUAUAUAUUUGCUAUGAAAAUUGUUGGAUUAAGAAAAUAGAAAAAAGAGGCAAUGCAGGAUCUUUGCGGUUAGCAGCUGAUGGCAAAGGCCCCUUUGCCGUCCGUCGCGGACGGCAAAGAAGCCACAUGGUGGCCACCUGUGCUCCCUGGGAGCUGACCCAUUUGGCCAGUUUGCCUACAGUGGCAGACGACAAAGGAUCGCCACAUUUCCCUACAGUGGCGGACGACAAAGCCUUGGUGGGCAGUGACGUCCAGCUGACGUCAUUCGGCGGACGGCAAAGGCCUGAUGCUCUUUGCCGUUAGCGGCGGAUAGCAAAGACUUCUGUUAGCCACCUAACGGACUAACAACGUAUUUAUUGCCGUCUGCUUUUUGAGGCUGACGGCAAAGGGUCCUUUGCCAUCAGCAGCGGACGGCAAAGAAAGCAGAUGGCAAAGUAGCUCUUUGCCAAUCUAAUCUUUGCCAGAGCCUUUUGCCGUCCGCGGAAGACGGCAAAGGCCUUUGCCGUCCGCCAUCCUUGCCUUUGCCGUCCGCCGUGGCUGAUGGCAAAGUAGCCGAUUCUUGUAGUGAUUUGCAUAUCUAUUUUCUAGAUCAAUGGCAUGUGCCACUGUUCCCUUGAAUUUUAAUGCAUUCCUAGAGAAAACUAAGUUGAAAGAUGAUGUUAGCAACUACGCGGACUGGGUCCAUAACUUGAGGAUUAUCCUCAUUGCUGCACAGAAGAAUUAUGUCAUUGAUGCACCGCUAGGUGAAAGGCCUGCUGCAGGAGCAGAUGCUGAUGUUUUAAACGUCUGGCAAGCUCGAUCUGAUGACUACUUGAUAGUUCAGUGUGCCAUGUUUUACGACUUAGAAUUGGUACUUCAAAGACGUUUUGAACGUCGUGGAGGAUAUGAUAUGUUCCAAGAGUUGAAGUUAAUAUUUCAAGCAAAUGUCCGGGUUGAGAGAUAUGAAGUCUCCAACAAGUUCUAUAGCUACAAGAUGGAGGAGAAUAGUUCUGUCAGGGAACACAUACUCAAAUGUCUGGGUAUCAUAAUCACUUGACUCAGCUAGGAGUUAAUCUUCCAGGUGAUAGUGUUAUUGACAGAUUUCUCCAAUCACUGCCACCAAGCUAUAAAGGCUUCAUGAUGAACUAUAAUAUGCAAGGGAUGGAGAAGACAAUUCCCGAGCUCUUCGCAAUGCUCAAAGCUGCGAAGGUGGAAAUCAAGAAGGAGCAUCAAGUGUUGAUGGUUAACAAGACCACUAGUUUCAAGAAAAAUGGCAAGGGAAAUAAAGGGAACUUCGAAAAGAAUGGCAAGCAAGUUGUCACUCCCAGGAAGAAGCCCAAAGCUGGACCCAAGCCUGAAAUUGAGUGCUUCUACUUCAAAGGGACUGGUCACUGGAAGCAGAACUGCCCCAAGUAUUUGGUGGAUAAGAAGGAUGGCAAAGUGAGCAAAGGUAUAUUUGAUAUACAUGUUAUUGAUGUGUACCUUACUAAUGCUCGUAGUAGCACCUGGGUAUUUUAUACUGGUUCGGUUGCUCAUAUUUGUAAUUCGAAAUAGGAGCUACGAAAUAAAUGAAGAUUGGCUAAGGACGAGGUGACGAUGCGCGUCGGGAAUGGUUCCAAGGUCGAUGUGGUCGUCGUCGGCAUGCUACCUCUACAUCUACCUUUGGGAUUAGUUUUAGACCUGAAUAAUUGUUAUUUUGCGCCAGUGUUGAGCAUGAACAUUAUAUCCGGAUCUUGUUUAGGGCGAGACGGUUAUUCAUUUAAAUCAGAGAAUAAUGGUUGUUCUAUUUAUAUGAGUAAUAUCUUUUAUGGUCAUGCACCCUUGAAGAGUGGUCUAUUUCUAUUGAAUCUCGAUUCUAGUGAUACCCAUAUUCAUAAUAUUGAUGCCAAAAGAUGCAAAGUUGAUAAUGAUAGUGCAACAUAUUUAUCGCACUGCUAUUUAUGUCAUAUUGGUGUAACACACAUGUAGAAAAUCCAUGCAGAUGGACUUUUGGAACCACUUGAUUAUGAAUCAUUUGAUACUUGUGAGCCAUGCCUCAUGGGCAAGAUGACUAAAACUCCGUUCUCCGGAACAAUGGAGGGAGCCAAUGACUUAUUGGAAAUAAUGCAUACCGAUGUAUGCAGUCCAAUGAGUGUUGAGGCAUGCGAUGGGUAUCGUUAUUUUCUGACCUUCAUAGAUGAUUUGAGAAGAUGUGGGUAUAUCUACUUAAUAAAACGCAAGUCUGAAAUAUUUGAAAAGUUUAAAGAAUUUCAGAGUGAAGUGGAGAAUCAUUGUAACAAGAAAAUAAAGUUUCUACGAUCCGACUACAGAGGCAAAUAUUUGAGUUACGAGUUUGGCCUUCAUUUAAAACAAUGCGGAAUAGUUUCACAACUCAAGCCACCAGGAACACCAAAGUGUAAUGGUGUGCCCGAAUAUCGUAACUAUACUUUAUUAGAUAUGGUGCGAUCUAUGAUGCCUCUUACCGAUUUACCACUAUCAUUUUGGGGCCGGGCUAUGCAUUAGAGAUAGCUGCAUUCACGUUAAAUAGGGCACCGUCUAAAUCCAUUGAGACGACACCGUAUGAAUUGUGGUUUGGCAAGAAACCUAAGCUGUCGUUUCUUAAAGUUUGGAGUUGCGGCACUAAUGUCAAAAGGCUUCAGCCUGAUAAGCUCGAACCCAAAUCAGAGAAGUGCGUCUUCAUAGGAUACCCUAAGGAAACAAUUGGGUACUCCUACCACAGAUCUAAAGGCAAGAUCUUUGUUGCCAAGAACGGAACAUUUCUAGAGAAGGAGUUUCUCUCGAAAGAAGUGAGUGGGAGGAAAGUACAACUUGAUGAGGUAAUUGUACCUUCUCUCGAAUUGGAAAGUAGUUAAUCAUAGAAAACCAUUCCCGCGAUGCCUACAACAACUAGAGAGGAAGCUAAUGAUGAUGAUCAUGAAACUUCAGAUCAAGUUACUACCGAACCUCGUAGGUCAACCAGAGCACGAUCCGCACCAAAGUGGUACGGUAAUCCUGUUCUGGAAGUCAUGUUACUAGACCAUGGUGAACCUACAAACUAUGAAGAAGCUAUGAUGAGCCCAGAUUCGGAUAAAUGACUUGAGGCCAUGAAAUCUGAGAUAGGAUCCAUGUAUGAGAACAAAGUGUGGACUUUAGUGGACUUGCCCGAUGAUUAGCGAGCCAUAGAGAAUAAAUGGAUCUUCAAGAAGCAGACUGAUGUUGAUGGUAAUGUUACUGUCUACAAAGCUUGAGUUGUCGCAAAAGGUUUUCGACAAGUUUAAGGAGUUGACUACGAUGAGACAUUCUCACCCGUAGCGAUGCUUAAGUUUGUCUGAAUCAUGUUAGCAAUUGCCGCAUUUUAUGAUUACAAAAUCUGGCAAAUGGACGUCAAAACUGCAUUCCUUAAUGGAUUUCUUAAAGAAGAGUUGUAUAUGAUGCAACCAGAAGGUUUUGUCGACCCUAAAGGUGCUAACAAAGUGUGUAAGCUCCAGCGAUCCAUCUAUGGACUAGUGCAGGCAUCUCAGAGUUGGAAUAUACACUUUGAUGAGUGAUCAAAGCAUCUGGUUUUAUACAGACUUUUGGAGAAGCCUGUAUUUACAAGAAAGUGAGUGGGAGCUCUAUACCAUUUCUAAUAUUAUAUGUGGAUGCCAUAUUGUUGAUCGGAAAUGAUGUAGAAUUUCUGGAUAGCAUACAAGGAUACUUGAAUAAGAGUUUUUCAAUGAAAGACCUCGGUGAAGCUGCUUAUGUAUUGAGCAUCAAGAUCUAUAGAGAUAGAUCAAUACGCUUAAUAGGACUUUCACAAAGCACAUACCUUGACAAAGUUUUGAAUAAGUUCAAAAUGUAUUAGUCAAAGAAAGGAUUCUUUCUUGUGUUGCAAGAUGUGAAAUCGAGUCAGACUCCCCAACCAGUGCAGAAGAUAAAGAGAAAAUGAAAGUCAUUCCCUAUGCCUCACCCAUAGGUUCUAUCAUGUAUGCUAUGCUCUGUACCAGACCUGAUGUGUGCCUUGCCAUAGGUCUGGCAGGGAGGUACCAAAGUAAUCCAGGAGUGGAUCACUAGACAGCAGUCAAGAACAUCCUGAAGUACCUGAAAAGGACCAAGGAUAUGUUUCUCGUUUAUGGAGGUGACAAAGAGCUCUUUGUAAAUGGUUACGUUGAUGCUAGUUUUGACACUGAUCCGGAUGACCUUAAGUCACAAACAGGAUACAUAUUUAUUUUGAAUGGAGGAGCUGUCAGUUGGUGCAGUUCCAAGCAGACCGUCAUGGCGGGAUCUAUGUAUGAAGUGGAGUACAUAGCUGCUUCGGAAGCAGCAAAUGAAGGAGUCUGUAUGAAGGAGUUCAUAUCGGAUUUAGGUGUAAUACAUAGUGCAUCGGGUCCAAUGAAUUUUUUUGUGACAAUACUGGAGCAAUUGCCUUAGGAAGGAAUCGAGAUUUCACAAAAGAACCAAACACAUCAAUAGACGCUUCAACUUCAUCCGUGAUCAAGUCAAUGAGGGAGACAUAGAGAUUUGCAAAAUACAUACAGAUCUGAAUGUAGCAGACCCGUUGACUAAGCCUCUUCCACGAGCAAAACAUGAUCAACACCAAGAUUCCAUGGGUGUUAGAAUCAUUACAAUGUAAUCUAGAUUAUUGACUCUAGUGCAAGUAGGACACUGAAGGAAAUAUGCCCUACAGGCAAUAAUAAAGUUGUUCAUUUAUAUUUCCUUCUUCAUGAUAAAUGUUUAUUAUUCAUGCUAGAAUUGUAUCGAUCGGAAACCUAAAUACAUAUGUGAAUACAUUGACAAACACUGUGUCCGUAGUGAGCCUCUACUUGACUAGCUCGUUGAUCAAAGAUGGUGAAGGUUUCCUAACCAUGGACAUGUGUUGUCAUUUGAUAACGGGAUCACAUCAUUAGGAGAAUUAUGUGACGGACAAGACCCACCCGUUAGCCCACCUGUUAGCUUAGCAUAAUGAUCAUUCAGUUUAUUGCUAUUGCUUUCUUCAUGUCAAAUACUUAUUGCUUCGACUAUGAGUUGAUGCAACUCCCGGAUACCGGAGGAAUGCCUUGUGUGCUAUCAAAUGUCACAACAUAAAUGGGUGAUUAUAAAGAUUCUCUACAAGUAUCUCCGAAGGUGUUUGUUGAGUUGGCAUAGAUCGAGAUUAGGAUUUGUCACUCCGAGUAUCGGAGAGGUAUCUCUGGGCCCUCUCGCUAAUACACAUCAUAAGAAGCCUUGCAAGCAAAGUGAAUAAUGAGUUAGUUGCAGGAUGAUGUAUUAUGGAACGAGUAAAGAGACUUGCCGGUAACGAGAUUGAACUAGGUAUGAAGAUACCGAUGAUCGAAUCUCGGGCUAGUAACAUACUAAUAAACAAAGGGAAUUAUGUAUGUUGUCUAAUGGGCCAAGAGGAGAAACACACCAGCCACGAGGGGCUGGUGCGCCCCCCAUAUGGGCCGAACCAAAGGGAGAAGGAAAGGGGGGAAGAGAAAAGAAAGGGGGGGAUUCGGCCUCCCCUUCCCUUCCCUCCUCCUAUUUCCUUCCCCCUCUCUGAUAAAUAAGGAAGGUGGGGGGGGGGGGUUAGGAUGAACCCAAGUAGGAUACGGCCCUACUUAGGGCGCCUCCUAGCCUCUCGCCUCCCCUCCCACCUAUUUACAUUUGGGGGGUGGGGGCGCCCCUAGCACACCCCAGACAAUUGCCUAGCUUUGUGCGGCGCCCCCCUCCACCGUUUACACACUCGGCCAUAUUUUCGUAGUGCUUAGACGAAGCCUGCGAGGAUCACUUCACCAUCACCGUCACCGUGCCGUCGUGCUGACGGAACUCAUCUACUACCUCGACGUCUUGCUGGAUCAAGAAGGCGAGGGACGUCACCGAGCUGAACGUGUGCAGAACUUGGAGGUGUCGUACAUUCGGUACUUGAUCGGUCGGAGAUAGAAGAAGUUUGUCUACAUCAACCGUGUUGUCAAAUGCUUCCGCUUAUGGUCUACGAGGGUAUGUAGACACACUCUCCCCCUCGUUGCUAUGCAUCUCCUAGAUAGAUCUUGCGUGAGCGUAGGAUUUUUUUUUUUGAAAUUGCAUGCUACGUUUCCCAGCAUGUUGGUGGUUACAUCACCUAGUUGUUGAUAAUUUUAGUCUGUUCUAAAAAAUUGGUUAUGUUAAUUUUUGAGUGCAUCUAACUUCAUAUUUGAAUUUUAUGAGAUUUGGUUUAGCAGACAUGCAUUUGUCAAUCAAAAAAUUUGUACCUCAAAUGUACCGCCCCGGCUAAGUUCAAUUCCUAGAUCCGCCAUUGACCGGGAUAGAGGGGGAGAGAGCCCCCCUCCUUCUUCUUCUACUUCCUUGACCUCACCCCCUAGAUGGGAGGAAGUUUUCCCCUCUGGUCCAUGGCCUCCAUGGAGGUGGAGGGGCGGGAGCCCUUCCGAGAUUGGAUCUAUCUCUCUGUUUCCUUCUGUUUCUGCGUUCCUGUUUUCUGGCCUUUCACCAUUUCUUAAAUUCUCGGAGAUCCUUAACUCCGAUUGAACUGAAAUUUUAACACGAUUUCUUCCGGAUAUUAUCUUUCGUGCGGUGAAAUAAGGGCAUAAAACCGCCUUGCGGAGGGAAGUAAAGAGACAAAGUAGCAUAUUUUUCAGAAAAUACAAGUAAAUGGACACAAGUGUCAUAGAAAGCAAAACGAAAAUUGGAUUCACUGUUAAACAGGAAAGAAAAUAGUUUUCAGUGUCAAAUAGGCUAACAGAAUUGAAAAUAGUGUCAGAUAUGGAACUCUUUCAUUGUAAUUCUGCAUCUUUCAAAUGAAACUCUCGCUUAUCCCUCUAGCUAGCUAGUUUGAUCCCUCCUAGCGGGACACAUGCACGUGUGCAGUAAGUUUGAUCCACGUCCUAACCGGACACAUUCACGUGUGCAAGUGCAACUAUAACUUUUUGAGUCAUGUGUAGCUAUGUGUACUAUGGAGAAGUAAAAACAUUUGAUCAAUUGUAUGAGAGGGAUGCCUCCCAGAAGGUGUCUGUUGGGAAAGAGAUGUCUCCCUAACACACCCUUAAACAUGUAUAUAAGUGGGUUUCCCACGUUGCAAUAGAUCUAAGAGAACCAUUUGUGUCUCUACUUUGUCUCUUUACUUUGAUACUACAACAUCUACAACCCCAACUUUCUUCCUAGCCGGACCCAGGCACAUGUGCAUCCAUGAUUUGUUUGAGCGGUCAAAAUCAUACGUAGCUCCGUGUACAACUUCUAAGUAUUUAUUUUGUGAAAGAAAUUCCUUUCCAAGUAGGUGAAAUUUAAUGCACUUUAUGUACAUAAUUUGGCUUGUGGGUAUCCCUUUUAUCUUUAAUCUCAAUCAUUGUAUUUAAAAUUUAUGGAGUAUAUAUUUUAAGCAUAUGUGAACGAACUUGGUUGCCUGUUUGUCUUUUCUUUUAGCAAUAUACGUAGUAGAUAACUUAUUAUUAAGAACUUGCACUUACAUUUCAAACAUAUAAACCUAACAAAACAUACACAUCACAGCACACGUAGCACUACACACAUAUAUAGUACAAUAUCGUAUCAUCUGUAGAUACAGUACCAAAGUAAUUUAGGGCAGAUCCAGCAAUGCAUCCAUCCAUGGCAUCAUCGUUCGCACAGCCAGCAUGUGGGUGCACAUGCAUGGAUGCAGCUUAUUUAAUUUGCACAUUACGCUACGCGUCAUAUGUAUACCCAGCGCGUAGACUAUAUGAUACUCCCUCCGUUCCACAAUAUAGUGCCUAUAGAUUUUAGUGAAAAACAAACUUUGCCAACUUUAACCAAAUGUAUAGAGAAAACUGUUUACAUCUACAAUACCGAAUAUGUAUAUUCUGAAAAUUUAACUUAGGAUGUAUCCAAUGACGUGCAUUCGGUAUUCUAGAUAUACCUACUUUUCUCUAUAAACAUGGUCAAAAUUUGUAAUGUUUGACUUUUGUAAAAAUUUAUAGGCACUACAUUAUGGAACGGAGGGAGUAUACACUAACUACAUGACUGGAUAGGCACUGUACAUGGCGAUGCCACACAGCCCGCGGGGCCCGUCGGCUCCCCUGCACAUGAAGAAGAAGCCCUUCUGACCCGACGUCUGCCGCCGUGAGUUCUUGGCGAUCCAGUACUCUUCCCCAGCGACGGUGACUCCAUAGCCUACGAUUGUCACCACGUGGUUCUGGCUGGUGGUGCAAGGCCCCUUGUACACGCCGGGCUCGUAGUUCUGCAGCACGGAGCUGCUCCCAUCGUUCGGGACGGUCACUGGCAUCCUGAGCACGGCCAGGGCCAGCGCGCCGUCGUUGCUCCCCGGCUGCACCUCCUGGACGCUGGUGAUCUUGUCGAUGCGUCGGGCAGCGUCGUGCACCGCGCAUCUGCCUCGUUUGGCCAAGUAGGGGUAUUAGCCUCCGUAGGGAGGCCGCCUUUUGAAAUGAAAAAGAAUUAAUGGAAAAAACAAAAUUAAAAGAAAAAAUAAACCCCUAAAACCCCUAAACCUUUUAGUCAUGGUUGGUGUAACCAACCGGGACUAAAGGCCCCCAGCCCCCCGGUGCGGGCUCGCGCCACGUGGUGGGCCUUUGGUCUCGGGUCGUGACGAACCGAUACUAGGUGGGGGUGGGGGGGGGGGCUUUACUCCCCAUCCUUUAGUGCCGGUUGACGAACCGGGACUAAAGAUCGUCACGAACCAGGACUAAACCCCGAUUCUGCACUAGUGCAUACACGUGUGCAAGUGCAAUUAUAAGUUUUUUAAUCAUGUGUAGUAUUGAGAAAUAAAAACAUGUGAUCACUUGUAUGGAAGGGUGCCUCCGAGAAGAUGUCUGUUGGGGAAGAGAUGUCUCCCCAACACACCCCUUCGGCAUGUUUAUAAAUGGGUCUCCUACAUUGCAAUAGAUCUAAGAAACUAUUUGCGUCUAUUUACAAAUGCUCCUGCAUUGUUUCAAGCACUCAUGAAUGAUGUGUUCAAGCCCAAACGAUUUGUGUUGGAUUAUUAAGAACUUGCACUUACAUUUCAAACACAUACACCUGACAAAACAUAGACAUCACACCACACGUAGGGCCACACACAUAUAUAUAGUACUAUAUCGUAUCAUCUGCAGGUAUAGGGUGCCAAAGUAAUUUAGCGUAGAUCCAGCCAUCGGUAUCCGUGGCAUCAUCGUUCCCACAGUCAGCAUGUGCGUGCACAUGCAUUGAUGCAGCUUAUUUUAAUUGCACAUUACGCUGCGCGUCAUAUGUAGUAUACCCAGCGCGCAGACUAUAUGAUAUAGUACUAACUACAUGACGGGGUAGGCACCGUACAUGGCGAUGCCACACAGCCCGCGGGGCCCGUCGGCUCCUCUGCGCACGAAGAAGAAGCCCUUCUGACCCCACGUCUGCCCCCACGAGUUCUUGGCGAUCCAGUACUCU
This 106647-nucleotide long non-coding RNA is filed under the name Triticum aestivum (bread wheat). RNAcentral describes it as "long non-coding RNA (TAES_LNC000098)". Lineage: Eukaryota; Viridiplantae; Streptophyta; Magnoliopsida; Poales; Poaceae. The record is from RNAcentral.